GAAUUGACUCCAAAAAUAAAGUUGCACUCAAAAACAUCGAGCAAGACUGGAAGCUUUGGAAUCAUUUGGAGUUCAGUGCAAGAAGUCAAUAGAAGUUCAUCAAGUUUUGUAAGGUUUUUUAAGCUCUCAGGUAGGUAAUGAAUUGGGUUUCUACUUAAAUUUAAGGAUUUCAAGGAAGCCAAGUUACAAAGAUCAUUGGGCAUGACAUCAUUAGAUAAUUUGCAACUUUCAAGGCUUAACUUUACCAAAGAGCCCGGUAGAGAUGCCCAAGAGAAACCCAAUCCUUUGCUUCUUUUCAGUAAGAGCCACUGCAACCCCAAUCUUGAUUGAUAUAUGGCAGUUUCAUCUAAAUUAAGCACCUUCAAUGAUUCCAUAUUAUGCAACUCCCUAGGAACAUCAUCAAGUCUUGAACAACCAGAUAAGAUAAGCUCUUCAAGUGAUAUUAAAGAACCCAUUGUCCUUGGAAGUUUCCUAAGACCUGUGCAAUCUUUAAGGUUCAAGAAAGUAAGCAUCUUUAGCUCACCAAUGGAUUGAUUAACUUCCACCAAAUUUAUGCAAUCUUUGAGCAUCAACUUCUCAAGGCCAGGGAGUCCUGAAAAGCUUGGGGAUUUAAGAAGGCUAUGUGAAUGGUUGAGAUUAAGGAUCUUUAAAUUUGGGAGGCACUGCAAAAAACGAAAACCCUUCAUUUAUAUAUUAUUGUUUCACAUAUCCACAAAAAGAAGGAAAAUUAGUAUAUAUCAUACCUCUGUAUCCUUCCAAACUUGUUUAAGUUUACUGUUGCGCAUGUCGAGAACAACUAGUUCAUUGAUAUCAAAAUCCAUCGGAAAAGAUUGCAUACUGUGAAAUUAUAAGAAGAAAACUCUGAAGAGAAACAUCUUAUUCAAAGACUUGCUUAAUACAUGCAGGUUGCACGUAUUUAUACAUGCAUGAGAGCUGAAGCUGACAGACGUUACAGCAACCUUUCUAACUGCUAUCAUCUUUAACUGCUAACAGACUAAUUGCUAACAGACUUACAACGGUACAACGGUUUUGACUAUAUUACAACUGCUUUGACUAUAUUAACUCUAACAUUCCCUUAACAUUUCUUUGGACUUUUGAUCACUAAUUUCACUUAUUGACAGCACUUGAAGAGCACGUCGAAAAGAGACAAACAGUUUAGGAGGUAUUGGUUUAGUGAGACCAUCAGCAAUCUGUUGAGCAGAUGGAACAAAAUUCACUUGCAACAUUCCAGCAUGAACUUUUUCUCGAACAAAAUGAUGAUCUAUUUCCACAUGCUUCAUCCUAGCAUGAUGUGUGGGAUUUUCAGUAAUUGAAACUGCAGAAGAAUUAUCACACCAUACAAUUGGCAGCUUAGUCAAAGAAAUCCGGACUUCAUCCAGUAGUUGUUUGAUCCAUAGUAACUCAGAUACGCAAUUGGCAAGGCUACGGGAUUCUGCUUCAGCAGAUGACCUGGAUACCACAGGCUGUUUCUUUGAGCACCAGGUAAUUGGAUUUGAUCCUAAGUACACCACAUACCCCGACGUAGACCGUCGAUCCUCAAUUGAGGAGGCCCAGUCAGCAUCUGAAUAACACACCAGUUCCAACGAUCCUGCUUCAAAAUACAAACCAUGAUCCAUAGUGCCAGCCAAGUACCGUAAGACCCGUUUUACAGCUUUCCAAUGAGUGACAGUNNNNNNNNNNNNNNNNNNNNNNNNNNNNNNNNNNNNNNNNNNNNNNNNNNNNNNNNNNNNNNNNNNNNNNNNNNNNNNNNNNNNNNNNNNNNNNNNNNNNUGAUAAAUCUGGUCUAGUAAUGCAGACAUAUUGAAGCAUGCCCACUGUACUACGAUACAAAUACACAUCUGUAAAGGGAGAGCUUCCAUCUGAAACCGCCAACUUAGGAGUGACAACCAUGGGCGUUGGUGUAGAGGCUGCACCAAGCAUGCCAGUCUUGAGUAGCAGUUCAGUAAUGUACUUCUUCUGACUGAGUAACAUUCCUUGGGACGUACGUUGAACAUCAAUUCCCAAAAAAUAACUAAGAUUUCCCAUAUCCUUAAGGGCAAACUUAUCAUGCAAACGACGAACCAUUGCAUCUAUAUCUUGACUACUGCUACCAGUGAUCACGAUGUCAUCUACAUACACCAUUAGUAGCAUGUAAUUCUCAGUAGACACCCGAAUGAACAAAGAUGAAUCUGCUUUUGAUGCAUGGAAGCCAAGCUCAGUGACAAGGUACUGUUUGAGCGUUUGAAACCAUGCUCGAGGAGCUUGACGCAAGCCAUAAAGUGCCUUAUUUAACUUACACACAAGUGACUGACCAGAGGCAUUCAGGACUUCAAAACCAGGUGGUUGCUCCAUAUAUAUUUCCUCAGUAAGCUCGCCAUUAAGAAAAGCAUUGUUGAUAUCAACUUGACGCACAACCCACCCCUGCAUAACUGCUAAUGCAAGAAUGGUCCGAAUGGUAGAAGCUCGAACAACAGGACUAAAGGUAUCAUGAAAAUCAAACCCUGCAUGCUGAGAAAAACCUUUUGCAACUAAUCUUGCUUUGUACCUGUCAAUAGAACCAUCAGCCUUCUUUUUAAUUUUAAACAACCACUUACACCCGAUUGCCCGUCUAUUCUCAGGAAGGGAGCAGAGAGUCCAUGUAUUAUUACGACUCAAGGCUUGUAACUCACUAUGUACUGCCGUUUGCCAGCAUUCAAACUUCAUUGCAGCAUGUAUGUCAGAAGGAACAUCACUUGAAGAAGUAGACACCUCGCUCAGAUAAGCUUUUGGUUUGAAAAUGCCAACUUUACUCCUUGUGAUCAUGGAAUGAGUAUUUGUCGGGACAGAAUGAGUGGUUUGUAUUGGAAUAGGUGGUGAGGCUGAAGGUGAUAUGGAUGGAGUGGACGGUAAUUGGGCUAACGUGGAAGAAGAAGGUUGUGUCGGUAUAUGUGAUAAAGCCGUAGGCAAUAUGGGUGAGGUGGAUGGUGAGUGAGCUAAUGUUGAAUAAGUGGGCUGUGAAAUAGGCAUUGUAGUUGUUGGAGUAGAUGAGACAGGUGUUGAAGAAAUAUUAGUAGAAAUGAUAUUAGGUGAGGUGUUAUGAUGAGCUACAGGACUAGGCUUUAUGACAAACAAUUUUGAAUUUAUUUGUGAAGUGUUAGAUAUGGACGGCUUGACUAUUGAGGUAUGAGUUUUAUAGGGAAAAAUAGCUUCAUUAAAUGUGACAUGACGGCUAAUGUAAAUUUUGCCUGUAGGGUCUCUACAUUUGUAACCUUUGUGCAAGGUAGAAUAGCCAAGAAAAACACAGGGAGUGGAUCGAAAUUGUAAUUUUGUUUUGUUGAAAGGUCUCAGAUUAGGAAAGCAUAGACAACCAAACGUUCGAAGGAAAGAAUAAUUUGGCUUUGUUUUAAAAAGUUUUUCAUAUGGGGAUAUAUCACCUAAGGGUUGAGAGGGUAAUCUAUNNNNNNNNNNNNNNNNNNNNNNNNNNNNNNNNNNNNNNNNNNNNNNNNNNNNNNNNNNNNNNNNNNNNNNNNNNNNNNNNNNNNNNNNNNNNNNNNNNNNAAGGGCAUAGUGGCAUGAGCUAGCAUAGACAGACCGAUUUCAACUACCUGGCGAUGUUUCCGUUCGACAAGCCCAUUUUGAGCUGAUGUGUAUGGACAUGUGAGCCUCUGUAGAAUCCCAUGUUGACUCAAAUAGUUCUUCAAAGCCUGAAACUCCCCUCCCCCAUCAGUUUGUAGAACUUUGAGUUUAGUACCAAGCAUCCUCUCAGCUUGAAGGUGAAACUGUGGAAAUACAGCAGCAAUAUCAGACUUAUUCUUCAAAAAAUAGAGCCAUGUGUAGCGUGAAUAAGCAUCAGUGAAUGCAACAUAGUAGCGAAAACCGUUGGAUACAACAGGAGCGGGUCCCCAGACAUCAGCCACUACUAAUUGCAAAGGUGAGGAAUACUCAGUGCAUGACUUUGAAAACGGAAGCUUGCGUUCUUUACCCAAGUGACAGGCAACACAGUCAACAAAUUUAUUACUGUCUAUAAACUGUAUAUUACACUGAAGAAGAGCUUUUGUAAGUGUUGCUUUACAUGGAUGGCCUAAUCUAGCAUGCCAAACACUAAUAGGAAGCUUUGUGCUUGUUGUAAGACAUUGAGCAGCAUGAGACAGAGUUGUAGGUGCAGGAGACUUGUUGAGUUGAAGCUUAUAUAACCCAUGAUGCACCAACCCUCGAAGAAGCACUUCUCUGGUCCUUAAAUCACGCACCCGGCACUGAGUAGGCAAGAACUCAAACAUUACCUGAUUAUCUUUAGCAAACUUUGACAUAGAUAAUAGAUUUUUAGUAAUUCCAGGAACAAGCAGUAAAGAUCACAUGUACAAUGGUCAAGAUCUCGUGAUUAAUGAGGACUGCCCAGUAGAUAAAACAGGUAAUGCAGAACCAUUACCAACAAAAACCUUACCUGGUCCGUUACAUGACCCACCGUCACCAACCAAAGUAGCUGAAUUGGUGAGGUGGUGUGUUGCACCAGAGUCUGGAUACCAUGCAUUGUCAGCUAUUGUUUCAGGAGUUGCAACAUAAGCUUGAGGUGGUGUGACACCAGCAGAUGGCAUACUGACUUGUUGGGGCAUACUAACCUGUUGUGGAGAGCUACCAACAAACGGGUUAGGCCAGACAGAUGAAGGAGGAGGAAAACACCAACCUGGAGAACCCCACGGAGGACUUUGCUGAGGAUAAGAAAACCAAGGUGUAGACGGACUCCAAGGUGCGGAUGAACUAGAACCAGUCAUGCACAUAUUUGCUUGUGGAGGGGGUCUAUAGUUGCUACUCUUGUAUGAUGAGUCAAAACGAUGGUAGCAGCGGUCAACAAGAUGACCAGCCUUCCCACAAAGCUGACAUUGAAUUCUUGAGCUAGACGAAUGCCCUCGCCCACGUCCUCGAACUGAAGAUGAUGGCUGAUAAGCAGGUAGUGAACCAGGAUCAUCAGAAGACUCAUUCAACACCAAGUUUGCCCAGCUGGAUACUUCAGUACUUACGACCUGCUGACGAGCCUCAGUAUCAAGAAGCAUAGAGGUUACUCCUUGUACCGUGUAGGGAAUCUGACUCGCCGUAAUAAUUGUGAUAAUCGAUUCAUAAUCUGGAGGUAGGCCAUUAAGGAUUGCAGUAAUGUGUUCAUGCUCUCCAAUGAUUUCUCCACAACUAGCAAGAUUGUCACAACAACCCUUAACCUUCAUCAAGAACUCCUUCAUGCCAAGGUCACCUUUGCGUUGAGAGUGUAACGCUCGACGAUAUGCCAUCAGUUUAGAGGUUGUUUUACUACCAAACAAAGCAACAACCGCAUUCCAAAUCUUGGCGCUAGUAUCCAUGCCAAUGAGAUNNNNNNNNNNNNNNNNNNNNNNNNNNNNNNNNNNNNNNNNNNNNNNNNNNNNNNNNNNNNNNNNNNNNNNNNNNNNNNNNNNNNNNNNNNNNNNNNNNNNNNUAUCAUCGACAAGUAACGAGGGUGGCGGAGUUUCUUGAGAAUCCAAGAAGCGCUGUAAUUUAUGCGCUUUCACAGCCAAGAGAACUUGCUGGCGCCAGAGUAGAUACGUAUUAUCAUCAAGAAGAACACUAAUACGCUUUGUUGAAAAGAAACGACUGUCAAGAACUCCAUCAGAAGCACUGGAUGUCAUCUUGCCCAAUACAAAACUGCACAGCGAAAGAAAAAACAAACCAGGAAAUACUUACAUCUGAUACCAUGUGAAAUUAUAAGAAGAAAACUCUGAAGAAAAACAUCUUAUUCAAAGACUUACUUAAUACAUGCAGGUUGCACGUAUUUAUACAUGCAUGAGAGCUGAAGCUGACAGACGCUACAGCAAACUUUCUAACUACUAUCAUCUUUAACUGCUAACAGACUAACUGCUAACAGACUUACAACGGUACAACGGUUUUGACUAUAUUACAACUGCUUUGACUAUAUUAACUCUAACAAUAAGAAUGUUUGUAAAAUCUAACCAACAACAAAACUCAUUCUCUUUUGCUUCGAAAUAGUUAUAAAAUCAGCACAUUAGACUUCCCUAAAUGGAAGUCUUGUUAAUAAAUGUAGGCCCAAAUAUGGCAUUUUUUGUUUUACAGAACAGCAUCGAGGAAUCUAUUGGCACCUCGGUAAAUUCCUGAUUUGAAAUUCCAUUAAUUGAGACAGCCUCUUUCUUGUCCAAAUUUAAUUUUUCAAGCAUGAUAUCAGUUGUCCUUUCACCGAUUUUAUAUGGUUCAGCCUUGCUGGUACCUGCAAACAAAUGCAUUAGUGAUGAAGGUCUACAAUAAACAAAUUAAAAAGGAAUUAAAGGAGCAACAGUUAUAUAAGUUAAUACCAAUGACUUGGACAAGUCUAUAAAAAUCAACAGUUAUAAGGAAUUAAAGGUCCAUGUUAGUUCCUUUAGCAUUACUAUAAUUAUUAAGUUAUAAUUAAAAAAAAUCAGAAACCCGCUCAAGUUUCAGCAUUAAGCAAAAACUAUCAAAUUCCCAACUAAUUUCAAACCCAAUUUUGUUAUGAAAUUAAGAUCAACUUCCAUACAGCAAAAAUGAAAGCAAUUUCGUAAUCAUCUUGUUUUGUAGGGCAAAAAAAGAAGAAAAAAACCCUAGAAAAUCAAACAAAAUGAAACAAUAUAAGUGAACAGGGAGAGAAAAAAUUAGGGUUUAGUGAAGGGACUAACAUCUCUGGGGACCGGGGCCGCCGUCAGUGCUGAGGGACUCGAAGUCGCGGGAGGCGAGACGGGAGUGGAGGUCAGCAUCACCCUCACGGAAGCCACGACCCUUGGUCUUCUUAUGAGCAGAAAGAGAGGUGGAAGCGGCUCUGGUGAUGGUGGACUUGAGCAUAGGCAAGGGAGCUUGAGGGGAGGGAUCGCCGGCGGCAUUUGAAGUGAGGGAAAGCGAAAUUUUGAAGUGAAGGAUUUUGUUUUCAAAACUUGGGGGGUUGGCGGCAUUUGGUAAUAAAACCCACCGCUCAAUUUUAAGUUUUUUGAAGUCAAAUCUGAUUUGGGGAAGAAAACGACGCAACUUUGGUAUUGUAAAUAUUUGUGGCACUUAUAAAAAAAUGCCACUAAUUGUAUAAUUUUUGUUAAAAAUUAAAUUUCUGUAUCAAACGACGCCAUUUUGAAAAAUAAAAAUUUUCAUAGUUGCGGCGUUUUUGGUCCAAACGCCGCUAUUGCUUAUCUUUAGCGGCGUUUUUCUCAUAAACGCCGCUAAUGAUUGACUUUUUUGUAAUUUUAUAUUUAAUUAUUAUAUAAUCCAUAUCAAUUUUAAAUAAAUAAAUUUUGAAAAUUUAAGUAAUAUUUUAAAGAAUUAGAUAAAUUUUAAAAUUUUUAUAUAAUUUUUGAGGUAAGAAAACAAAAAAAAAACAAAAAAUUUUAAAAUAUGAAGAAAAAAAAGCUUUAAAAAACUAUCCAUAUUAAUAUCUUUAAAAAUUUUAAAAGCUUUAUAUAAUUAAUAUUAGGAUUUAUAUUGAAUUAAUUCAAUAUUGAUUAAUUAUCAUUAUUAUUUAAAUCAGGGGUUAAGGGUUAGGGGUUUCAGGGGGAAAGUUGGGUCUUUUCUUUAAAAGUAUAUAAAUAUUAUAAAAAUAAAAGUUUAAAAUCUUUUUAAAAAUUUUUAAAAAUUUUGAAAUCUUUGAAAAUUCAUUUUAAAAUUUUAAAUCACGAAAAAUAUAAAACCUUUCAAAAUUUAGAAAAAUAUUGUAUCAUUUAACAAAUCUCAAAUAAACCUUAAACCCUAAAUAGUCAUUCAAUAUACAUAAAGUCUAUCUAUUAUAUAUCUCUUAAAUAAUAUAAACUAUACUCAUAAUUUUAAUAUAUUAAAAUUAUUAUUAUCUCUUUUACAAUUAUAUAAAAACAUAUUUAAUAUAAAAAUUAAAAAACUAAUUAAUCUAAACCCUAACCCGACCCUUAAAUCCCUAAAUCUUAACCCCUAACCCCUAACUACUAACCCCUAAACCUUUAAAUCCCAACCCUUAAACCAUAAUCCCUAAAUCCAUAUAUAAUUAUUUGAUCACGGCGGGGGCAAGGCAAAACACGAAAAAAAUUGAACUGGAUAAAAAAAUUGAACCGAGCACUAAAAAUACUGAACCGGGAAGGGAUAAGAUAGGGAUAUCCUUGGAUAUAGCUUCUAUCGAUUUUGAAGAACCAAAUCUUCACAUGAUUUUGAAGAACCAAAUUAAUAUUAUCUCUUUUACAAUUAUAUAAGAAAUUAAUUAAUAUAUAAAUUAGAAAACACUAGUUAAUCUAAACCAUAAACCUAAACCCUAAAACCAUAAACCCUUGACAUGCACAUAACCUCUAAACCUUAAANNNNNNNNNNNNNNNNNNNNNNNNNNNNNNNNNNNNNNNNNNNNNNNNNNNNNNNNNNNNNNNNNNNNNNNNNNNNNNNNNNNNNNNNNNNNNNNNNNNNAAAUCAAAUCAAAUAAAACAACAUAAAAAUUAAUGAAAUUCGUUCGAGAAACAACCUAUACUCAAAAUUUCAACUUUCACUUUGUGAAAGUUUAAUAAAUUCAUGUUAUUUACAUGAAUUUAUAUAUAUAUUUUAUUCAUUGUAACAUUUUGAAUAUGUGUAGACCUAUUACACGAAUAACUUGGAUAUAAUUGUUGCAAAUAUACUACUGCAAAAUAGAAUUGUUACAAGAGACCAAGCUGAAUUUAAAUAAAAUAAGAAUCACUGUGUCGUGGAAGAACCACUAUAUUAGAGGCAAGUUUGCCCUAAUCAGUGUAAUCGUAUAGUGGACGUUACCCCCCAACACAAUACUCCAAUAUUCAUACUCUCGAAUAAAGAAGGUGGAACACGAUUGACAUUAUUCUUCCCGGAAAAAGUUCAAUUCCUAAGAAAGAUUAAAAGGGUCACAAAGAGUCCCGCUUAAAACCUAAUCUCUUAGACAAAAUUUUCCUCUCGUGUAAUUUUGCAGAACAUUAGAAUUUAGAGAACAUAGAGAAGUUGUUUUUCUCUUGUUGUGUUAGGUGGGAGAAUGACCCCUCCUAUUUAUACUAUUUUUUGAUGGGAAAAAUGGUAAAAUAACAAUUUUAGUUUUCAAAAGUAGCAAAGGAUUUUUCUAACUGAAAAUAUUCUAAAAAUAGUUUUUGCAAUAGUUAGAGGAUUUUCCUCAAUUCCAAAUAUUCUUUUGCAUUACCAACAAUGACAUCUUAGAAAACCACAAAUAGUGUCAUUAAAUUCAAGAGGCUAUUUCUUUUUGUUUUCAACUCGUCAAAUCCAAAUUAUUCAUGUGAUAGGUGCAAACGUAUUUAAAAUUUGAUCUAUGUGUUUUAAAAACAUCCCACAUCAGAUUCGAGCUAACAUUUAAUGCUUAAGCUGAUGGCUUGUUGAUAGAAAGAUCUUAUUGAUACAAUACUAAUAUUUUAAUGACUCAAUUAAAACAUGUUAAUGUUUCUGAGUUAUAAUUAACCCUUUAAAAUGGAUUGAAGUAACCAUUUUAAUUUCCAAACGCUACCUAACAAUAUUUUCUAUUAAUUUUCCUUCUACUCUAUCUAUCAAGUCUUAAUGAAAAGGAUUGAAGUAACCAUAUGGAACUUGAUUAUGACGUACCUGUCUUGUAGAACCAUGCCUCCUAUAUCCGCAACUUCUUUUAAAGCAUUCCUCCAUCUUUGUACCAUGGACUCGAAGUUUUGUUCAUGUUGGGUAAAUGCUUCUGCAUAACUUUCCGUCUGGUUCUUGACUUGACUCGGAUCCACAUCAUAAAAAACUGGCAACACAAUAUGUUUAGAGGAUUUCUUGUGCUCCAAUAUCAUUACAAGUUCGUUAAGACACCAUGUGGAUGCAGCAUAAUUCUUUGAGAAAACAACGAUAGAAAUUUUGGAGUGGUGUAGUAUUGCUUUUUCAAUUUCAUCUUUUAUGUUAUUCCCUCUCUCGAUUUCCUCAUCAUCUCUAAAUGUUUGAAUUCCUAAGUGCACCAAAGCUGUGUAAAGAUGAUCCGUGAAACUUUUGCGCGUAUCUUCACCUCUAAAACUCAAGAAUACAUGAUAACUACAUCGCGAGAUUUCUGACAUUGCCAUUGACGAAGAAAAUGAAGUCGUCCUGUAUUUUUUAUGUAAUAAUGAGGUUCCAGCAUAUAUAUAUAUAUAUGAAUGGCAAAGCAGAUAUUAUUAGCAGUCAAGUGGCAGUUCCCAAUCCAUGGUGGGUCAAUCCUUCCACCAGUUCAUACAACUGCCCGAAGAAAUUCAUGUCGGCCAUGUUGUUUUUUUCCAAAUCUACCAACUAGGGUUACGUAUUCUAUAUUAUUAAUUUUGCUUGAAAAAUACAAUCUAUUGAUUAACUUGAUGGUUAUAGCUAACACAACACGUAAUAUAGACAUCAUCUUCACGCUAAUAUUAGUAAAAAUACUAUGAAGGUUGUUGUAUUUUAAGUUAUAUUAUAUUUUGUUUUCUCUAGUAAAUUGGUCUUUGUGUAUUAGAUUAGAAGGUAAAUUAAUUCUUUUGUUAAAAAAAUUAUCCAUCAUUAUUGUUAAAAAUUGGUCCAUGUAAUCAACAUGAGGUACAUGUGACACGCCACAUGCAACUAUUUGGUUAUUUCGUCAUUCACGUUAGUUUUUAACAACAAAAAUGGAUGAAUUUUUUAAUAGAAAUGAUAAAUUUGUUAUUUUAUCUAAUGUAUAUGGACUAAUUUGCUUGUUUUUAAAUAAAAUGGGUUAAAUAUAAUUUGACUCUCAAUAGAAUGAUCUCCAUGAUACUUUUAUCGGCUAAUUCCUUGGUGGAUACAGUCAAUAAUUAAACCACAACCACCAUAUAUCACAUAGACAUCACAUUAAACAUUCAAGUUCGGUAUAGUAAAGAAAAAGUUUUAGUAUCUAUGCAUGAAUGAAGAAUUAAUUGUUUUUAAAAAAGAAUUGGUGAUUAAAUUGAUUAGGUCGUCAAUUUUUUAUUUGAUUUGUUCAUGUUAUCUAAAGUAAAUAAAUUUUUAAAAAUUAAAAAUAAUAAAAAUUCAGGUAUAUUGCACAUUAAAGUAAAUUGAAAAUGAGAAUUGAGAGGGACAGAAGAAAAAGGAGAAUAAUUCCGAAGUAUUUGGUGUGGAAAAUAGCGGUACUAGAAAACGCGUUUCAUUUUGGAGUCAUGCUUACGGUCCAUUUGGUGCUAUCAACAUUUUUAUUAAAAAUAUUAUUUGAGUAGAGUUUUUCAACAGAGGUAGUAGAAAGGAAGGAAAACGUUAAAGUUGUACACUAUAAAAAAUAUAUAUUAUCAGACCUUAAACAAUGAUUUAUGGGCCUUAAAUUAGCAAUUAAAGAGGAUGGGAUAAGGGUAAGGUUGAGUAAUUGAUCCAAAAUUUCAUGCUGAGGGCAACUAGCACAAAAUUGAUUAAAUAUUUUCCAAUACUCAUUAAGGAUCUUCAUAUCCUUUUUGUGGUAUGCCAUAGAUUUCUUUCCUAAUUUAAGCACCAAGUCAAGAAAAAGGAAAUUCAAUAAAUAUUCUUACCAUAUCUAUUUUAAAAUUUUAAUGUAAUUAAUCAAAAACAAUUCACAUAUAUGAAUCACCAAAUUUGACGUGCUUAGAGAACCCAUGUGAUAGCCUGAUGAUUAAGGUCGUUCAAAAUACAUGAAUGAUAAAAUUUAACGUGAUUAAAUAAAUAUUGGAUUUUGUUAUAUUUUUAAUAAUAAAUAUAGGUAAAUGGUAAUAAAUUGGUAUUUUAAUGUCAUUAAAAACGUGUCAGAUAAAUAUUAGAUUAGAUAUUCAAUAUUAAUAAUCAAUAUAUAUUAAUUGAAUUAUACAUUAUAAUUAAGGAUGAGUGUCGAAAUUCAAAAUUGUAAAUAUUAAUAUAUAUUGAAUUAAAUUACUACCAUACAUAAUCUUAUUCAAAUAAUAAUAAUGAAAAAAAUGAGUGUUUAAGAUAAUUUCGUUGUAUUUGUUUGUUCUAUGAUCCAACUAUUGUAGGUAAGCGUGGUGUAGGUUCAUCGUACUCCCAUCCAAUGGCUUUAAUUUGCUCUAAUGGAAUCGAAAACGAAUCAAUCCUUUUAACUUCUUCUUCCCUCUUCAUCAUCGGAAAUUGACUUUAUUUCCAAAAAAAAGGUUUUGGAUCAAUUUUGGAGUUCCAAUCAAUAUCAUCGGUAUAAAUAUCUGUUGCAUUACUUAGCAACUUAUUUGUGCAAGGAAAUCAAUGAUAAUAUUCCCAGAAUCUCUAUUUGGGUUCCUGAAAAGCUUUUAAACUAGCUGAAUCAUCCCAUUCGAAUACUUUAUCGGUUUUGAACAAAUUAUUCUUUGAUUCAACAAAUCUUUUCCAUGGCAUUGCACCCACUUUAUGCAAAAAAUUUUCUCCCAUGCCGGUAAUUGUUCCCAAGAAUUACUGUUAUCAUUCGGUUUGGGACGAGUAAAUUUCUUUUUUUAGUAACUUUGUUUGCGAUUAUGAUAUUUUCUUUGAUAGUAUGACAUGAUUUCUUGUAAUCCAAACAAAUAAAAGAAUUGAAAUCGCUAAUGAUAUGGAUUUACAGCGAGGGGACUUGUUGGGUUUAUAUAAGAUUAUUAGAGUUGGUGGUGACUCAAUCCUUUUCCAAAAAUUCUAAUUUCAGUUUGAUUAUGAUAUCUAUUUCCUAAAUAUUUGUAUAAUAAAAUUAUUAAAAAAUAAUUAUAUCUGUAUUGAUAAUAUUUUCUUAUUAAAUGAGUUUUAUAAGUUAAAUAGCAAUCAAACCAAGACUGGGAGACUGAACUGCUUCAGGUCUUGGGGGUGAUCCAUCGAUUCAACCACUACAUCCUUCCCCUAUAUAAACUCUGGAAAAUAUAUACAUACAUAAAGAGAGAGAGAGAGAGAGAGAGAGACACAUACACACAAAUUAUGGAAGGCAGGAAAGUUAGAUAUCAAAUACGGUUGGCAUGGUGGUUUCACUACGACCGCUAUUUCAAAAUAGCUGAAGAUCUCAUUAGCUGUGUGAACAAAUUUCAGAUGUUCUUCGAAAUCCAAAGCAGAAAAAUCACUUACAGAGGCUGAGAUCAGAUAACUGAUACUCAAGUACAAAUUUAAGGGCUUCGAAUUUACCUCAUUUGAUCAGAGUCGUGGUGAGAUGCUCGCUUGGGGCAAAGAUCCGUACGAAGAGAGAUGAGGGUAGGAAGGAGUUCUUAAAAAAAACGAAGGGUUAAAAUCUUCUAUUAGUCCCUGCACUUUGUAAAAGUUGUGAAUUCAGUUCUUAUAUUUUAAUUUCAAUAAUUUUAGUCCCUUUACUUUUUGAAGUAGUAGUUACAUCGAUUAAGUUCAAUUACUAGUAUUACACUACACAUACGGUUGUAGACUUAGUCUAUAUGCCCCAAUUGGAUCAUUCCAAGUCUCUAUACUUUUUAGAUUUUAAAAUUUUAAUUCGAUGUAAAUGAUAGUUAUUAAACAAUUAAUUAGAUUUUUAGUGAGUAAUAUACAGAAAUAAAAAAACUAAUAUAACAUUACACAUAGGAUAAUAUGUUCAUCACAUUAGAUUUUAAAAAUAGCAUAACUUAAUAAAUUUAACAGGUAUCGUUUGGUAAGGAUUAAAAUUUUAAAAUUCAAAAAGUAUAGAAACUAAAAUUGACCAAAUUAUAGAAUCUAAAUUCACAAUUUUUAUAAAAUACAGGGAAUAAUAACAUAAUUUAACCUUUUUGUCAAAAAUAAAUUAUAUAUAAUUUUAGAUAGAGAAGAUCCCAAAACUUCUUCUGUACUUUUAUAAUUAAAUUAAAUUAAUAUACAACUUAGAGUAAAAUACCUAAUUUUUUUAAUCAUUUUUUUAUACAUGUAAGUUUAACUUUUUAUAUGUCAUCCAAGUGCAAAGGAAACUCCUUUUGAUGGAAGAAUCAACUUAAAAACCCUCAUCAUAUAAAAGUUGUUGGUUCAAAUUUAAAAAUCUCAUCCAAUUUUUGGAAUUGGAAAUUUCUUAUUUAAAAUAAUUCUUACCUGAAAAAUUUGUAUCUCAUCAAAACAUUUUCACUAGCGUAAUCAAUGUUCACAAAAAGUACCAUGUAUGCAUUAGUUGAACAAAAUAACGAGAAGCAGUAAUUAUUCUUCUUUAACCUAGCCACCUUCAGAUUAGCUUCUCAAAUAGUUUCUCACAAUCUCUUUAUCUAUGCUUGAUCCUCCAAUGUUUGAUGAGUCUUUGACAACUUAUCCUUUAGCCAUGAAAAUUCCAAACCGGUGACUCCGUGUCUUUUACCCUUACCAACAUAUCAUUGAUAUAAGUUAGCUCAAGCUUAUUCAGAUCGCUUUCUAAUUUCUGAUAAAUUUCAGCAACUGCAUUCAUAAUGUUGCUCUGAAACUCUAGAUAAUUCAAUUGAAAUUGGUUAGCAAAGUGAGCAUGGUUUUGAAAUAUUUUAUUGAUCACAUCAGCAUUGUGUUGAUGAACAUCGUAUCUGUUGACGAUGACUGUUGUGUCAUCUGACAUCAAAGGUAAUUAAAGAUCAUGUCUAUACGUAUCAUUACAUAUGAUUGAGAAGAAAUGAAAUGCUAAAUACACAAAGAAACAAUAAAUUCAUUAAAUAGUAGCUUAGCCAUUACUUUGGAAGAAAUCAUCUAUCCAUCUUCAUGAGGAUAAAGAAUAUUCAGAGUCAAAGGACAAGUCCCCCAAAGCACCCAUACAAUUCGAAGAUUCAUGAUUCAAAUGUGUUGGAGGAACCUAUAAGCAAAACAGAAUCAAAUAUUGAUCCAAAAAUAAGAGAUACAGUUAAAAACUUUGCAACAUGAUAACACAAUAAAUAAGGAGAAAAGUAAACAACAUUGCGCAUAGAUUUAGAAACUGAAAGCUUUCCUACUUAGGAUUUCUUUUUUUUAUUUUUAUUUUUAUUUUUUAUUUGUUUCUACCUGAUGUUUCUAGUUUGGUUUGGUAUCUUACCAUAAAUGUGGGAUUAAUCAGACAGUCCUGAAAUAACUAUUUAAAGUUUAAAGUGUUCAUGUCUUACGGUAUAAUAUUACAAUUACAAGUACAAGAGAAGAAAACGAUUUUAGUAAUAUACAUUUAUGAUAUGACACACUUAUCUUACUACACUUUUCUUCUUUACCAUUACCUCUCACAUCUCUUGCUUAUGACUCUUUUUUUACACCAUAGUAAGAAUUGAAGCUCUCACUCUUAUUUAUAAAGUUUAAGGGUCGUUAGAUUGUUAACACAUGUAAACAUCCUUAUCAUUUAUUUUAUAAAUAUCUAAUAAUUAGAAUGUUCAUCUAAAAUAUCUAAUUUUCUAGAUAAUAUCUUUUUUUUUAAUUUUAUAUUCUGAGAAUUUUCCCAAGAAAAUAUUUCUUAAAAUAUAAGUAUAGAUACACAACAUUUCCAUCUUUUAAACAUUGUACGUACAUAUUUUUUUAUGAUUGUGUAAAAAUAAAUAUUGUACAUACAUACCUCUUUAAUGUCUUUUAAAAAUAAUAAGAAUAUAAAUACAUAUAUUCACGUACAACCCACGCCAUUUUGAACAUUAGUUUUACUAAAUGUUGUAAUUAAGUGCCUUGCCUUAUAUUUCCUCUAUAUCGUAUAAUUUAACAUAAAAAAACCUAACAGAACACGUGUUACUACAGUAUUUUUGGGUGUCUUAUAAACUCAAAUUUUGUUAUAUUCUACUUUACCAUCUUUCUUAUUCAUAGUUAAUAUUUAUUUUUUAUGUUUAAAAUAAUAUUAAAAGUAAAAAUUUAAUUAAAAUAGUUUAUUGCAUAAAAUUAAUAUAUAAUUUAAUAUAUAUCAAGAAAAUUACGAACUUUUAAUUUAUACCAUUAUUUUUUAUAUUUUAGUUUUUUCAAUAUAUUCAAAUUAAUUUUUUAAGUAAAUAAAUGCAAUUAAAUAAAAUUAAUACACAUAACCAACUCGGGUAAAGAACCUAAUUUUUUAAUUUUUUUUCUUAUUCAUAUGAUUUUAACUUUUGCCUUUUUUAUGUCAUCUAAGUGCACAUAUAGUAUCAUUCAUAACCAAACUACUAUUAAUGGAAGAAUCAACUUAAAAACCCUUAUCCAACAUAAAAAUUCCUCUUCAAAUUUAAAAAUCUCAUCCAAUUUGAAUUUGGAAAUUUCUUAUUUGAAUAAUUCUUACCUGAAAAAUCUCAUCUACCAUGUAUGCAUUACUUGACCUAGCCGUUGUUUCUUCCUUAACCUAGCCAACUUCAAAUUGGCUUCUCGGAUAGUUUCUCACAAUUUCUUUAUCUCUGCUUGAUCCUUCAAUGUUUGACGAGUCUUUGCCAAGUUAUCCUUUAGCCAUGAAAGUUUCAUGUCUUUCACCCUUACCAACAUAUCAUCGAUAUCAGUUAGUUCAAGCUUAUUUAGAUCGCUUUCUAAUCUUCAGUAAAUUUCAGCAACUGCGUUCAUAAUGUUGCUUUUAAACUCUUGAUUGAAAUGCCGUUGCUGAUUCGGAUCAUCUCAAUCAAUUGAUUGGGAAAAUAUUACUUUUUGAAUGCUAAAAUUUUCUUAUCCUCUUUCCUCGGUAUUUACCGCUGUGCCCCUGUGCUAUCAAGAAGAAGGAAUACCAGGCAAAGUCCCAUCCACGUUCAAUCGAAAUUGGUCAGCAAAUUGAGCAUGGUUUUGAAAUAUUUUAUUGAGCGCAUCAGCAUUGUGUUGAGAAACCUCGUAUUUGUUGAUGAUGACAGCUGUGACAUCAAAGGUUGAGAAUAAAUGAAAUGCUAAAAAUUAUCUUCAAUAUAACUCAAAGAAACAAUAACUUCAUGAAAUAGUAGCUUACAGCCAUUACUUUGGAGCAAAUCAUCUAACCAACUUUCCUCGGCCACAAAAUCUCCACGUCUCCCAAAGCACCCACAUGAUUAGAAGAUUCAGGAUUCAAAUGUGCUGGAGGAACCUAUAAGCAAAACAGAAUCAGAUAUUGGUCCAAAAAUAAGCAGAUAAAAUUAAAAACUUUGCAACACGAUAACACAAUAAAUAAGGAGAAGAUCAGAAAACAGCAUUACGCAUAGAAUUAGAAACUGACAGCUUUCCUACUCAGGAUUUCUUUUUUUUUUUUUUUUGUGUGUGUGUUUCUAGUUGAUAUUUCUUGUUUGAUUUGGUAUCUUACCAUAAAUGUGAGAUCAAUCAGACAGUCCUGAAAUAACUAUUUGUUCAUGUCGUAGCUCUCUUACAGUAUAUAUUAAAGUUUUGGAUUCAAACUUCAACCUGGUACAUAAACUUGAAUGGACAAUAGCAGGACAGCAUUCUCUCUACAACUACAUGUAAACAAGAGAAUGAAUGAAGAAAUUAAAGAAAAAAUGAAUAGUGAUGAUCGGAUCAGUUUAUAGUUUGCAAAAGAUAAAAUAGACAGCUCGUUGAAGAAAUUAAAGGAAUAACAAGUUCUACAUACAUGCCAGUAGAAGUAAGUGAGAUGAGUUAAAAACUUAAUUGGUGAUAACUGAAUAUUGAACUUCAUUUUUGCAUCAUUCAUUAAAAUAAUAGAAAAGAAGUUAGUGGACGAUACAUGCUUGCAUUUUCAGGUCAUAAUUUGCUCUGUGAAACUCAAAAUUCAAUCCUUACCAUCUUUUGGUCGCUUGUUUCCAUUUUCAAUGUUAAUUUUGUUGACACCAUUUUUUUGAUGAAAACGGGGUCGACUUGGGUUUUGAAAAAUGAAAACAAAUGUGGGAGUCGCCACCAAUCCUUUUUUAUGAGGUGUGAUCGGGUCACCUCGUAAAACGGUUGUUUUUAAUAAACGAUUUAGAUUUUAUUAAAACAACGAUUUUGGUCCACGAAAUUCGGAAAAACAGGUUCGGGAGUCGAUUACGCACGAGGAAGGGUUAGCACCCUCGAUACGCCCAAAAUUGGUACCUAGUUGAUUACUUAAUGUCUUGCUGUCGAAAAUUAAAAACUCGAAAAGAAUUUAAAAAUACGAUCCCUCUUUAUUGUGUUAUUUUAAAAUUACUCGAAUAAAUAAAAAUGGAAAAUGCUUCCUUAUCUCGAAGCAACAAGAUGUCACAUCCAGUAAGUUAGGACCCGACAUCUUGUAUUUUGAGAAUAAACUUGCCUUUUAUUUUUUAUUUAAACCUCAUUUAUUUCAAUUUUAAAAGGAUAUUCGGUUAUUUAGGAUCAACGCGAGAAAAAUCGAAGCUCAAUAAGUUAGGACACGAUUUUCUCGAAUUUUCUAAAUACGAAAUAUUGCCUUUGAAAUUUUAAAAAAGAUAUUUGGCUAUUUUGGUCGAACGAGAAAUCGAAACCCAGCACAUUAGGGCACGUUUUCUCGAUUUUCCAAACGCAAAAUAUUGUCUUAUUUAGAAAAAAUUUUCUUUUUGAUGUAUGGUGUUAAUAUGCAUAGUAAAACAAUAAUGAAUAUGAUGGCAUAAAAACAACAGGAGCAAUAGCAACGAAAAUAUGAUAAUAAAAGGGACCAAUCAAUAACUUACAAAGUGACAAGUACAUAGGCAAAUAAAAUUGAAUCCUCCUUUCUAAAUAAUAAUGAAAAUGUAAAUAAAUAAAUAAAUAACGAAUAGAUGUAAAAAAUGUAUAUACAUGAAUGUACACAAAAUUAUGAAAAUAUGAAAAAUCUAUGUACGUAUACAUAUUGUGAGAUUAUUAAAUAUAAAAAUAUAUGUAAGUAUGUAUAUACAUGUAUAGGUAUAUAAAUUAAAAUAUGUAAACAUAUAAGUAUAUAUAUGCAUGUAGAAAAUAUGAAAUAUGAAAAAUAUAUAUUUAAAAUAAAUAAAGAAUAUGUACAUAUAUAUAUAUAAAUUAUAAGAUAUAGUAAGAAAUGUAUAUGAGUGUAAUCAGCCCAAAUGGUCCAGGCCUUACAAAUAGUAAAACAACCUAAUAAACUAAACCUAGGCCCAAACCCCAACAGCCCAGUAAACAAAUUUUCUACUGAAAACCCUAGCAGCUUUGACCCCAACGCCGCAAGCCCCAGCAGUCUCCAGUACCACCCUCGCACACCGCCGCGAAUCUCGCACCACGACCCUCCCCAACGUGCACCGCUCCAUGCGCCAACAAUACCUGCAACAGCAAACUCAAAACAGAAGAGCAAAAAUCGGGCAAAUAUACCAACUAUAUCAGAAUAUAUCUCUUUUUGAUUUGGUUGAUUUUUCUUUUUCAUUUCGGCUAUUUAAAGCCGUGAAAAAUCUGUAAAGGGGGGAAAGACUGUAAAGGAAAAUUUUUGAAGGAAGAAAAGGAAUAAAAAAGGAAUUUUGAAGGUAAUCUGGGGGGUUCUGUUUUUCUUUUUUUUUACUGUCUUGUUUUUUUAUUUUCUUGUUCUUUAAAACAAAAACGAAACAAAGAAGAGAAGAGGUUUUUACCGGUGUUGGCGCGCCGUCGAUGCCCUUGUUAUGCUUCGUCGGAAUCAAAGUUGAAAAGGGGGGAGUUUGGCUUGAAAAACAGAGAAGGUGCCGCAAGAGGGAAUAGGGUUUUAAUUAGAAUCUGAAAUAGGUUUUAAGCAUUGAGGGGUUAUUUAUGUUUUGAGUCCUUUCAUGUUUUCCAUCAUUUCAAAAUCUUUUUUUUUGUUUUCAAAAUUUUCCAUGAUAUAUUGAAUCUGUUUUAGUUUAAUCCAAUUCUACACAGCGUUUUGGAGGGUAGUAUUAAUUUCCACUUUAGUCCCCCAUAGUUGUUCGCGUGUUCAAGUUUGUCUUUUUUAUUUAUUUUCGAAUCUACCCCAAUUUUUUUGUUUUAGUUCAAAUCAGUCCAUUUCAAGUUAUCUUAUUAUUAUUCUUUUUUUCGCUUUUUUGUCUUUCUAUAUUAUUAUCAUUUUAUUAUUUAUUUAUUUAUUAUUAAUAUUAUUAAUAUUAUUUAUUAUCAAUAUUAUUAAUAUAUUCCUAAAUACGCAUGUUUAUAUAUACAUAUAUGCAUUUCUAUGUAAUGUGCGUACCUACAUCUAUAUUUUAUACAUUUUUUUUAUUUUACAUUUUAUUUCUUAAUUCCUAUAUAUAUACAUAAUUUUAUAUUUUCAUUUUAUUGAUUUUCAUAUGUACAUAUUUGAUUUAUAUUUUACUUAUUAUUAUUUUAUUUUCACCAUUCUCGUAUUUUAUAAUGCAUAUACAUUUUAUAGCAUGGCAUUUUUCACAUUUCACACUUUAAAAUACACGUACAUUUUCUAUAAUAUAUUUGUAUACACGUUUUUCCUUUAAAUUAUAAACGUUUUUAUUCUUUUAUAUCUCCUAUUAAUUUAUACACAUAUUGUACAUAUAUAUAUGUAUUGGAAUAUAUACGUAUGAGGAUUUUCAUGAUUUACCUAUGUAUGUAUACUUAUACAUUUCGUUUUUCUACUUUGUAAAUAUAUACAUAUACGAACAUUUUAUAUAUAUAUAUUUUAUUUUCAUAUACUUUAUACCUUUUUUCGUAAAUAUAUACACGUAUAUGUUUUUAUCUUUGUUUUAUUUUUAUGAUUUUCAUGUUCAUAUAUAUACAUGCAUUUUUAUUAGCUUUUUGGUUUGGUUUAUUUCGUUCCUUCUUUUUGUUUGCAAAGUUACUUGUAUAUUGUACUUGUGUAUAUUUGUAAAUAUUUAUUCAUUUAUGUUUGAAGUUAAGGUAUCCGUUUCAUGUUAUACCUUAACCCUUUUUAGCAUCCAUUUUAAAACUACAUUUUUUGAUUUUCUCAAAGCGUUUAAAUCAUCCUAUUUUAUAAAUUCCAAAAUAUUUGGCAUUCAUGAUUCUCGUGAAAGAUUGUGUUCUAACUUACUGGAUCGCGAUUAUUUUUCGAUGAAUUUGGAAAGCCUAGUAUUUGUUUCGCAAUAAUUUGCAAAUUUUUAAUAAAAGCUUAUUCUCGGGAAUUCAAAAUGUUGGGUCCUAACUUACUGGUCAUGGCAUUUUCUUCUCGAAAUAAGAAUUUUCAAAAACGAAAGGCAAUAUUCGGGUAUUUUGAAGAUUUAAAAACAUUGUGCCCUAACUUACUGGGUGUGGUGUUUUAUUUCUUUGAAAUAAGAAUUGUCUUAUUAUUUUAAUCCAUUCAUGAAAUAAAAAGUUUCCUUUUAAAAUCCUUUCGAAUUUUCGACACCAAGGCAUUUUAAAAAAAUCAGUUUGGUACCAAUUUUGGGCGUUACGAGGGUGCUAAUCCUUCCUCGUGCGUAACUGACUCCCGAGCCCAUUUUCUCAAAUUUCGUAGACCAAAUUCAUUUUUAAGGUGAGCCGAUCACACCUUAAUCAAGGAUCGGUGGCGACUCCAAUUUUUAUUUUAAGUCGAAACUAAAAAUUUUUGUUUUCAAAAAACGGUUUCGACAAUGAGUAUAUAUAUAUAUUAUAGAAAAAAUAUGUACGUGUAUAUAUGUAUUAUAAAAAAUGCAUGUACGUAUAUAUAAUGACUUAAAUAAAGUAAUACAAAUAACAAGAAAAAUAUUAGGUAAAUAAAAUACACACACACACACAUAUAUAUAUAUAUAACUUAAAAUAAAUAAUAAAGGAACUCCCCUUUUCUUUUUUUUUAAAAAUAAUAAUAAAUUAAAUGAACUAAAGGAUGAAAUUAAAAUCAAACCAAAAUUCGGGGGUCCAAACUGUAAAUAAAUAAAAAGGGAUUGAAAUGAAACGUGCUCAAACUCAAGGGACCGAUUGUGAAAAUUCCCCGCCCCUUAUGCGCAUCGUUUUGCAUAGGACUAGGUUGGAAUAGGCGCCAAAUUAUGUGGCCAAAAUCAAAAAUAAUAAAAAGGUCAGAUUGCACCUCAGCGCCAGAUGGAGGGACCACGCAAAUUACCCAUUAGGGAAAAGAGGCGCAGGUCACCCCCUUCAAACGGCGCCGUUUUAAUUACUAUAAAACUAAAAAUUUUUGUUUUUUUUUGCUAUUUCAUUUGCUGUCAAAGAACACACAAAAAAAAUUUAAACGGGAAGUCCCCUUUCUCUGCUAGGGUUCCAAGCCUAGCCUUGGAACCCCACCGCCGUCACGCCUCCCCUGCCCGGUGGCUGGAGCCAUGCAAGGGCGCCUUCAAGCCGCGCGUUGAAGCGCAUUCCGAGAUCGGGGCCAUGGAACAGGGAAACGAGGGGAAGAAGAAAAGCUUUGGCUUCUCCCUAUACCCGCGUCCGGCGACGGCGAAGGGCCGAUGACGACGACGGACUCAGGGGGCCGAUUCAGGUGAGUUGAUUCCCUUUUCCCCUUUUUUAUCGUCUUUGUUAAUUAUUUUAAAAUGGAUUUGAAAGAAAAAAAAGAAAAAAAAGAGAAAAAAACAAAUAAAUAGAAAAAAUAUCAAAAGAAAAAUGGAGAGAAUAGUCUAAAAUCAACUUUUGGAAUUCGGUUUCUGAGUUUCGAUUGACUUAUAUGUGUAAAAAAAAUACAAGGAUCUGAUCUAGGCUUUUAUAGUCGAUUUGAACAACUCUCUAUUCUACUAUUUUUAUUUGUUUCUGUUGUCUGCUUGUGCUUGGCUUCUUGGUUGUUGCGUGUUCACCUUUCCUUGCAGGUAGCAGUGGUAGAGGCGGCCGAGGUGUCAGACGCAGUGGCAGAGGCGUGCAUUAGAGGUGUGGCAGACGAAGAGGCCACGCAUGGAAGCUUGCGGCGCCAGGGGACUUAGGGUUUGGCUGAAAAUUUUUAAGUCUUGUGGGCUAUUGGUCUGUUAUUAGUUGGGCUAAUUUAAUUGUAAUGGGCUGGGGUAUUUUGGCCUCUGCUUGUUGGGCCGGGCAGAAAUUGGGUUCUACAGCUGCCCCUCUUUGCUCAUUGUCGUGUAACGGGAAUGGAGCAAAGACUGAGAAAGACCAAUUUUGCCCGGUCUCACCGAGUCUUGACUUCUUGGUGCCUUUCUUCUUUAAGUAGCCUCAUUCUAGUCCGCUGCAUCUUUAGAGGGAUACGGCUUGUAGCUUCAAUACACUCUGCCGCAACUCUAUGGGGAUGAGAUUUAUGGUUUUAGUCUGCUCCACUGCAACUUGAGGGAGAUAAGACUCGUAUCUUCAACCUGCUCCACUGCAACUUCAGGGAGAUAAGGUCUGUGGUUUUGAUAAAGUCCGUUAUCUACAGUCUGCUCCACUACAACUUUAGGGAGAUAAGACUUGUUAUCUUCAACCUGCUCCACUGCAACUUCAGGGAGAUAAGGUUUGUUAUGGCGUGAUCUGCUCUACUGCAACUUCAGAGAGAUAAGAUAUGUGGUUUUAAUCCGCUCCACUGCAACUUCAGGGAGAUAGGAUUAGUAGCUUUAGUCUACUCCACUACUGCUUAGGGAGAUAAAACUUGAUGCGAUCUGCUCUACUGUAACUUCAGAGAGAUAAGAUAUGUGGUUUUAAUCCACUCCACUGUAAUUUCAGGGAGAUAGGAUUGGUUUCUUCUGUCUGCCCCACUACUGCUUAGAGAGAUAAGACUGAAUACGAUCUACUCUACUGCAGCUUCAGAGAGAUAAGAUCUGUGGUUUUAAUCUGCUCCAUUGCAACUUCAGGGAGAUAGGAUUGGUUUCUUCUGUCUGUUCCACUACUGCUUAGGGAGAUAAGACUGGAUGCGAUCUGCUCUAUUGCAACUUCAGAGAGAUAAGAUCUGUGGUUUCAAUCCGCUCAACUACAACUUCAGGGAGAUAGGAUUGGUUUCUUCUGUCUGCUCCACUACUGCUUAGGGAGAUAAGACUGGAUGCGAUCUGCUCUACUGCAACUUCAGAGAGAUAAGAUCUGUGGUUUCAAUCCGCUCUAUUACAACUUCAGGGAGAUAGGAUUGGUUUCUUCUGUCUGCUCCACUACUGCUUAGGGAGAUAAGACUGGAUGUGAUCUGCUCUACUGCAACUUCAGAGAGAUAAGAUCUGUGGUUUCAAUCCGUUCCACUGCAACUUUAGGGAGAUAGGAUUGCUUUCUUCUGUCUGCUCCACUACUGCUUAGGGAGAUAAGACUUGCUAUCUUUGAUCUACUUCGCUGCCAAUACAGGAAGACAAGAUCUGCUAUCUUAGUCUACUUUGCUGCCAAUACAGGAAGACAAGACUUGCUAUCUUCAGUCUACUUUGCUGCCAAUAUAGGAAGACAAGACUUGCUAUCUUCAGUCUACUUCGCUGCCAAUACAGAAAGACAAGACUUGCUAUCUUUGAUCUACUUCACUGCCAAUAUAGGAAGACAAGAUCUGCCAUCUUCAGUCUAAUUAACUGCAAUGUCGGGAACAAGAUUCACCGUUGUAGCUUCAAUCUAUUCCACUGCACCGCUAGGGGAGUAAGAUUCGCCGCUGCAGCUUUAAUAUUUUAAAUUGCAAUGUCGAGGAAGCAAUAUUCGUUGUCGUAGCUUUAAUCUGCUCAAUUGCACUGCCAGGGAAAUAAGAUUCACCGUUGCGGCUUCAAUCUUUUUAAUUACAAUGUCGGGGGUAUAAUUAACUCCAUUAAUCUGUUCUCUAGGGAACAUGACCUGCAAAAUCCAUUUCAUGGACCUAUUUAUGCCUAGUGUUUAGGAUGUCAUGAUUAGAAUGAAUCAAAUGCUCCUAACUAGAUGUGUAUGUAUGAUAUUUGUAGAAUGUCAUGAGAAUGAUCCCUUUUUAAUGCUUAGGUUGUCAUUACUCAUUGUUCAUCAAGGUUCUAUCACUGAUGCUUUCUUGUUCGGCUGGUAUCUUUGACAGAGAAAACCAAAGAAAUAGUCGCAAUUUAGACUAUUCUUUCUCCAAUAUUUCUAACCCUCAGGUUUGGCCAGUUCUAAACAAUAGUCCUGUUUCAGGUCUUGUAUUAUUUAGAAACUUUCAGAGUAAUAUGCAGAACUCUUUCUGCAUGAGUAUUAUCAGUCCAUUAAUCGUUAUUUCAAUGAAAAAUGCUUGAAAAAGGUUAUCAAAAUGGACAAGAUGAAAUUUUGUUGAGAGCAAAGCUAUAAAUGAAUGAAUUAAUCAAGAUAGCAAAUUUUGCUAAGAUACAAGAUGAAUAAGAUGAAAAAGAUUAUCACAAAGGAUAAUAUGGAAAUUUAUUGAGAGCAAAGCUCUAAAUGAACAAAUUAAUCAAGAUAGCCAAUUUUGCUAGAAUACAAAUGAGAAUAAAUUAAUCAAGAUGGUGUACUUUUUCAAAAUACAAGAGAAAUGAAUGGAAAUAGGUGCCCCAGAUAUCGUAGCAUGAGCUUCUCUGCCCCAAACUUCUUGAGGACCCUUUUGAACUUGAUAUGUGCUUAGAAGUCCUAGAAGACUUUGUUGAUGCCCCAAGAUGCAGCGUCUCACAUUCUUACUAAUUCAGAGAGGACAAGGCUAUCGCAUGCCCCACCUUCAAUCAAAAUUUGAACUUUCCAUUCCUGGGUUUUCAAUUCAAUACCCCUUUGGUCUCAAAGUGCCAUUUGCGGGUUUUCACCCUGGCCUCUCCUUUUCUUUUUUCGUUCUUCUUUUAUUUUCUUUUAUUUUUUGUUUUUUUCUUUUUUUUCAAGUGAAGUAUUUUUUCCUUGAAUCAAAAUUCUCAAGAUUAGGCAAGUUCUUGCCAUCCAUCUUGGUUAAUACCGACGCUCUCCUAGAUAAGGCCUUCCACAUAUGGUCCUUCAGGCUUGGCAUCCACUUUCUUCUGAAGUCCCCUUUGUAUGGGAAGGAUCUUCAUCGAUAUCAGGUCCCCCUCAUGGAAUUCUCUAGGGUGAACCCUUUUUGGUGAGCUCGUAUCAAUCGCUUUUGCUACGUUUGACCAUGACGGAUAGCUUCAACCUUUUCUUAUCAAUCAAAUUUAACUGAUCAUAUCGGGUCUGGAUUUAUUCUGCUUCAUCCAACUUUAGCUCUGACAAGACUCAAAGGGUAGGAAUAUCAACUUCGAUGGGUAAAAUUGCCUCUAUUCCAUAUACCAAUGAGAAAUUAGUUGCCCCGGUAGAGGUUUUUUUGUUUUUUCAUUCUCGUUUUCUGUUUUGUUUUAUUUUUUUGCCUCUUUUUUUUACUUUUUUGCUUCUCUUUUUUUGCCUCCACUAUACCAUUCAUUUUGGGGCUACAUGGUGUUAAUCUUGAACAGACUACAAACUCUUGAUAUUGUGCUGUUGUUCAAAUUUAGUGCAUUGUCCAAUAUGAUUCCUUCUUGGCAUUCUAUACUGACAUGAUUUUCAAGAAUUUGCUGACUGUUGCCUUCAUGAGAUUGGCAUAUGAAGCAGAUUCCACCCACUUGAUGAAGUAAUCGACGACCAUAAAGAUGGAUCGAUGACCGCCAGAAGCUUUUGGUGAGGUCAGCCUAAAUGGCAUCCAUGCCCCUCAUAGAGAAAAUCUAUGGAAAAGUCAUAACAUGAAGAGAUGAAGGAAACACAUAAAUCUUGUCUUCGUAAAUUUGGCCCUUGUGGCGUUUCUUGGUAUAACUGAUACAAUCUCCUUCCAUGGUGGACCAGCAGUACCCAAAUCUCAUGAUUUGCUUGGCCAUUGCAAAACCAUUAGCAUGUGUUCCUCAGACACCCGUAUAGACCUCUUCCAAAAUCUACUUUACCUCAAGAGCGUCCACACGUCUUAGUAGCUCAGACAUAUCUUGGUACAAUCAUGCGAAAUCAUCCUUGAAUUCUUAAAGUAACUCAAUGACGUCUCCCUUUGUCUCUGCGGUGAUACAGGCUCUGGUUUUCACCUUUUUCCCUUUUCUUAAGCUCACAAUUUCCAACUGAUUUUUUUGAAAGGUAGGAUCUAUUUUUUGACUUGCUCUACCAUCCUUAACAAAUCAGGAGAUAAACUACAAUCUCGAUCGUCUUCGAAGUCUUGAGGUUCCUCUAGGCACAUAUCUUGCUCAAAAGAAAGUUCUCAGUCAAUAGCAGUAUCACUCAUAUCAUUGAUAUCUGGAGACCUGUUCUAGAGACGAAGGAAGACUCAAAGAGUUAAUGAAUCAAAGGGUAAUUAUCUGUAUGGUAUGAGUAAAAAUGGAAGGAACAAAAGAAUGUUUGCCAAGGCAAAACAAAAAGAUGCAUUUCAUUGAAAUAAAAAAAAAUAGUGGACAUGUGCCUUUUCACAAAAGAAUUUCCUAUUACUCUCAGGCUUAGAGCAAUAAGAGUGUUCUGAAUAUUACUUUGAAAUGGUCUUGAAAAUUACAAGAAUCUCCUCCAUAGUCCAGUUGUUUAGAACGCUUCUAGAGAUGUAGAAACAAAUUCUUGAUAGUUUUUUUCUUAGUUCCUUCUUCAAAGGUACAAACAUCUUUACCUUCCAAACCAUCGAUAUAUUCAAAGAAUCCCAAUUCUUUAUCAUCCAUCUGGCUCUGUACUAGAGUUCUAAACUCGAUGUACUUUUGGAUUUUGGGAAAUUUAUUGUAUACAAUGAAAUGUAAUGUUAAUGAAUGAAAAGAUGCAUGCAAUGUAAUGUAAUGCAGAUACAUGAAUACAAAAAGAGGCGUUGAUCUUGAUUCAAUUCAAUUAGAACAACUUUUCUAGAAAAAAAAUCUCUUUACAUAAAAUGGAUAUUUACACAUACGGCUUGUCCUCAUACUCAAAGUGAAGACAUCGACCCUCUUUAUCAUAUCCAAAUGCUAAGAUCGAAUCUCGCGAACUCCCCAAAAGAGGUACCUCUUCGAUCUCCUUUGCUUGAUUUGAGUUGCGACCCAUUGUUUGCCCAUCCUCGUGAUACUCGUUGGCUUCUCAUUAAGAAAGUUCAGUGGCUCUCGAAUAAUCUUUGUCAUCUUGAGUCUUCGGGCAACGAGGCAAAGUCGUGUACUCAUUCACCAGACUAUCACUCUUCUCUUAUCACAUUUUCUUAGACCAUAUUCAGACAACCGUAUUGUCAUCCACUUUAUCAAGAAACCCAUUUUCUUAUGACAAGCUCUCUAUUUAGCAACUGAACGUGAAUCAACACCAUUUUUUUUAUGAUGAAAAUGCAAUGCAAUCAUAUCCAAAACAAAAGAAAACAGGUUAGUACAAAGCAAAAGCAAGCAAGAAUAAAUAGAACACAUAUUCGGGUGACCACUAGGGGUUUGAAGUGGCUCUACCUAGGGUAGGCUCCUAAGGCUCAUUAUAUGCGGUUUGGUUCUAAAGUAAGUGUACCUAAACUAGCAGAUUCCUCAAUCCUCACCCAUUAUAGGCUCAUACGGACCGAGUUUGGUUCAGGAGAAUACAUUUCCCUAUGUCUGCACGGAGAUGAAAAUCUCACGAAGACAUAGGUACGGUUGUAUCCAGAAAGCGAUCCACUACCUUGCACGGAGGUGAAAACCUUACGAAGGACUAGUUUCUCACUCUCACUUAAAAGGGUGUGACCAACGGUCAUGCAAUGCAAUGUGCAGAGAUAUAAAAAUAAAAUACAGAACAUGAUGAAAAAUAUAACUCAAAACAAAGGAUAUGCAAUGAGAGGAUCGUAAAUUUAAAUCGAAUUUUCAAAUUUCGACAAAAAGACAAGAAAUAAUCAACACGUGGCUUGCCUCUCUUAUUUUUCAUCCCCAGUUGAGUCGCCAAGCUAUUGACACCAUUUUUUUGAUGAAAACGGGGUCGACUUGGAUUUUGAAAAAUGAAAACAAAUGUGGGAGUUGCCACCAAUCCUUUUUUAUGAGGUGUGAUCGGGUCACCUCGUAAAACGAUUAUUUUUAAUAAACGGUUUAGAUUUUAUUAAAACAACGAUUUUGGUCCACGAAAUUCAGAAAAAUAGGUUCAGGAGUCGAUUAGCACGAGGAAGGGUUAGCACCCUCGAUACACCCAAAAUUGGUACCUAGUCGAUUACUUAAUGUCUUGGUGUUGAAAAUUAAAAACUUGAAAAGAAUUAAAAAAUACAAUCCCUCUUUAUUGUGUUAUUUUAAAAUUACUCAAAUAAAUAAAAAUAGAAAAUGCUUUCUUAUCUCGAAGUAACAAGAUCUCACAUCCAGUAAGUUAGGACCCGACAUCUCGUAUUUUGAGAAUAAACUUGCCUUUUAUUUUUUAUUUAAACCUCAUUUAUUUCAAUUUUAAAAGGAUAUUCGGUUAUUUAGGAUCAACGCGAGAAAAAUCGAAGCUCAGUAAGUUAGGGCACGAUUUUCUCGAAUUUUCUAAAUACGAAAUAUUGCCUUAUUUUGAAAGUUUAAAAAGGAUAUUUGACUAUUUUGGUCGAACGAGAAAUCGAAACCCAGCACGUUAGGGCACGUUUUCUCGAUUUUCCAAACGCAAAACAUUGCCUUAUUUAGAAAAAAAUUUCUUUUUGAUGUAUGGUGUUAAUAUGCAUAGCAAAACAAUAAUGAAUAUGAUGGCAUAAAAACAAAACGAGCAAUAGCAACGAAAAUAAGAUAAUAAAAGGGACCAAUCAAUAACAUACAAAGUGACAAGUACAUAGGCAAAUAAAAUUGAAUCCUCCUUUCUAAAUAAUAAUGUAAAUGUAAAUAAAUAAAUAAAUAACGAAUAGAUGUAAAAAACAUAUAUACAUGAAUGUACACAAAAUUAUAAAAAUGUGAAAAAUCUAUGUACGUAUACAUAUUGUGAGAUUAUUAAAUAUAAAAAUAUAUGUAAGUAUGUAUAUACAUGUAUAGGUAUAUGAAUUAAAAUAUGUAAAUAUAUAAGUAUAUAUAUGCAUGUAGAAAAUAUGAAAUAUGAAAAAUAUAUAUUUAAAAUAAAUAAAGAAUAUGUACAUAUAUAUAUAUAUAUAAAUUAUAAGAUAUAGUAAGAAAUGUAUAUGAGUAUAUAUAUAUUAUAGAAAAAAUAUGUACGUGUAUAUAUAUAUUAUAAAAAACGCUUGUACGUAUAUAUAAUGACUUAAAUCAAGUAAUGCAAAUAAUAAGAAAAAUAUUAGGUAAAUAAAAUAUACACAUAUAUAUAUAACUUAAAAUAAAUAAUAAAGGAACUCCCCUUUUCAUUUUAAAAAAAUAAUAAUAAAUUAAAUGAACUAAAGGAUGAAAUUAAAAUCAAACCAAAAUUCGAGGGUCCAAACUGUAAAUAAAUAAAAAGGGAUUGAAAUGAAACAUGCUCAAACUCAAGGGACCGAUUGUGAAAAUUCCCCGUCCCUUAUGCGCAUCGUUUUGCACAGGACUAGCUUGGAAUAGGCGCCAAAUUAUGUGGCCAAAAUCGAAAAUAAUAAAAAGGUCAGAUUGCACCUCAGCGCCAGAUGGAGGGACCAAAUGCGCAAAUUACCCAUUAGGGCAAAGAGGCGCAGGUCACCCCCUUCAAACGGUGCCGUUUUAAUUACUAUAAAACUAAAAAUUUUUUCUUUUUUCUGCUGUUUCAUUUGCUGCCAAAGAACACAAAAAAAAAAUUUAAAAGGGAAGUCCCCUUUCUCUGCUAGGGUUCCAGGCCUAGCCUUGGAACCCCACCGCCAUCACACCUCCCCUGCCCGGAGCCAUGCAAGGGCGCCUUCAAGCCGCUCGUUGAAGCGCAUUCCGAGAUCGAGGCCAUGGAACAGGGAAACGAGGGGAAGAAGAAAAGCUUUGGCCUCUCCCUAUACCCGCGUCCGGCGACGGCGAAGGGCCGAUGAUGACGACGGACUCAGGGGGCCGAUUCAGGUGAGUUGAUUCCCUUUUCCCCUUUUUUAUCCUCUGUGUUAAUUAUUUUAAAAUGGAUUUGAAAGAAAAAAAGAAAAAAAAAAGAGAAAAAAAACAAAUAAAUAGAAAAAAUAUCAAAAGAAAAAUGGAGAGAAUAGUCUAAAAUCAACUUUUGGAAUUCGGUUUCUGAGUUUCGAUUGACUUAUGUGUGUAAAAAAAAUACAAGGAUCUGAUCUAGGCUUUUAUAGCCGAUUUGAACAACUCUCUAUUUUACUAUUUUUGUUUGUUUCUGUUGUCUGCUUGUGCUUGGCUUCUUGGUUGUUGCGUGUUCACAUUUCCUUGCAGGUAGCAGUGGUAGAGGCAGCCGAUGUGUCAGACGCAGUGACAGAGGCGUGCGUUGGAGGUGUGGCAGACGAGGAGGCCACGCAUGGAAGCUUGCGGGGCUAGGGGACUUAGGGUUUGGCUGAAAAUUUUUAAGUCUUGUGGGCUAUUGGGCUGUUUUUAGUUGGGUUAAUUUAAUUGUAAUGGGCUGGGGUAUUUUGGCCUCUGCUUGUUGGGCCGGGCAGAAAUUGGGUUCUACAAAUUUCUCUACUCUUCCUCCCACAUGUAUUAGGGUAAAGUUCACUUUCUCAGCUAGUUUCUCUUGAUCAGUCAUCUUCAUUCGAAAUAUAUAAAGAUGAGUGGCAAAGUAAAACAGAGAACAGAACAAUAGAGGCAGACAAGUUACUAAAUGCUCACCUCUUUAAGAUUGUUCUAACAAUUUAUUAAGACAGAAAUGUUAUGGCAACGUUAAAAAGUCUACUCCUUAAUUAACUUGAUGAUAAGCUACUUUGCAAGACUCAUGUUUGCUACAAUUACAUUUUUAUUUUCUACAAAAGGGUUUUCAUGAUAAAUGUAAAACCUUAUACUCCAUUGAUUAAAAGAGCACAUCCUAACACUCCUUUUGCUAUAUAAAAACCUUAUAUAUAAUCCCUGCAUGUAAACUUAAAAUCGUACAAUAGACUCAUAAUUCAUACCUGUAAAUGUUCAUGCUUGCAAAUAAUAGGUAUAUAAAUAAUGACAGGAUCUUUAAUCACCUUUGAUGUCAGACGUCACAACAGCCAUCGUCAACGGAUACGAGAUUCAUCAACACAAUGCUGACGUGCUCAAUAAAAUAUUUCAAAACCAUGCUCACUUUGCUGACCAAUUUCAAUUGAAUAAUCGAGAGUUUCAGAGCAACAUUAUGAAUGCAGUGCUGAAAUUUACCAGAAAUUAGAAAGCAAUCUGAAUAAGUUUGAGCUAACUGAUAUCAAUGAUAUGUUAGUAAGGGUGAAAGACACGGAGGUCCCCGGUUUGGAGCUUUCAUGGCUAAAGGAUUAGUUGGCAAAGACUCGUCAAACAUUGGAGGAUCAAGCAGAGAUAAAGAGAUUGUAAGAAACUAUCCGAGAAGCCAAUCUGAAGUUGGCCAGGUUAGAGAAGAAACAACAGCUAGAGUAAUUGCUGCUUCUCGUUAUUCCGUUAAAGUAAUAGCAGCCAAGGCUCUGUCUAGCCUCUCGUACAAAUCGCCGUGAUACUAGGUGAAUUUUGGUCCUUGGAAUCCCAGGUCACAUAGAUGAUUAUUAGAGCAAAACGAUUGGAAAUGAGAACACCCCCUACUGCCUUUCCACUCAUCCAUACUUAGAAUAGAGUUAAAAUUGUUGGAACAAUGGCAGCAGCAAAAAGAAAAAGAACAAGACAGAGAACAAAGGAGGAAGAAACAAAAACAAUUUACUUGCUCACAAACAUGCAGCAAGGAAGCAAUCUGAGUUUCACAACUGAUAUGCUUAAUUUUUCAAUAAGAAAAACAAUAUAUUUAUAGCCAACUACAUCAGUUAUUACUACCUACUACCACUAAGUAGCCUAGUAACUUUAAAAACAUUGCUUGUACACAAACAAACCACCUAAACUAGUCAUUCAACACCUAAACAUAUCAAGCUGUCAUCAGCUUGUUCAUUUCCAAGUAGUUUAAUCAACAAAGAAACUAAAGAGAAAAACUUAACUUGCACACAAGCCGAUUAUGUCAAUCAGCACCUAAAAACAUCAAAACAAUACCAACUUAGUUCAUUUUCAACUAAGUAGCUUAACAAAGAAACUAAAGAGAAAACCUUGCUGUUACAGCAAGUAUAUGUGCUGCAGCAUGUCAUCAAGCUGCAUGCACUUCAGCCAAAACAUAUAACAGCAGCAUGGUUGGCCAAUUUUCAACACUCCUCCUUGGACUCCAUGCUGCAAAUACAUAUCAUUCAUCAAGAAACUUAACAUUCCCAUAAACUAUGCCUUUUAUUGCUUUGAAGACUAGCAUAAAUGAUCGAGACAAAGAAUUGUCAAUGAAGAGCAGACUCUUUAAUCUUAACAGUAGUUGAAAUACUUUCAUCGCACAAUAUAAUUCCUAACAUUUUGACCACUACAGCCAGCAACCCUGCAUAUCUUUUCCGAGGAAAAUUCUUACUUGAUCUAUUUAAUAUGUACUUGGCAACUAGUUCUUGCAAGGAAAACCACAAUAAUUUUCCCUGUUUGAAUCCUAGAAAUCUUUUAAAUCAACCGAAUCAUCUCACUCGAAUACUUUAUUAAUUUUAUACAAAUUAUUCUUCGCAUCAACAAAUAUUAUUCAUGACAUUGCACUUACUUUCAUGUAGAAUUAUUUUUACCAUGCAAGGAAUUAUCUCCAUGAAUUACUGUCAUGUUUUAGUUUAAGACGAGUAAAUUUCGACAAGUAAUAAUGUUGAUGAACAUGAUAUCUAUUUUGAUGAUAUAACAUGCUUUCUAUUGAUUCAAGAAAGACAAUCAAUGACUUGAAAUUGAACCAUGAUUUUAAAGGACUUGGGUUUAUAUAAGAUUUUAACUUGACAAACUUAAAUCUUAAACUAUUAUCUUUAUGUUUACUUUCUGAUGAUAAUUAACAAAAAUAUUUGGUUUUAAAAUUUUAAUAAAAUCAAUGAAACACAAUUCAUAUAUAUGAAUGAUGAAAUUUGACGUGAUUAAAUAAAUAUUAAAUUUUGUUAUAUUUUUAAGAAUGAAUAUAGGUAAAAUGGUAAUAAACCGGCAUUUUAAUGUCAUUUAAAACGUGUCAAAUAAAUAUUAGAUUAGAUAUUCAAUAGUAAUAAUCAAUAUAUAUUAAUUGAAUUAGACAUUAUAAUUAGUCAUGACUGUCGAAAUUCAAAAUUGUAAAAAUUAAUAUAUAUUGAAUUAAAUGACUACCAUACAUAAUUUUAUUCAAAUAAUAAUAAUGAAAAAAAGAGAGUGUUUAAGACAAUUUCGUUGUAUUUGUUUAUUCUAUGAUCCAACUAUGGUAGGUAAGCGUGAUGUAGGCUCAUCGUACUCCCAUCCAGUAGCUUUAAUUUGCUCUAAUAGAAUCGAAAAUGAAUCAAUCCGUUUAAUUUCUUCUUCUUCCUCUUCAUCAUCGGAAAUCGAAUUUAUUUCCAAAAAAAGUUUUGGGUCAAUUUUGGAGUUCCAAUCAAUAUCAUCGAUAUACGUAUCUGCUGCAUUACUUGGUACCUUAUUUGUGCAAGGAAAACGGUGAUAAUAUUCCCAGAAUCUCUGUUUGGCUUCCUGGAAAGCUCUUAAACCAGUUGAAUCAUCUCAUUCGAAUACUUUAUCUGUUUUGAACAAAUUAUUCUUUGACUCAACAAAUCUUUUCCAUGGCAUUGCACCCACUUUUAUGCAGAAUUUUUUCUCCCAUGCAGGUAAUGGUUCCCAAGACUUAUCGCUAUCAUUCAGUUUGGAACGAGUAAAUUUCGGACUGUAGUACCUUUCUGAGCGAUUAUGAUAUCUUCUUCGAUAGUAUGACAUGAUUUCUUGUAAUUCAAACAAAUAAAUGAAUUGAAAUCACUAAUGAUAUGAAUUCAUAGUGAGGAGACUUGUUGGGUUUAUAUAAUAUUAUUAGAGUCGGUGGUGACUCAAUCCUUUUCCUUGUUGGAAAAGGAAUUCUAAUUUCAGUUUGACUAUGAUUUCUAUUUUCUAAAUAUUUGUAUUAUUAAAAAAUAACUAUAUCUGUAUUGAUUCGUUUUCCUCUUAUUGAUGCGUUACAUCCCUAGCUUCUCUGGAAUCCUCAUUGACUAUCUGAUCUCUUCGCCUAUUGGUGUUCCCCAAGAAUGUUUUUCUCGUUUUCUCCUCCUAAUUCAUCUCUACGAUUAUCACCUCCUAGCUUAACGUUUUCAACUUUCUUCCAGUACACCACUUUUCCCUUAAAGCGAGCUAAGUUCACAUUUACUUUACUUCCAUAUAUACAGAAUCCAUUAAGUUUACUAACUGCCCUCUUAUCAUCCACAAUGCUUGCAAAUCUUACUAAACCAAAACGUAGACCUUUUCGAUGCCUCUUCUUAGGAAUAAACGCAUCCAACACUUUGCCAUGGAACUCAGAGAUUUUCCAUGGUCCCUUCCAAUGAAAACAAGAAGCAAGAUUAGAAACAUAAACUGAAAUCACCAUUUUCUCUAAGGAUUUAGCCUAGUAAUAGUUAACAGUAACUCCACGGAUCUGAUUAAAAGCACAAGUUAAGUGAAUUACCAAGAACAAUGUUCUUCAAUACUAUUCCAAAUUCAAUUUUGGAACUUCUGUUAUCAUAGCUUUCAACUGUUUGAAACUCUGAUGGCAUUAUUCAAUCGUACAUAACUAACAUUUUCUGUAGCAACUUCGUCAUGGUAGAGCUAUCAUCGACAAGCCUGAACAAAUUGUCUGUAGUAUACAAUAAAUCCUAGAGAACUACCUAUUUCUAUAUUAUUUCCCAGAGAUUCCUUAAUUCACAUUUAUCAGGAGAUCAUUUGAAAUAACUCAAAUAUCUUCUGCUGUUACUAAAAGGUUUAGAAAACUUAUUUCUUGAAAUUAAAAUUCACAUUUAUUGAUCUUCACAAAUAAUUAUUUCUUUCGUAAUGUCUGUAACACUGUAAUUCCAAUACUAAUCGUGUUCAAUUUUUUUUCUUCACAUGAAUUGAGUAUCUUUAAUUAUCUAACAACAACUCUGAUAUGAUACAGCUAGAAACUUUUGUCUAUUAAAUAUAGAGUAAACUACACCUAUGGUCACUUUUGUUUACUUUAGGUUACAUUUUGGUAACUUAUGUUUAAAAUAUUACGUUUUAGUCACUUACGUUAUCGUGUUGUAACAUUUUAAUCAUUGAGCCGUUAAUUGUCGUUAACGGUGUAACGGUAAGCUAACGUGGCACGUUAAAUCAUCAUUUCAAACAAAAAUUUUAGGUUAAAUCAUACAACCGAUCCCCAUAUUUUUUUUAUUUUGGGCAAUUUAAUUUUUUUCUUUUAUAUUCUUUAAACUUUACUCUCUCUUUUUCUCUUUAUUUUCCAUUAUCUUCUGUUUCUCCUUCUAUUUUCCUACCUUCUCCAUGUCUUUUAACACAUUAAGAAGUCGAAUUGACAGUGAAGAAAGAAGUAGAAAGUCGAAAGCCAUCACUGCCUAUAAUCAAAACCCAUAAACCCGUACCAUGACUCUUUUUUUACGACCAAUUCAACUUCCUGAUAUGUUAAAAGAAAUGGAGAAAGAAGGAAAAUAGAGGGGGAAGCAGAAGAAAAUGGAAAAUAAAGAAAAAAAGAAAGUUAAAAGAACAUAAAAGAAAAAAAAUUAAAUUGCUCAAAAUGAAAAAAAAUAUGGGGACCAAUUUUAUAAUUUAACCUAAAAUUUUGUUUGAAAUUAUAAUUUAACGUGCCACGUCAGCUUACCGUUACAUUGUUAACAGCAAUUAAUGGCUCAAUGACUAAAAUGUCACAGCAUGAAAACGUAAGUGACUAAAACGUAACAUUUCAAACAUAAGUGACUAAAAUGUAAACUGAAGUAAACAAAAGUGACCAUGGAUAUAGUUUUCCCUUAAAUAUAUAAAGUGACCAUGCAAUUGAUAAUCAUAUACAAUAAUCAACAUUUGACUAAACUUUGCAACCUAUACAAGUCUUUUUCGGAUUUCGACGAAAUAUAAACAAAAAUCCCGAGAAGAUACUUAAAACAUUUACUCAUCCGUGGCAACUGAUUGAAAAAAUUUGGGUUGUCGUCUAGCUCAUAAUCGUAUACAAGGUCAAUACCAAUUUCUAGCACCGAUAAAUCUGAAAGAACCCGAAGACUAACAUGAUCACCAGCUUCUAAUUCAUCACCCCUAAAGUUCCAACAAGUCGUCCAGUAUAAGGUAUUCUUAGUUUCAGGAAUUCCCAUGAAAUGUUUGGAGUAGGUCCACUUUGUACCUUUGGUCUCGUUCACAAUUUCAAGGCAUGGUAAAAAUCCAUAUGUUUUAUCAUUCUUGGCAGAAAAAAUGAUAAUUGAAUUUAAGAAGCAACUUAUCUUUCGACUAGAGUUUGGGGGCACUGAUAUUGAAACCUCAGUCUUGCCAGCUUGAUGGCCAAAGUAAUGACCAUGGUAAUCAAAUGGCAAUGGAUCAAAUGUUGUAAUUAUACCGUAAUCAUAUAAUACCUGUAGCAUUGGGUUAGAGAAUGAGUUAUUAAAAAGUAUAUAGUAUAUAAAUAAUUUUAAAUACUUGGAACUUGCAAAGGGAACCUGUGGUGAAGCAACCACUUUUGAUUCUUCUAUAUAACUGCAAAGUUGCACUUUAACAUUUCCAUAAGAUUCCAAACUGAGCAAGAAUUUAGUUAGGUCAAUCUUGAUAUUUCUUGUGGAAACUUCAUCUCCUAAAAUAUGUACAAUAAUGUGUUAUUUAUCAAUUUUAGUGAUCAUCAACAUAAUAUGCUUAUUACAAAAUAAUAGUAUUGACUUGAAUGGAGUGAUAAUUAAAACUUUUAUCAGAUACUCAUUUGACACGAAUUAAAAUCGUGACCCAUCCCCUAUACUCAAUAUUGUAUGAAAAAAAGAUAUCAAAGUAUUAAUGUUAUUAUCACUAAAAUGUAUUAUAAGACUUGUAAGAAAUAAUCAAUUAUACACAUUAUAUCUUUAUUUUUUAUUUUAUUUUUAUAUAAAAUAUAAACUUUAAAACCAUUAAAUAUGUUAAUCAAAACUCCACUGUUAUAAUUUUAUCCAUUAUUUUAGUUUCCACUUCUAUUAGUACUAUUGGAUUAAUCAUUUAUCAAGCAAUUAACUUAUUUUAGUUAAACCCCAAUUGCAGCAUAACUUUAUAAUUAUCAUUUUAUUAUUAACCUAAAUUUCUCUCAUAAUCUAUUAAAUUGUCACAUUUCUUGAUAAUAUUUUUAUUGUAUUAGAAAGUCUUUUAGAGAAACAUUCAUCAUUUCUUGAACAUUUGUUAUUCACAUAUAAAAUGAAACAAUAAAAUAAAUAUAUAAUAGAAUGUAUUUACUAAAAUAUAAUUAUUUGAAGUCUACUCAUACCUGUAGAUAAGUGCGAAAAGUCAUAUUCAUAUCCAAUGUUGUGUUCUGAUUCACAAGUAACGCCAAAUUUUCUUAUGCUGAGAUGCAUAGGCACUACCAUGCAACUCACAAGGUCACCACCUUCAAACUGACAGUCCGUUACUGGCCAGUGAAUCAACCACAACAUUGUGUUAUCGUUAGUCUGAGGAAUUCCAAUGAAACUUGAGCGAUAUCUCUGCAUGAUCCUUUUGGUCUCAUUGAAAAUGUGGACACCUGGUAGAAGCUCCAACAUUUGAUCACUAGCUAAAGAGAAAACAAUGCAUAAGCUGAACCGAUGGAUCUUUUCAUCUGGAUGAGAUGGUGUUGGCAAAAAAAAAGAGAUUCGAUGCUCGUUAGUGCGAUGCUUAAACCCAAUCGGAACUUCACUUCCUACAACAAAUGUGCUUGUUAUACCACAUUCUUGCAAGACCUGAUCCAAAAAGAACAAGUUAGAUGAUUAAGUAGUAUAAAAGAAAAAUUAGAUUUAAAAUUUAAGUUGGAGAACUAUUGGACCUGUGGGGUAGCUAGCAUUAUGCUGUCUGUUAGGUAGCUAUAAAGUUGCAGUCGAUUUCUGUUAAUGGAAUCCACGUUGAAUAAUCUUCUAAUCUCUUCUGCUCCAAAGUUUUCAAUUGGUUCCACCUUGAAUAGAUCUUCAACCUCAGUCAAUUUUUCACAUCCAAAAAUAUUAACACAUCGUGUGGAAGAAAAGAAGCGUGGAAGAAGUGAAGAAUUGACUCCAAAAAUAAAGUUGCACUCAAAAACAUCAAGCAAGACCGGAAGCUUUGGAAUCAUUUGGAGUUCAGUGCAAGAAGUCAAUAGAAGUUGAUCAAGUUCUGUAAGGUAUUUUAAGCUCUCGGGUAGGUAACGAAUUGGGUUUCUACUUAAAUUUAAAGAUUUCAAGGAUGCCAAGUUACAAAGAUCAUUGGGCAUGACAUCAUUAGAUAAUUUGCAACUUUCAAGGCUUAACUUUACCAAAGAGCCCGGUAGAGAUGCCCAAGAGAAACCCAAUCCUUUGCUUCUUUUCAGUAAGAGCCACUGCAACCCCAAUCUUGAUUGAUAUAUGGCAGUUUCAUCUAAAUUAAGCACCUUCAAUGAUUCCAUAUUAUGCAACUCCCUAGGAACAUCAUCAAGUCUUGAACAACCAGAUAAGAUAAGCUCUUCAAGUGAUAUUAAUGAACCAAUUGUCCUUGGAAGUUUCCUAAGACUUGUGCAAUCUUUAAGGUUCAAGAAAGUAAGCAUCUUUAGCUCACCAAUGGAUUGAUCAACUUCCACCAAAUUUAUGCAGUCUUUAAGCAUCAACUUCUCAAGGCUAGGGAGUCCUGAAAAGCUUGGGGUUUUAAGAAGGCUAUGUGAAUGGUUGAGAUUAAGGAUCUUUAAAUUUGGGAGGCACUGCANNNNNNNNNNNNNNNNNNNNNNNNNNNNNNNNNNNNNNNNNNNNNNNNNNNNNNNNNNNNNNNNNNNNNNNNNNNNNNNNNNNNNNNNNNNNNNNNNNNNNNNNNNNNNNNNNNNNNNNCGAGAACAACUAGUUCAUUGAUAUCAAAAUCCACCGGAAAAGAUUGCAUACAAAACCCAUGCCAACGUAACCAUCUUAAUCUUUUUGGGUAAAGGUCUUUGAAGUCUCCUUUAAGUCUCACAUAAUCCAGUUGAAGCAGUUUAAGUCUCUUCAUCUUUGCAAAUGCUUGAGUUUCCAUAUCAACAUCAUUUGCCAUGAGAAACUGACUUUUGGAAUGCUUUGGAAAAUGUAGAGUUGUAUUUGUCCUUUUAGCCUUGUCUUCUAGCAAUCCUUUUAGGUCAAGUGUGAGGCACUUAACUGUUCUGGAACCCUGCAUCAGAAAAACUUUUUUAAAAAAUAAAAAGAAAUUUGAUAAAAAAGAAAAAAAGUAGUUUACAUGCACACAAGAAAAAAGUUGAGUAAAAUGAUGUUUCGUACAAUUUUUUCUCUUACUACAUCAAAAGCGUUCUUAUGCCACAAUCUGCUUCGCUUCCCAAUAUCACAAGAUUCUUGACGAAUAAUUUCUCGUCCCAUAUCUCUAAUCAUUUGAUGCAUCAUUAGCUUAUUUUUUUCAUUAAUGAUUAAGAGAGACAUGCCUACUAGAUUUUCAAUUCCAAUUGUUGUAUAGAAAUCACAACCAUCUAGAAUUGUAGUCGUGUAAUCUCUAUCCUUCCCAAUGAAUAAACAAACUAUGUCAAGGAAUAAAUUUUUGUCAUGAUCGUCUUCCAAAGAAUCAUAGCUUAUUCUUAGAAUCUUUUGAAUUUUGCUGUCAGGGAUUUCUUCCAAUUUCUCCAAUGCACUUUUCCAAGAACUCACACUUUUGCUAGAUAAUGAAGAGCCCAAAACUUGAAGAGCUAAUGGGAGCCCACCACAGUGUUUCACUAAACUUUUUGCAUAUGCCAUUGAACUUUCAGGCACAGAGUUAUGACCAAAAGCAUACCAAUUAAAAAGUUGUAGCGAUUCACUUGAAGCUAAUUCUUUUACUUCAAAUAGCUUACUUAAGCCUCCACAACUAGUUGAUGCUUCCGAAUCAAACAUUUGGCUUAUAAAAUGUGCAUUCAAUAGGCAUCGGUUUCUACUAGUUAUGAUGAUUUUACUUCCCAGAUGAAAAGGAAUUUGAGUUCCCAUUAAUUUUCUUAUUUUUUCCAAUUCAUCAACAUCAUCAAGAACAAGAAGAACUCUUCUACAACAUACAACUUCUUUGAUCUUGUUAAUUCCAUUAUCUAUAUUGUAUAUUUUAUGUGAUUUUCCUUUAAGAAUAUCUGAAAGAAGUUGGCUUUGCAAACGGACUAAACCAUUGCAAUCUUGACUUGUUUCUCUAACAUCAGCAAGGAAACUAUAACCUUCAAACCUCGGGAUAUUUUGAUUGUAAACAACUUUGGCAAUGGUUGUCUUCCCAAUGCCUCCAAUGCCACAAAUAGUUGCAAUGCCAACUUUAUUUGCUCCAUCUUGUUCUAACCAUUGAUUAAUUUGUGUCACGAGAGAAUCUAUUCCAACUAAAUAAGGAGGGACAUACAACGAAAUAAGAUGAAGUUUAUUUUGAACUUCCUUAACAAUAUCUUGGAUGAAUUGUGAUUCAUGCCUGCAAAUUUAAAAAAUACAACUCAAUGGUAAAAUCUUGGAAAUUAAGUAAAAGUUACUAAUGUAUUUUCUCUUUUCUUGCAUAUAUUUUGAUUGCUUUUAAGAGAUUAUAUGUUCAAGUAAAAGUAAGAAACUAAUGCAACAUUUCAACAUAUAUGAUAGAAUUAUUACAUUCAAAAUCAAAUUAUAGAAUUAUUACUUUCAAAAUCAAAUUAAAUCAAAUAAAAAAAAAGCAACAUAAAAAUUAAUGAAAUUCAUUCGAGGAACAACCUAUACUCAAAAUUUCAACCUUCUCUUUGUGAAAGUUUAAUAAAUUCAUGUUAUUUACAUGAAUAUAUAUAUUAAUUUUUAUUUAUUGUAAUAUUUUGAAUAUGUGUAGACCUAUUACAUGAAUAACUUGGAUAUGAUUGUUGGAAAUAUACCACUGCAAAAUAGAAUUGUUACAGGAGAUCAAACUGAAUGUAAAUAAAAUAAGAAUCUCUGUAUCGUGGAAGAACCACUGCAUUAGAGGCAAAUUCGCCAUGAUCGGUGUAAUCGUGUAGUGGACGUUAUCCCCCAACACAAUACUUUAAUAUUCGUACACCCGAAUAAAGAAGGUGGAACACGAUUGACAUUACUCUUCCCGAAAAAAAAGUUCAAUUCCCAAUAAAGAUUAAAGGGGUCAAAAAUAGUCUCGCUUAAAACCUAAUCUCUUAGACAGAAUUUUCCUCUCGUGUAAUUUUGCAGAACACUAGAAUUUAGAUAACAUAGAGAAGUUAUUUUUCUCUUGUUGUGUUAGGUGGGAGAAUCACCUCCUAUUUAUACUAUUUUUUUAUAGGCAAAAUGGUAAAAAAACAAUUUUAGCUUCCAAAAAUAGCAAAGAAUUUUCCUAACUAAAAAUAGUCUAAAAAUAUUUUUUAUAACAGUCAAAGGAUUUUCCAGAAUUCAAAAUAUUCUUUUGCAUUACCAACAAUGACAUCUUAGAAAACCACUAAUAGUGUCAUUAAAUUCAAGAGGCUAUUUCUUUUUGUUUUCAACUCGUCAAGUCCAAAUUGUUCACGUGAUAAGUGCAAACGUAUUUAAAUUUUGAAGGUUCUUUGUAAAAAUAUUAUGAAGGUUCUUUGUAUUUUAAGUUAUAUUAUAUUUUGUUUCUUCUAUUUAAAAAAUAGUAAUUUAGUCAUUGUAUAUUAUAUUAGAAAGUAAAUUAGUUCUUUUGUUAAAAAAAUUAUCUAUUGUUAUUAUUAAAAAUUGGUCCAUGUAAUCAACAUGAGGUACAUGUGACAAGCCACAUGCGAUUAUCUAGUUAUUUCGUCAUUCACAUUAGUUUUUAACAACAAAAAUGAAGGAAAUUUUUAAUAAAAAUAAUAAAUUUAUUCUUUUAUUUAAUGUAUAUGGACUAAUUUACUUGUUUUUAAAUACAAUUUAACUCUCAAUAGAAUGAUCUCUAUGAUACUUUUACCACCUAAUACCUUGGUAGAUACACUCAAUAAUUAAACCACAACCACAAUAUAUCACAUAGACAUCACAUUAAAUAUUCAAGUUCGGUAUAGUAAAGAAACAAUUUUAGUAUCUAUGCAUGAAUGAAGAAUUAAUUGUUUUUGAAAAAGAAUUGGUCAUUAAAUUGAUCAGAUCGUCAAUUUUUUUUAAUUUGUUCGUGUUAUCUAAAGUAAAUAAAUUUUUAAAAAUAAAAAAAUAAAAUUCACGUAUAUUGCACGUUAAAGUAAAUUGAAAAUGAGAAUUGAGAGGGACAUAAGAGAAGGAGAAUAAUUCCGUAAGUAUCUGGUGUGGAAAAUAGUGGCAGUAGAAAACGCGUUUCAAUCGCUUUUCAUUUCGGAGUCAUGCUUACGGUCCAUUUGGUGUGGAAAAUAGCGGUACUAGAAAACGCGUUUCAAUCGCUUUCCAUUUUGGAGUCAUGCUUACGGUCCAUUUGGUGCUCAACAUUUUUAUUAAAAAUAUUAUUUGAGUAGAGUUUUUCAAGAGAGGUAGUAGAAAGGAAGGAAAACGUUAAAGUUGUUCACUAUAAAAAAAAUAAAUAUUAUCAGACCUUAAACAAUGAAUUAUCGGCCUUAAAUUAGCAAUUAAAGAGGAUGGGAUAAGGGUAAGGUUGAGUAAUUGAUCCAAAAUUUCAUGCUGAGGGCAACUAGCACAAAAUUGUUUAAAUAUUUUCCAAUAUUCAUUAAGGAUUAGAGGUGAUAAUGGGUCGGGCGGUCCGGCCCGGCCCGACGGCCCGCCCAAAAUAUGAGAGAGUUUGGGUAAAAAUAUAGGCCCAAAGUAUGUAUUUGGGAAAAAAUGAGGCCCGUUUUCGGGCCUUGGGCAAAAAAAUUUUGGUUCGGGCCCGACCUAGCCCAGCCCGAAUAUAAUAAAUAUAUAUUUUUUUAAAAAAUAAAUUUCUCAUUUCCCCUCCCCAUUUCCCAUUUCCCAUUUUCUUAAGCCCAUAUAUUUUGAAAUUUAUUUUUUAUUUUUAUUUUAAAAUUUUUAAUUUUUAUAUUUCAAAUUUUAAAUUUUAAAUUUAAUUAUUAGUAUUGUUAAAUUUGUUGAUAUGAUAUUUCAUGGGCAAGGGUUCUACUCUAAAAUAAUAAUAAAAAAUUCUUUUUUUAACUCUUUAUAAUUUAUAAAAUUUUAAAAUAGUAAUGGUAAAAUUACACUUUGCCCCUCAAAUGAUAAAAAAUGUUAAUUUAAUAUUUUAAAAACGGGUCGGGCUCGGGCUUAGUAUUUUUCCCCGGGCCGAGCCUGGACAAAAUUUUAGGCCCAUAUUUCGGGCCGAGCCAGGCCUGGGCCUAGGAAGCGAGCUGAAAAUUUUUUCUGGGCCCAUGAUCACCUCUAUUAAAGAUCUUCAUAUCCUUUUUGUGGUAUGGCAUAGAUUUCUUUCCUAAUUGAAGCACCAAGUUAAGAAAAAGCAAAUUCAACGAAUAUUCUUACCAUAUCUAUUUUAAAAUUUUAAUAUAAUUAAUGAAAAACAAUUCACAUAUAUGAAUCAUCAAAUUUGACGUGCUUAGAAAACAUCAUGUGAUAGCCUGAUGAUUAAGAUUGUUCAUCACCCUAAAUGUGGCCUAAAUUUGAAUCGCGCUACUUGCGUUGGUUAUUCAAACUUUACUUGUUAUUGUAAUUCAAAAAAAUUAACACACUUAAAUAAAUAUUGAAUUUUGUCACAUUUAAUAUAGAGGACAUAAGAGGAGGAUAAUUCCCAAGUACUUGGUGUGGAAAUUAGUGGUACUAGAAAAUGCGUUUCAAUUACUUUUCAUUUUGGAGUCAUGCUUACGUUCCAAGACUUUAGCCAUUAGCAAUUAAAGAGGGGCCUCAACAAAAUUAUGGCCCCAACUGUUUCACCUAACAUAAAAAAUUCGUUGGCUAACCAAUUUCAGUGCAAUAAAAGUAGUGAAGAGGAUGGGUUAAGGUUAAGGUUUACAUUGUUGGUAAUGCAAAGUAGAAUCCCUCGUUGCAGCCUUCAAAUUUUUUGGUUCACAAUAUUUUAGGAAGAACUCGAUUCAAAUAAUAUUUUUUGGUGAUUGUUUUUUUCAAUAAUAUUAUCUUUAAAAUUUAGAUCUAUAUUUUUUAAAAAGUAUAAUAUGUCUUACCAUUAUGUCUAACACUUACUAAUUAUUCAAAUAAUAAUGUUAACAAAAAAGGUUGAGCACCAAAUGGUUUGAUAAGUACCAACAAGCUCAUGGUCUAAAGUCUAGAUCGAGUAGCACUAUUAUCCAAAACAUAGUGCAACAAAUCAAUUCUUUCUCCGACGUUUGUUAUAGGGAACUCUACAACCUAGUCUACUAAUUAUCAAUUUUAUUGUUGUGACUCCACAACUAAAAUUUACCCGAUCCCUUCAUUCAAGAGUAUAAUUAUUCGAAUAGGAUUAUGUCUCUUUUAUGGUGGAACACUAAUUCAUUUUAUUACAUGGAUUUGUUCAUAAAAAUUCUCUUAAAAUAUCGAACAAAUAUCAGUUAGGUGUUUUGAUUUAAAUAUUUAGUUUUUAAGAGAAUAUAUUCUUACCUCAUUAUGACUUCUCGAAGAUUUAUGUCAAAUCCAAACUGAUGUGAGUUGGUAGCCAUAUAUUUUUAUUUUUAAGGAUUUUAGUCCCUCUAUAUUUUUGAGAUUUCAAAACUCAAAUCCAAUUGUUAACACUGCUAAUUUUUUUUGUUAAAUUCAAGUUAAUUACAACAUCAUUUUUGUAAUUACGUGGUUACUAAAUAAGUUUUUUUUUAAUUUUAAAAUGCCACCCUAACACAUUUAACAAAAAAAUUGAAAAUGUUAACCAUAAGAAAGUAAAGAGACUAAUUUUUUGGAAAUGAAAGUACGUGUUCCAAACUCCAAAAUUUGUAAAAGUACAAGAACUUAUGACAUAUUUUAACCUUUUAACUUAUGGGUCGAGCUACCCAUCCAAUCCCCGCUCGAGAUUUGGGAGGAUUUAGACAAAAUUAUCAAGCUCAAAAAAUGGACUUGGACAAAAAGUUAGUCCGAUUUAAAAUACGAGUUGGGCUCGGGCAUAAAAAUUCAAGGCCCGAGUCAUUUACUAAUUUUCUAAUAUAUUAUAUUAUGUUAUUUUUAAAAUUAUAUAAUUUAUAUCAAAAAAUAAAUCUAUAGUAAUACAUAUGAUACUAUAAUGUAAACAUUAAAAAAUGUUAAGAUGUCUAUAUAAAAUGUUAAGAAAUUUGGGAAAAAAUUCAAUUCAAUUAGGCUCAAAACAAUUUGUGGGUCAAUUAAUUUAACAUCUCUAUUCAAAUCGACAAUGGCGAAACCUAAUAGAGGCUCAGGGGGCCAUGGCACCCCCAAGGAUUAAAAUUUUUUCAAUUUAGCCCUUUGUAGAUAUACUAUGGCCCUCCCAAACAUAUAAGUAGCACCCCAAGGUUUAAGAUUUUUGUAAUUUUCCAAAAAUAUUGCUUCUUUUGGAUCGAUUAUCACGUUGGAAUAGUGCUUCUUUUGAGUCAAUUCUUUAUAUGUUUAAAUCGAUUGUCAAGUUGGAACACUACUUCUUUUGAAUCGAUUGUGUAUAUGAUUAAAUUGAUUGUUAUGUUGGAAUACUGCUUCUUUUUAAUUGAUUGUGUAUAUGAUUAAAUCGAUUAUUAUGUUGGAAUAUUACUUCUUUUGAAUCGAUUGCUUAUAUGUUUAAAUCGAUUGUUACAUAACACAUCUAAUUAAUUUGUUCUUUGCUUCUUUGAUUGUUGCGUAGCAUUUCCUUUUAUUCUCUACUUCUUUGAUUGCCUAAAAUGAUAAGGGACCAAAUGAAUAUCAGCAAAGAAUUUAUGUUGGAGUUUGAAUCGAUUCUUCGCUUAUUUCAAUUGAUUGUUUGUUGUUUUGAAUUAAUUCAUUAUUGUUUAAAUUGAUUCAAACUCCUACAUAAAUUCACUGCUGAUAUUCAUUUGGUCCCUUAUCAAUAUUGACUUACACAGGUGUAUGUAAGUUCUUUUUCCCUCAAACCUCCUGCUGUACUUGUGAAGCAAGCAAAGGUAUAUUUACGGUUGUUCUUACUCUAGAAGAGAAAUGAUUCCUCAUACUUUAUACAGUGUAUUUACAUAUUUGCCCUCAACCGAAUAUUGAGGGAAUCUCCCUUUACUUUUGACACGGUCAAUAGAAAGUUUAAGGGAAAAGAACUAAUUUACACCGGUGUAUAUAAGUAUUGAUAACUCAUUGAUACCAAAUGUUUAGAUUAAAUCGAGAAAUCAUUAUAUAGUAUUUUCCUAUACUAUGUGUUAUGUUUAUUAAUAAAACAUAUUUUUAAUUUAAAUGAUAUACUAAAAACUGCUCAUCUACACAAUCAUUGAUAUGUUGAUUUAGGAUCCAAACUUGAAUCAUAUAUUCUUACGUAGUGAAACUAAAAAGGGCCUCGUCGCCAUUCUCCAUCUAUUCCUAUAUAUUCAUCUGUUCGAAAGGAACUGAACUUAACAAAACACCAUGAAAGCAUAAUCGAUAUUUUUUUCACUUUUAAGAAAUAUAAGUUGUUAAUAAUAUCAAACCCAAUAAUACAAUAUAUCAACAAUCAAAUCAAAUCAACAACCAUACCACAAGCAAAAAGAUAAAAUCAAUUCAUUAGGAAGGGUCUUCCACCUCAUUAUCUGCAUGAUUUUCAUACGAAUCCAGUUGUAAAGUAAUGGUGUUUAACACUUUGAAUCGAUUCAUUAUUGUUUGAAUCGAUUCAAACUCCAACAUAAAUUGGUUCUAAAUUUACUUAUCUAUCAUCACUAUUUUUGCAUGUUUUCGGUAAAAGGUAAAUUUUUCUUUUGAUAAGUUGGGAUGGUACACUUAUGGUUUGACCUAUUUAGCUAUUUAGUUCUUUACACAUAAACUUUUUAAUAACCUAGACUUAGUGGGUAAGAAAUUUUUAGGAAUUAUGAGUUUGCUUGACUGCCUACCUUAUAUCGUCUUUCAAAUAAAAAAACAAAAAAAAAAUAAUGCGCCUCUGAUAUGAAUGUUAAGAGUGAAAAAUUGGGGUUAUACAUCGGGCUGAGUAACCGGAACAUGGUGCUUGGGUUGUCAUCAUAUCUCGCGUAAAAAGGUUUGUGUGGCUGUCUAAUUUCUUUGCACUCACUCCGCUAACAAGGUAUCACGACUAGGGUGAAAUAACCCGCUUAGAGACGUCUGAAUUGAGUAACCGGAACAUGGUGCUUGGGUUGUCAUCAUGUCUCGCGUCAAAAAAUUCGAAAAUGUCCUAAGUACAAAAUAAUAAAAUAAAGGGUAAGUCUAUCAAGCUCUAAUAAAUUCCAAUAUAUAUUUACUUACUUCUUAGGCUAGGUUAUUUGAGAUGUUAAUGUGCUAGGAUUAAAUUGUUGAAUUGUACAAACCAUGAGGGCCAAGUCCUAUUUUGGAGGAAAUUUUUUCCCUUUUGCAGAUACAUGCAUAAUGCUCGAGGAGUAGCAUAAGCUAAGUAGAGGGGAUUUGAUUAAAUGCUAAAGUUACAUAUUUUAUGUAAUUAAAUUGGUUAAUUUAUGAAAGUGCACCACUAAUUUUUCCAUGUUUUUAUUGAAUUUUGUGCAAGGGUGCAAUUUAGGGCUAAAUAGAAGAAAAAGAAAACAAUUGGGCUAGAUUGAAGAAAGAAGCAAAGAAUGAGGGGCCAAAGUAGAAUUUUUCCAAGAAUAAUUAGCUGAAAUUUUUAUUGACUUAGUGGGAGAUUAUUUUGAGAUUUUUGUUAUAUCAUGGAAUAUUUUUCCUUGAUUUUCUAUACUAGUUUGCUCUGAAUUUAGCAAAGCGACUAGUAUAAAUAGUGGUCUAUUUUGUUCAUUUUAAUCAUCAAUUGAAAUAUCAAGCUUUCAUCUUUCAAUACUUUCUCUCCUUCCUAUUCACGAAUUUAUUUGCUGCCUUUAGUUUCUUUUCCUUCAAUUUAUUAAUUCCUAGUAACCACCAACUUAAGCCAUUUGCAAUUCCUUUUUCAAAUUCCCUUUUCAUUUCCAGUAGUCAACCACCCCACUUUAAUAAAUUACUAAAUUUCCAGCCCCCAUACUUAAUCACGCCACCAAUCCUUUUCACCCAAUUUUACCUUAUAUAAUUUAUCCAAUACCAACAUGCCCCAAACCUUAGUUAACUAAAUUCAUUUUCAGCUUUAGGUUGGAAUUAGCCUCAUCAAAACUCGUGAGUUACGAACCCGAGCUAUUUAACUCCUAAAUUCCAGUACUUAUUAUUUCUCUGGAUUAAGAGUAUGAUUUUGUCAACUCACAAAGUCAGAUCAACAUUAAGUCAAAAAAGACGUCGUUUGAUUUAGUGUGGUUAGACGUAUAGUUGAAAUUUUGAAAUGAUCGAUUGUCUAAUCGGUUUUCCGUGAACAUAUUGGCGUGCCAAGUAGAGAUUGUUGUUUGGUUCCGUCAAAGGAAGUAGUAACUGGAUUUAAAUAUCCCACGGGUUGAGGGUAUUGGUUCGAGCUAGGCUCUUCUAGAACGCAAAGCUGCCGGAGUUCUAAAUCACUAACGUUUCGUUGGUUGUUCGAUCGAUAAGGGUUAGUUAUUGGACGUUCCAUAACUAAUUUACACAAGGAAGAGUUGGUGUCUGAGGCGUCCCUGAUAGCUAUAACUAGCUUAUUGGUAAAAGGAGUUCAUCUAAUUUCGAGGAUCGAUUCAAAAACGAGGAAAAAUUCGUGCCUAAAGCUGAGCUUAUUUUAAUUAAUUUUUCUUCAGAUUUAUUUAAUUUAUUUUAUUUUAUUUUCAGCUUUUACUUUUUACGCAUUUUGUUUAUUUAUUUCAGGUUCCUGGUUUUCGAUUUUAUCCUCCCCCUAACUUCUUGGGCACGACAACUGCCCCGACAUAAAUCUGGUCAAGAGAGCAACAAUUUGCAGUAAACCCAGUCUCUGAGGGAUCUACCCUACUCCCUGUACUGCUUAAAUUUGCAAAAUUAGGUGUAGGUUUAUAUUGGUGGAUUCGACACCCAUCAGGGCAAACGAUGUACUCAAUUCUGUAAGAUGAUCCUUAAUUUGACAGGUAUUUGUAAGUGCAAUUGAAGCUAAAUGUCGAAAUAGAAGUUGACAUCUGAUAUUGAGCUCGAUUGGAUAGAUUCAUUGUUUGAGAUUGUGGUUGGCAGGAAAUGUUGAAUUUUUAUUUGUUUAUUAAUGUUGUUAGUGAAAUUUUGGUAAGAUUUUAUUAUGAGCCUAUGAACUUACUAAGCUUUCUGUAAGCUUACUUGUGUGUGUUUAUUGUUUCUUGUAGAUUGAUAUAUAUAUGUUCAGAGGAUCGGAUCUACAUCAACGAUCACACUAUCCCGAUUUACUCCGGUAGAUUUUGUUAAACAACUUUUUGAUUUAUAUGGCAUGUAUUGGGAGUUGGUCAGUUUGUGUGUAUUUUUAUGAUAUGGCUAAGAAGUAGCAAGUAAAUAUUCGAUAAUGAUUAACUAUUGAAUUGGCUAUAUAAGAAUGUGUUUUGGUAUUGUGUAUGCUUAAAUGAUAGUUAAAGCAAAGAAAUUAUAAAAGAGUAAAAAUUAUAAAGAAAUUAUAAAAGAAAUUGAGUGUAUUUUCAAUAGAAACAAACGAGAAUGUUAUCCGAAUUCUGUACAAUGAGAUAAUUAAUUUUUAGUGAAUAGGGGUCAGAGUUGUCAAAUAGUGAAACAGAGGAGAGUUUAAAGAAUAAACUGUACUAAUUGGCUAAACCAAAAAUUCUGAAAAUUUUAUGGUAAGAAGAUAUAUGAGUCUAGUUUCAGGGAAAAUUUACGGAUCUAAAUUUUGAGUUUCGUAACUUGAGUUAUAAUUAAUUAGUGACUGUUGCGCAGGUGGACAGUUUUAUUGUGAAUUUGUUUUAGUAUUUGAAAAGUAAUUAAUGUUCCCGGUUUGGACUUGAACUGUUUCUAUUGCAUGAUUUAGGGUCUCGAGAUUCUUUUUUAGGGACAUAUUGAAUGAACGUGAGUGAAUUAAUUUUUAAAAGCAAAUUUUUAUGCUCUAAACUAGUAAGUUAAGUUAGGUAAUGCCUCGUGCUCGACUCCGGUAACGGUCUCGGGUAAGGGGUGUUACACUAUGUAUGUAUUAUAUUUGAUAAUUCUUUAAUACCUUAAGGGUCAAGAUCGUAUCACCAGCUCAGAUACCCUAAGGUACAAGCAUAUUCUGGUGUGGUUGGUGAGGUCGAUGCAUUUAUGCUCGAUUAGCACUUCAGUACGUCUACUUCUUUUUCCUCCUCUUCUCCAUCAUGAAAUCAAUUUAAUUUUUCAGAAAAUUUUUGGAUCAAUUUUUGGAUUCCAAUCGAUAUCAUCAAUAUACAUAUCAGCUGCAUAACUUGGCAACUUAUCCUUGUAAGGAAAAUCAUGAUAAUUUUCCCAGAACCUCUGUUUAGGUUCCUAAAAAGCUUUUAAAUUAGUCGAAUCAUCUCAUUCGAAUACUUUAUAAGCUUUAUACAAAGUAUUCUUCGCAUCAAUAAAUAUUUUCCAUGACAUUGCACCCACUUUCAUGCAAAAAUUUUAAAACGAAUAAAUCAAUUAAGAUUUUAAUUAUUAAACCCAUUAGACCAUAAGCUAUUUACAAACCCAAACCCAAAGUAAAACAUUAAAUCCAAAUUCCCAUUAAAACUCGUUAUUCUUACAAAAUUAUAGCCUAUUAAAACUUUAAAAUCCAAUACCUUUUCUAAGUCAUGCUAUUCCAUAAGUGCAGAGGUAACCCAUGAACUUCAAGCCAAGUUGCCCUCCGCUCAGGAAGGAAAUCAACUAACCUACAUCAUCUGAUUAAAAACACAAUAACUCCACAACAUCUGAUUGAAAGCACAAGUUAAUUGGAUUACCAAUAAUCAAUAUCAAUAACUUACAUAAAAGAAUAGAGAUUAAAUAUAAGAUGAAAUCAACCAAGCCAAGCUGGCAAUGUCUAAGCCAAAAUAUUCAUUUACCUCAUUUCAAUCCUACAAUAGUCAAGAUUUGACUAAACUUUGCAACCUAUACAAGUCUUUUUGGGAUUUUGACAAAAUAUAAAUAAAAGCCCCAAGAAGAUACUUAAAACAUUCACUCAUCCAUGGCAACUGACUGAAAGAAUUGGGGUUGUCAUCUAGGUCAUAAUCAAAUACAAGGUCAAUACCGAAUUCUAGCACAGAUAAAUCUGAAAGAACCCGAAGAGUAAUACGAUCACCUGCUUCUAGUUCACCACCCCUAAAGUCCCAACAAGUAAACCAGUAUAAGGUAUUCUUGGUUCCAAGAAUUCCUGUGAAAUGUUUGGAGUAGGUCCACUUUGUACCUUUGGUCUCGUUCACAAUUUCAAGGAAUGGUAAAAAUUCAUUUGUAUUAUCAUUCUUGGCAGAAAAAAUGAUAAUCGAAUUUAAGAAGCAACUAAUCUUUCGACUAAAGUUUGGGGGCACUGAUAAUGAAACCUCAGUCUUGCCAGCUUGAUUGCCAAAGUAGUGGCCAUAGUAAUCAAAUGGCAUUGGAUCAAAUGCUGUAAUUAUGCCAUAAUCGUAUAGUACCUGUAGCAUUGGAUUAAGGAAUUAGUUAUUAAAAAUAUAUAGUAUAUAAAUAAAUUUUGAAACUUGGAACUCGUAAGGAACCUUUGGGGAAGAAACCACUUUUGAUUCUUCUAUAUAACUGCAAAGUUGCACUUUAACAUUUCCAUAAGAUUCCAAACUGAGUAAGUUUUUAGUUAGGUCCAUCUUGAUAUUUCUUGGGGCAACCUCAUCUCCUAAAAUGUGUACAAUAAUGUGUUAUUUAUCAAUUUUAAUGAUCAUCAACAUAAUAUGCCUAUUAUAAUACCAAAGUAUUGGUUUUGACAUGAAAAAAAACGUUGAUUAAAGUUUUUAUCAGACACCCAUAUAAUACGGGUUCAAACUGUGUAUGAAAAAAAAUAUCAAACAACUAAUUUUAUGCAUUAUGACUAAAAUAUGUUAUAAGACUUGUUAGAAAUAACCAAUUAUACACUUUUUUGAAAAAAAAUCAAUUAUAUCUGUAUCUUUUAUUUUUAUAUAAAAUAUCAACUUUAAAAAUACCACUUUUAACUUCAUCCAUUAUUUUAGUUUCCACUUAGGUGAUAGAUUAAUCAUCUAUCAAACAAUUAUUUAUUUUGAUUAGACCUCAAUUGCAACAUAAUUUUAUAAUUAUUAUUUUAUUAUUAAGCUAAAUUUUUCUCAGAAUCUAUUAAAUGAUCAGAUUUCUUAAGUAAUAUUUUUAUUGUAUUGGAAAGUCUUUUAGAGAAACAUAUAUCAAUUUUUGAAUUUUUUUAUUGACAUCUAAAAGGAAACAUAUGUUCAAACAAUCUAAAGGGGGCAUUAAAAUAAAUAUAAUAGGAUGUAUUAACUAAAAUACAAUCUUACCAUUGAAAACACAAUUAGAUAUUCAUAUAAUUCAUUGUUUCAAUAAGGAUUUAUCUUUUUAGCCAUGUGUUUUACUCAUUAAUGUUAAUAGUGCAUUGGGUAAUAUGCCAUAAACAUAAUUAUUUGAAAUCUACUCAUACCUGGAGAUAAAUAUGAAAAACCAUAUUCAUAUCUAAUGUUGUGUUCGGAUUCAUAAGUAACGCCAAAUUUUCUUAUGCGGAGAUGAAUAGGCACUAUCAUGCAACUCACAAGGUCACCACCUUCAAACUGACAAUCCGUUACUGGCCAAUGGAUCAACCACAACAUUGUGUUAUCGUUAGUCUUAGGAAUUCCAAUGAAACUGGAGCAAUAUCUCCCCGUGGUCCUUUUGGUCUCAUUGAAAAUGUAGACACUUGGUGGAAGGUCCAAUAUUUGAUCACUAUCUAAAGAAAAAACAAUGCAUAAGCUGAACCAACGAAUCUUUUCAUCUGGAUGAGAUGGUGUUGGCAAAAGAAAAGAGAUUCGAUGCUCGUUAGUGCGAUGCUUAUACCCAAUCGGAACUUCACUUCCUAAAAUUAAUGUGCUUGUUAUACCACAUUCCUGCAAGACCUGAUAGAAAAGAAAACUGUUAGAUGAUUACGAAUGUGUUGAUUAAGUAAUAUAAGACAAAAAGAAAAAGAUUUAAAAUUUAAGUUGGAGAACUAUUGGACCUGUGGGGUAGCAAGCAUUAUGUUGUCCGUUAGGCAAUUAUAAAGUUGCACUCGAUUUUUGUUGACGGAAUUCACGUUGAAUAAUCUUCUAAUCUCUUCCGCAUCAAAGUUUUCAAUUGGCUCCAACUUGAAUAUAUCUUGAACCUCGGUCAAUUUUUCACAUCCAAAAAUAACACAUCGUUUGGAAGAAAAGAAGCAUGGAAGAAUUGACCUAAAGCUUUUUACUGCAGAUACUGUCGAGAACCCAGAAACAUUGGGCAAGAAUGGAAGCUUUGGAAUCAUCUGGAGUUCAGUGCAAGAAGUCAGUACAAGUUCAUCAAGUUUUGUAAGUUCUUUUAAGCUUUCGGCUAAGUAAUGAAUUGGGUUUCUACUUAAAUUUAAGGAUUUCAAGGAGGCCAAGUUACAAAGAUCAUUGGGAAUGACAUCAUCAGAUAGUUUGCAACUUUCAAGGCUUAACUUUACCAAAGAGCCCGGUAGAGAUGCCCAAGAGAAACCCAAUCCUUUGCUUCUUUUCAGUAAGAGCCACUGCAACCCCAAUCUUGAUUGAUAUAUGGCAGUUUCAUCUAAAUUAAGCACCUUCAAUGAUUCCAUAUUAUGCAACUCCCUAGGAACAUCAUCAAGUCUUGAACAACCAGAUAAGAUAAGCUCUUCAAGUGAUAUUAAUGAACCAAUUGUCCUUGGAAGUUUCCUAAGACUUGUGCAAUCUUUAAGGUUCAAGAAAGUAAGCAUCUUUAGCUCACCAAUGGAUUGAUCAACUUCCACCAAAUUUAUGCAAUCUUUGAGCAUCAACUUCUCAAGGCUAGGGAGUCCUGAAAAGCUUGGGGUUUUAAGAAGGCUAUGUGAAUGGUUGAGAUUAAGGAUCUUUAAAUUUGGGAGGCACUGCACAAAAAGAAAACCCUUCAUUUAUAUUUUAUUGUUUCACACACACACAAAAAGAAGGAAAAUUAGUAUAUAUCAUACCUCUGUAUCCUUCCAAACUUGUUUAAGUUUACUGUUGCGCAUGUCGAGAACAACUAGUUCAUUGAUAUCAAAAUCCACCGGAAAAGAUUGCAUCCAAAACCCAUGCCAACGUAACCAUCUUAAUCUUUUGGGAAAGUCUUUGAAGUCUCCUUUAAGUCUUACAUAAUCCAGUUGAAGCAGUUUAAGUCUCUUCAUCUUUGCAAAUGCUUGAGUUUCCAUAUCAACAUCAUUUGCCAUCAGAAACUGACUUUUGGAAUGCUUUGGAAAAUGUAGAGUUGUAUUUGUCCUUUUAGCCUUGUCUUCUAGCAAUCCUUUUAGGUUAAUUGUGAGGCACUUAACUGUUCUGGAACCCUGCAUCAGAAAAACUUUUUUAAAAAAUAAAAAGAAAUUUGAUAAUAAUAAUAAAAAAGGUAGUUUACAUGCACACAAGAAAAAAGUUGAGUAAAAUGAUGUUUCUUACAAUUUUUUCUCUUAUUACAUCAAACGAGUUCUUAUGCCACAAUCUGCUUCGUUUCCCAAUAUCAGAAGAUUCUUGACGAAUAAUUUCUUGUCCCAUAUCUCUAAUCAUUUGGUGCAUCAUUAGCUUGUUUCUUUCAUUAAUGAUUAAGAGAGACCUGCCCACUAGAUUUUCAAUUCCAAUUGUUGUAUAGUAAUCACAACCAUCUAGAAUUGUAGUCGUGUAAUCUCUAUCCUUCCCAAUGAAUAAACAAACUAUGUCAAGGAAUAAAUUUUUGUCAUGAUCGUCUUCCAAAGAAUCAUAGCUUAUUCUUAGAAUCUUUUGAAUUUUGCUGUCAGGGAUUUCUUCCAAUUUCUCCAAUGCACUUUUCCAAGAACUCACACUUUUGGUAGAUAAUGAAGAGCCCAAAACUUGAAGAGCUAACGGAAGCCCACCACAGUGUUUCACUAAACUUCUUUCAUAUGCCACUGAACUUUCAGGCACAGAGUUAUGACCAAAAGCAUACCAAUUAAAAAGUUGUAGCGAUUCACUUGAAGCUAAUUCUUUUACUUCAAAUAGUUUGCUUAAGCCUCCACAGCUAGUUGAUGCUUCCGAAUCAAACAUUUGGCUUAUAAAAUGUGCAUUCAAUAGGCAUCGGUUUCUACUAGUUAUAACGAUUUUACUUCCCGGAUGAAAAGGAAUUUGAGUUCCCAUUAAUUUUCUUAUUUUUUCCAAUUCAUCAACAUCAUCAAGAACGAGAAGAACUCUUCUACAACAUACAACUUCUUUGAUCUUGUUAAUUCCAUUAUCUAUAUUGUAUAUUUUAUGUGAUUUUCCUUUAAGAAUAUCUGAAAUAAGUUGCCUUUGCAAACGGACUAAACCAUUGCAAUCUUGACUUGUUUCUCUAACAUCAGCAAGGAAACUAUAACCUUCAAACCUCAGGAUGUUUUGAUUGUAAACAACUUUGGCAAUGGUUGUCUUCCCAAUGCCUCCAAUGCCACAAAUAGUUGCAAUGCCAACUUUAUUUGCCCCAUCUUGUUCUAACCAUUGAUUAAUUUGUGUCACGAGAGAAUCUAUUCCAACUAAAUAAGGAGGGACAUACAAAGAAAUAAGAUGAAGUUUAUUUUGAACUUCUUUAACAAUAUCUUGGAUGAAUUGUGAUUCAUGCCUGCAAAUUUAAAAAAUACAACUCAAUAGUAAAAUCUUGGAAAUUAAGUAAAAGUUACUAAUGUAUUUUCUCUUUUCUUGCAUAUAUUUUGAUUGUUUUUAUGAGAUUAUAUGUUCAAGUAAAAAUAAGAAACUAAUGCAACAUUUCAACAUAUAUGAUAGAAUUAUUACAUUCAAAAUCAAAUCAAAUCAAAUAAAGCAACAUAAAAAUUAAUGAAAUUCAUUCAAGAAACAACCUAUACUCAAAAUUUCAACUUUCUCUUUGUGAAAGUUUAAUAAAUUCAUGUUAUUUACAUGAAUUUAUAUAUUUAUUUUUAUUUAUUGUAAUAUUUUAAAUAUGUGUAGACCUAUUACACGAAUAACUUGGAUAUAAUUAUUGCAAAUAUACUACCGCAAAAUAGAAUUGUUAAGGAGACCAAACUGAAUGUAAAUAAAAUAAGAAUCAUUGUGUCGUGGAAGAACCACUGCAAUAUUAGAGGCAAAUUCGCCCUGAUCAGUGUAAUCGUAUAGUGGAUGUUACCCCCCAACACAAUACUCCAAUAUUCGUAAACCCAAUAAAGAAGAUGGAACACGAUUGACAAUACUCCAAACAGUCCUGCUUAAAACCUAAUCUUUUAGACAGAAUUUCUCUCUCGUGUAAUUUUGUAGAACACUAGAAUUUAGAGAACAUAGAGAAGUUGUUUUUCUCUUGUUGUGUUAGGUGGGAGAAUGACCUCCUAUUUAUACUAUUUUUUGAUGAGCAAAAUGGUAAAAUAACAGAUUUAGUUUCCAAAAAUACCAAAGGAUUUUCCUAACUGAAAAUAUUCUAAAAAUAUUUUCUGCAACAGUCAGAGGAUUUUCUGCAAUUCAAAAUAUUCUUUUGCAUUACCAACAAUGACAUCUUAGAAAACCACAAAUAGUGUCAUUAAAUUAAAGAGGCUAUUUCUUUUUAUUUUUAACUCGUCAAAUCCAAGUUGUUCAUGUGAUAGGAGCAAACGUAUUUAAAAUUUGAUCUAUGUGUUUUAAAAACAUUCCACAUCAGAUUCGAGCAUGCUUAAGCUGAUGACUUGUUUGAUAGAAAGACCUUAUUGAUACAAAACUAAUAUUUUAAUGACUCAAUUAAAACAUGUUAAUGUUUGAGAAAUAAUUUAAAAUCUGAGUUAUAAUUAACCCUUUAAAAUGGAUUAAAGUAACCAUUUUAAUUUCCAAACGCUACCUAACAAUAUUUUCUAUUAAUUUUCUUUCUACUCUAUCUAUCAAGUCUUAAUGAAAAAGAUUGAAGUAACCAUAUGGAACUUGAUUAUGUGUAUAACGUACCUGUCGUGUAGAACCAUGCCUCCUAUAUCCGCAACUUCUUUUAAAGCAUUCCUCCAUCUUUGUACCAUGUUGGUUUCGGACUUGAAGUUUUGUUCAUGUUGGGUAAAUGCUUCUGCAUAACUUCCCGUCUGGUUCUUGACUUGACUGGGAUCCACAUCAUAGAAAACUGGCAACACACUAUGUUUAGAGGAUUUCUUGUGCUCCAAUAUCAUUACAAGUUCGUUAAGACACCAUGUGGAUGCAGCAUAAUUCUUUGAGAAAACAACGAUAGAAAUUUUGGAGUGGUGUAGUAUUGCUUUUUCAAUUUCAUCUUUUAUGUUAUUCCCUCUCUCGAUUUCCUCAUCAUCUCUAAAUGUUUGAAUUCCUAAGUGCACCAAAGCUGUGUAAAGAUGAUCCGUGAAACUUUUACGCGUAUCUUCACCUCUAAAACUCAAGAAUACAUGAUAACUACAUCGCGAGAUUUCUGACACUGUCAUUGAAGAAGAAAAUGAAGUUGUCCUGUAUUUUUAUGUAAUAACAAGGUUCCAGCAUAUAUAUAUAUAUAUAUACAUAUACGGAUGGAAAAGCAGAUAUUAGUAGCUGUCAAGUGGCAGUUCAUGGUGGGUCAAUCCUUCCACCGAAGAAAUUCAUGUCGACCAUGUUCCAAUCGCUUUUCAUUUCGGAGUCAUGCUUACGGUCCAUUUGGUGCUCAACAUUUUUAUUAAAAAUAUUAUUUGAAUAGAGUUUUUCAACAGAGGUAAAAGUUGUACACUAUAAAAAAUAUAUAUUAUCAGACCUUAAACAAUGAUUUGUCGGCCUUAAAUUAGCAAUUAAAGAGGAUGGGAUAAGGGUAAGGUUGAGUAAUUGAUCCAAAAUUUCAUGCUGAGGGCAACUAGCACAAAAUUGUUUAAAUAUUUUCCAAUACUCAUUAAGGAUCUUCAUAUCCUUUUUGUGGUAUGCCAUAGAUUUCUUUCCUAAUUGAAGCACCAAGUGAAGAAAAAGAAAAUUCAACGAAUAUUCUUACCAUAUCUAUUUCAAAAUUUUAAUAUAAUUAAUGAAAAACAAUUUAUAUAUAUGAAUCAUCAAAUUUGACGUGCUUAGAGAAUCUCAUGUGAUAGCUUGAUGAUUAAGGUUGUUCAUCACCCUAAAUGUGGCCUAGAUUUGAAUCGCGCUACUUACAUUUGUUAUUCGAGCAUUACUUAUUAUUGUAAUUCAAAAAAAAUUUAACGUGCUUAAAUAAAUAUUGAAUUUUGUCACAUUUAAUAUAGAGGACAUGAGAGGAGGAGAAUAAUUCCCAAGUACUUGGUGUGGAAAAUAGUGGUACUAGAAAACGCGUUUCAAUUACUUUUCAUUUUGGAGUUUCCAAGACUUGAGACCAUUAGCAAUUAAAGAGGGGCUUCAACAAAAUUCUGGCCCCAACUGUUUCACCUAACAUAAUAAAUUCGUGGGCUAACCAAUUUCAGUGCAAUAAAAGCAGUGAAGAGGAUGGGAUAAGGUUAAGGUUUAAAUUGUUGGUAAUGCAAAGUGGAAUCCCUCGUUACAGCCUUCAAAUUUUUUGGUUCACAAUAUUUUAGGAAGAACUCGAUUCAAAUAAUAUUUUUCGUAAUUAUUUUUCUCAAUAAUAUUAUCUUUAAAAUUUAGAUCUAUAUUUUUCUUAAAAGUAUAAUAUGUUUUACCAUUAUAUUUAACACUUACUAAUUAUUCAAAUAAUAAUAUUAACAAAAAGGUUGAGCACCAAAUGGUUGAUAAGUACUAACAAGCUCAUGGUCUAAAGUCUAGAUCGAGUAGCACUAUUAUCCAAAACAUAGUGAAACAAAUUAAUUCUGUCUCCGACGUUUGUUAUAGAGAACUCUACAACCUAGUGCUACUAAUUAUCAAUUUUAUUGUUGUGACUCCAUAACUAAAAUUUAGCUGACCCCUUCAUUCAAGAGUGUAAUUAUUCGAAUAGGAUCAUGUCUCUUUAUGCUGGAACACUAAUUCAUUUUAUUACAUGAAUUUGUUCAUAAAAAUUCUCUUAAAAUAUCAAACAAAUAUCAGUUGGGUGUUCUGAUUUAAAUAUUUAGUUUUUAAGAGAAUAUAUUCUUACCUCAUUAUGCCUUCUCGAAGAUUUAUGUCAAAUCCAAACUGAUGUGAGUUGGUAGCCAUAUAUUUUUAUUUUUAAGGAUUUUAGUCCCUCUAUUUUUUUGAGAUUUCAAAACUCAAAUCCAAUUGUUAACACUGUUAAUUUUUUUUGUUAAAUUCAAGUUAAUUACAACAUCAUUUUUGUAAUUACGUGGUUACCAAAUAAGUUUUUUUUUAAUUUCAAAAUGCCACCCUAACACAUUUAACAAAAAAAUUUAAAAUGUUAACCAUCGGAAAGUAAAGAGACUAAAUUUCUGGAAAUAAAAGUACGUAUUCUAAACUCCAAAAUUUUUAAAAGUACAAUAACUUAUGGCAUAUUUUAACCUUUUAACUUCUGGGUCGAGCUACUCAUCCAAUCCCCGCUCGAGAUUUGGGAGGAUUUAGACAAAAUUAUCAAGCUCAAAAAAUGGACUUGGACAAAAAGUUAGUCCAAUUUAAAAUACGAGUCGGGCUCGGGCAUAAAAAUUCAAGGCCUGAGCCAUUUACUAAUUUUCUAAUAUAUUAUAUUAUGUUAUUUUUAUAAAUUAUAUAAUUUAUUUCAAAAAAUAAAUCUAUAGUAAUACAUAUGAUACUAUAAUGUAAACAUUAAAAAAUGUUAAGAUGUCUAUAUAAAAUGUUAAGAAAUUUGGGAAAAAAAUUCAAUUCAAUCAGGCUCAAAACAAUUUGUGGGUCAAUUAAUUUAACAUCUCUAUUCAAAUCGACAAUGGCGAAACCUAAUAGAGGCCCAGGGGGCCAUGGCACCCCCAAGGAUUAAAAUUUUUGCAAUUUAGCUCUUUGUAGAUAUACUAUGGCCCUCCCAAACAUAUAAGUAGCCCCCAAGGUUUAAGAUUUUUGCAAUUUUCCAAAAAUAUUGUUUCUUUUGGAUCUAUUAUCAUGUUGGAAUAGUGCUUCUUUUGAGUCAAUUCUUUACAUGUUUAAAUCGAUUGUCAAGUUGGAACACUACGUCUUUUGAAUAAAUUGUGUAUAUGAUUAAAUUGAUUGUUAUGUUGGAAUACUGCUUCUUUUUAAUUGAUUGUGUAUAUGAUUAAAUCGAUUAUUAUGUUGGAAUAUUACUUCUUUUGAAUCGAUUAUUUAUAUGUUUAAAUCGAUUGUUACAUAACACAUCUAAUUAAUUUGUUCUUUGCUUCUUUGAUUGUUGCGUAGCAUUUCCUUUUAUUCUUUAUUUCUUUAAUUGUUGGUUGUUUUAAAUCGCUUCUUUUCCUAAAAUGAUAAGGGACCAAAUGAAUAUCAGCAAAGAAUUUAUGUUGGAGUUUGAAUCGAUUCUUCGCUUAUUUCAAUUGAUUGUUUGUUGUUUUGAAUUAAUUCAUUAUUGUUUAAAUUGAUUCAAACUCUUACAUAAAUUCACUGUUGAUAUUCAUUUGGUCCCUUAUCAAUAUUGACUUACACAGGUGUAUGUAAGUUCUUUUUCCCUCAAACCUCCUGUUGUACGUGUGAAGCAAGAAAAGGUAUAUUUACGGUUGUUCUUACUCUAGAAGAGAAAUGAUUCCUCAUACUUUAUACAGUGUAUUUACAUAUUUGCCCUCAACCGAAUAUUGAGGGAAUCUCCCUUCACGUUUGACACGUUCGAUAGAAAGUUUAAGGGAAAACAACUAAUUUACACCGGUGUAUAUAAGUAUUGAUAACUCAUUGAUACCAAAUGUUUAGAUCAAAUCGAGAAAUCAUUAUAUAUUAUUUUCCUAUACUAUGUGUUAUGUUUAUUAAUAAAACAUGUUUUUAAUUUAAAUGAUAUACUAAAAACUGCUCAUCCACACAAUCAUUGAUAUGUUGAUUUAGGAUCCAAACUUGAAUCAUAUAUUCUUACGUAGUGAAACUAAAAAGGGCCUCGUCGCCAUUCUCCAUCUAUUCCUAUAUAUUCAUCUGUUCGGAAGAAACCGAACUUAACAAAACACCAUGAAAGCAUAAUCGAUAUUUUUUCACUUUUAAGAAAUAUAAGUUGUUAAUAAUAUCAAACCCAAUAAUACAGUAUAUCAACAAUCAAACCAAAUCAACGACCAUAACACAACCAAAAAAAAUAAAAUCAAUUCAUUAGGAAGGGUCUUCCACCUCAUUAUCUGCAUGAUUUUCAUAUGAAUCCAGUUGCAAAGUAACGGUGUUUAACACUUUGAAUCGGUUCAUUAUUGUUUGAACCGAUUCAAACUCCAGCAUAAAUUUAUUGUUUAUAUUCAUUUGGUCCUUUAUCAAUACUUGCACAACAUUUGUCCCUUAUCAAUACUUGCAAAAAAAUAACUUGUGAGUACUGCUUUUUUCGAAUAGAUUGUUUAUAUGUUUAAAUUGAUUGUCAUGUUGGAAUAUUGCUUCUUUUGAAUCGAUUGUUUAUAUGUUUAAAUCGAUUGUUAUGUUGGAAUACUGUUGCUUUUGAAUCAACUGAUUAUAUGUUCAAAUUGAUUGUUAUGUUGGAAUACUGCUUCUUUUGAAUCGAUUGUUUAUAUGCUUAGAUCAAUUGUUACGUAGCACGUCUAAUUUUAGCUUGGCCCCCAAGAUUAACAUCCUGGCUCCGCCACUACGGAUCGAUAUAUUAGUCAAUUCUUGAUUCAAUUGAUCGACUAAUCCUAUUUAAUCCGAUUUAAAUAACUAUCUCACAUAUAUACAUAUUUCUAAAAUAAUAUGUUAGUAUAAAAAUAUUUAAUCAAUUUGAGUUAUGAAAUUGUGGUCUAACAAUAGUUUUGGGUGUCUUAUAAACUCAAAAUUUUCAAAUUAUGCUGGUGUCCAUUUGUGCUUUAUGGUACAAGUUCUUUUUGGAGUUAUACCAUAUAUUAUAUAAUUUAAAAUAUUCUUAAAAAAUAGAUUGAAGUAAAUUAAGCCUAAAACUUAAAUGUUUAAGUCAAAGCUUAAUUGAUAGUUUAAAUGAGAUUAUUCUUUUUUUUUAACUCAUUUUUUUAAUUUUAUCAGACCGCCUCUAAAAAAUAAAUAAAAGAUUGUUGUUAGUCUUUUCCUAUAUAUGAGCAACAAUCUUUGGGCAGAGUAUAAAAAAUAGUUUUUGUAUUUUUUUUUUACGAAAUUAAGGUAUCUGAUUUUGCAGUAGACCUGUCCCGGGCUCGGAAAAAAUUUUCGGCCCGGCCCGACCAAAAAUAUGGGCCUAAAAUUUUGCCCAGGCCAGGCCUAGGAAAAAUAUCAUAAGCCCGAGCCCGGCCCGGCCCAUUUUUUAAUAAACAUUAAAAAAUUGUUUUAAAAAUAAAAAAAUAAAAAUAAAAAUAUUUUAAAAGUAUUUUAAAAUUAAAAAAUAAAAAUAAAAAAAUAUAUAUUUAUUAUAUUCGAGCCGGGCCCGGGCCAAAAAAGUGAUGCCCGAGGCCCGGCCCCUUUUUUAAACGGGCCUCGUUUUUUUGCCCAAGCCCAUAUUUCGGGCCUAUAUUUUUACCCGAACCCUCCCAUAAGCCCAACGGCCUGCCCGGCCCAUGGACAGGUCUAUUUUGCAGUGGUAACUAAUCUUUUCAUCGCGACUACUAUUCAAAAGAUAAUAUGUAAAAAAUAAAAUUCAAUAAAAUGGUAAUACAUAAUUUACUUGUAAUUACGGUACGUUUAGUUCGUUAGAAUGAAAUAAAAUUAUAAUAGAAUAACAUUUUUUAGGAAUGAAAUAGAAUUGUAAUUGAAUGGAAUAAAUAUGAUAAUUUGGUUGGGUAGAAUAUUUUUGUAUCUUGAUUUAAAAAAAUGAUAGUAAAAAUCAUCUAAAAAAAAGAUGAAAUUCAAAGUACAACACCAAGUCUUCAUCAAGCAGUGUACAUGUCCAAAUUACUAUAUUGAUUAAUAAUAAUAUUAAUAUUGAUUGAACUCCUUUUUUAAAUGGCUUAUGAGUAAAACUUUUUUAUUAGUUUGAAGAGUUGUGAGUUUAAUACCCUCUGAAUUAAUUCUUUAAUCAAUUUUCAAUUCAACCAAUUUAUCAGUCGAUCUAAUUCGGUUCAGACAACCCUAAUUAUAUGAAUUUCAAGCUGUUGAAGUUACAACUGAUAUUAAAAUAAAUCGGAACCUUCUCGGUCUCACCAAACUUACUCUAAACCAAGAGCAUAAAAAAUAAAAUAAAAAAAAUCCUCCUCUAAACCAUGCAGUGUCAGCAAUCAUAAGAUCUGUUAGUGAACCAUUGAGUAGAAACUAUAGAUGACAACAAGUGGGAACCCUCACCUUGUCAGAGAUCAUGAGAAGUAUUGAACUCUUAUAAUUAGAAUAAUCAAGUUCCACUGAAAAUAACGAUAUAAAAACGCAUACCAUGAACAUACAGUUCAUAAUAUUCUUUGAAGUUUUAGACUCUUGACAAUAACCAGAAAAGUCAAACACAAACACAGUACGUAUCUUCAGUUCAUAAACAUCCCAAUAAACCAUUGGGAUUCAAACACAAAACCAUCACACAAACACAUAUUGUCUGUAUCUUCAGUUCAUAAACAUCCCAAUAAACCAUUGACAUUCAAACACAACCAUCACACAAAUGCAUACUGACAAUAUCUUCAGUUCAUAAACAUCCCAAUAAACCAUUGAGACUGUAUUUCAAAGAAGCAAAUUACUCAACCCGUGGCUUUUUCUGCAACCUGGCUAGCUUCAGUUGGUUUUCUUUUAACUCAGCUUCGUCCUGAUCCAGCUUCAGUUUCUUCUCUUUUAAGUCAGCUUCGUCCUGAUCCAGCUUCAGUUUCUUCUCUUUUAAGUCAGCUUCAUCCUUCUCCAGCUUCAGUUUGUCUUUUCUAACAUUAGCUUUCCUCUUCUCAAAUCUCUUCUCCUCUGCUUGAUACUCCAUUUCACGAGCCUGCAUCAACUUAUUCAUGAUGUCUUGCACCAUUGCCUCCAUAGUUGUGAUGACUUUUAGCUCAAGUAUCUCUGGGUUACUUUCUAUUUUAUGGUAAACUUCAGCUAGUGAGUUCAUAAUGAUCCUUUGAACAUCUCCAUGACUACAUAAAAAAAUUUGUUAUCAGUAUAAGGGUGCUUUUGAAAUGUCGGUGAGCACUUGAGUUCAUAAAUAUUGUAUACCCCUGGACAGUUGACAGCUUCAUAUCGUCUUGAUUUGCUCUGACAUCACCGCUGCCUUCAGUCAGAUCAUUGUAUAUCUUGUCGUCUAGAAAACAAAGUAAUUAAAGUAGGAAACAUAAAAGAUAUUAAUAUUUACAACUGACAAGUAAAAAGCUGAGGAUUUUAUAAGAUCAUUUAUCAACUUGCAGCAAUUACCUGACAGAAGAAAGUCUUCAACAUCAAAAAACUGAAGUGACAGAAGAACCUGUAGAAAAAGAGAAUCAGAUCUGAUCCAAAAAUAAGCAAUUUGAAUUUAAAAAAUAUAUACAGGCCAAAACUUACUGGAUCAACAUUAAGCCCCUUUUCUAGUGAGUCUACUUCAUGAUAACCCUGCAAAUAAGGAGAGAAGUACACAACAUAAUGCGUCUUUUCCGACUCAGGACUUUUGUGUGUGUUUGACUAAUAUUUCUAUGAUUGCGGUUAUCUGGAUUUGAUUCCAAUUCAUUGAAAUCAUCCAUGUAUUCCUUGAAUGAACGUACAAUCUAAGAACCAUAAGAAAAAGGACAUAAAAGGAUCAUAAGACAUAAAAAUCCGAAUAUUUAAACUACAAAUAUUUCUGUCUGCUAACUAAUGUUCAGGUAGAACAAUCUGAGUUCAACAAUUGCUUACAAAGAAAGUAACAAACAUUUCUGGCCAAUAUAUAUAUGUGUAACCCAGAGAAUUAAUAAAAAGAAGUGAUAUUUUUGGUUGUAUCACCUUAUAGUUUGCAAAAGAUGAAAUAAACUGCCCGUCAAAGAAAUUAAAGGGAUGACAAGUUGUACUUAUAUGACAGUAGGAAUGGCUGAGAAGGGUUAAAAUUUUCAUUGGUUAAGAGAGAAUCUAUUAUUACAACAGAGGAUUAAACUUGAUUUUUGCAUCAUUUAUUGAAAGGAUUGAAUAGAAAACUAGUCGACAAUACAUGAUUGCCUAUUCAAGUCAUAAUUUGCUCAACAAAAAUCAAAAUUCGGGUCUAAGUGAAAAAAAAGAACAGAACAGAACAUGAGAGCCAAAAGACAAGUUAUUCUGUGUACACCUCCAGAAGACUGUGAUAUGGAAAUCAACGCCAAUUUCAAUCACCAUUGGCUAGGACUGCUGAUCUUAAACCUCGACAACAAGUAAACCUCUUUACUGUCGGGUUGGUAGAGGAACUUAGAAUUGAUAUUGAGAUGCAACAACCGGAAAACCUUGGAGUUGCAAUGAAUAUGGCUCAAACAUUGGAACGUAAACAAAAUGUCUUUUUCUAAACUGUCAUCUCCAGCUAUCCUGAACUGGCUAACUUCCCAAAACACUGGCAGCAAUUCAAUCAUUCAAACAACUAAGAGCAUUGUAAAGAAAGGGGGACAAACAACAAAACCAACAGGGAACAACGGCAAAAUAGGUUCUUCUGCACCAUUUGUUAAGAGAUUGACACAGACAGAAAUGGUGGAAAGAAUGGCUAAGGGGUUGUGUUAUAAUUGUGACGAGUCCUAUUCCAUGGGACACAAAUGUAAAAGGUUAUUUUGGAUAGAAAUACCAGAUGUUGAAGGCAAGCAAGAUGAUGAUGAGGUAGAUGAUGAGCUUGAGGACAAGCUCAACUCCAAGGAGGGGAGUAAUGAUAUGGACGUUUUUAUUACAAUAGGAGUUUUAGUUUUAUUUAUUUAUUAUAUUAAGUUUUACCAAGAGUUUUAGUUUUACUUAUUUUCUCUAUUAUAUUAGGUUUUUAUUUCCUUCAUACACUCUAAGUUAGGAAUUCUAUUAGGACUCUUUCCUUUGUUAUUAACAGUCUAUAAAAGGUUGUCAAUUGAAAUAAAGAGAUAAGCAAUUAUUCUAUAAAAAAAGAAACCUUAUUCUGAGAGUGGGUUCAAUCAAGGACGAAUCUGCCUUUUGAGUAAGCAUAGGUCGAGGCAAGAAUUCUUUCUCAUCUAGACUUAUGAUUAGAUCCUACGCUAAGGCGCAUAUCAGACUGUUUCUAAAUAAACUUCCCACAUCAACUCUAAAAAUUUAAUAAUGCAAGAACAAAUUACCAAGAAAGAAAAGUCAUGCCGCUACUACUAAGUUACAGAGUCAUGUUUUCUACAAUAAUUUUCAUGAUAAAAGUAAAAUCUAAAGCUCCAUUGAUUAAAAUACUAAUGACAAAUUGGGUGCUUCUACUCAAAAUGUUUACCUGUAGAUUGAUGUGAAUCUUAGCACCACUGGUACAAUCAGGGGUUAGAGGAAAAUGGAAUAUUAAGUGUUCAUCUUCCAUUUGCACAAGAUCUUGAAUACUAACAGGAUUUGUAAGCUUUUGGUUCUUAAAAUCUUGUAGCAUUACUAAAAAAGAAGCCAAAACUUUGUUUACUAUUUUUGCCACUAUGCUAAAGACCUUAGCCUCUGAGAUUAAUUCCUCUGUUUGGUCCACAAUAGCCUCUCCCUGCAAUGCUUUUACUGAAAUAUAAAGAAAGCAGAUAACAAAUUUUAAUUUAAAUGAUCAAAUCAAGAUUAAUAUAUUUAUAUAUGUAAAAAGAGUUAUUAAAACAUGCCUAGGAUGUCUAUCUCUGGCAUUCCUUUAGCAGUCUCCAGAACAUCAACAACAAAUGGCAUUAAUCAACAUAAAAAUCGUACCUACGAGUGAGAUUAAGUGAGGAAGGUCCUUGCAAAUCUCAUCAGCACACUCUAUGUUCCGGACUGGAUUUGUUGACUGAUUCAAAAAUGAAUCAAGCUCUUGAAAUGCAUUUUCGAUGCUAAGACUGGAACUGGCAUUAUCGACAAUCCUGGGCUGCAUCAAAUUUCUCAAUCGUUGCAGUAAGAGUUGAGGGUCAUGAAGCCGAUUCAUCCCUUCCACUACUAUCUCUUUCUUUUCUUCCCAUUUCCUCUACAUUCAAAAAAGUUACUAAAAGCAAUUAGAAACAUAAAUGAACUUGCACCCUCAGUUUUUUAGCUCAAUAUUCUUUUGAGUAAAAACAAAACCACAAUAAUCUGAUACUUGUAGUAAAAAAUUGGACACACUUCUGCUAUUUGGAAAAAAAGAGUCAGAAAUUGCAGGAUUGACAUGUUACGUUGUAGUGGGAGUCGGAUUGACAUGGAUUAGUUUGCUCUUUUUUCUUUUUUUUUUUCAAAAUACAAAUUAUAAAAAGAGAGGAAAAGUCUCACAGCAGCUCGAUAUCUGUCAUCACCAUCCAAUAGCAUACGCAUCAAUUCUCCCACCAGCUCGUUACAGUCCUGCAUAUAUAUGGAGAGUAACUAUUAUUAAACAAACCCUAAACGAUAAAGAAUUGCAAGAAAGGAAAGAAAAUGAAUAGGUACCUUGAUUCUUUUACGGCUGAGCUUAUCUUUAUCUGAUUCCAAUUCAAUGAAAUUCCCCAUAUAUUCCUUGAACGAAGUACAAUCUGAGAAUCAAGCAAAAUGAUAUAAAAAGAUCUUAGAAUAUUCUGUAAGUUCAAAUUUUGCUUUAAAAGCAAAAUAUAUUUCUAAAAAAAGCAAAGUCAAACUCAAUUCUAUCCAGUAGACCAGAGAAAAAAAUAAACGAAACUGGAUUAUAUUCCAGCAAAGAGAGAAGAGAAAUGAAGCUUAAUAUUGCUUACGAUUGCAGAGUAGAGACUUGUUAUGCCGUCGCAGAAAUCUUUUAUCACUUUUUUCUCAAAACUUUUAUUUCUGAUGCAUUCGCACGAUCGUGCGAAUUUCGCUUUUCUGAACUAUUCGAAAAAAUAUUAAAAAGAAAUUGAUUCAAUCCCAAAUUUUGAAAAAGUAGUCUAUUUUCCAUAUGUGUGUUCACAAUAAUCUGCAUUUACUGUUGAAGUUAUCAAUAAUUCUCGUUUAUCCUGUUUGAGAAAAAUUAAGUUGAUACGUUUGCAGGGGUAUUGCCAAGGGUGCGUUAGCAAAUGUCAGCUAAAAAAUUAAAUUACUCAACUUUCAAUAAAAAAAAUUCCUCUAAACUAUAAAAAGUUAUAUUUUAAUCACUAAUAUUUUUUUAGUGAAAAAUAAUAAAUAGAAAUACAAUGUAUCAACUAUUGAGCCUCUAAAGGUUUUGUCUUGUUGGAUAGCUGUAACCACUAAAUCAGAAGGUACUUCAAAUAUCUGAAGGGGGUCUGCCAAGAGAAAUUAAUCUUUGUCAAUUGAUUUGCAAUUAAAUUACACUCUCUAGGAACAUACUUAAUUUUCCAUUGACCUACAAAACGCAAAAUACGUUUAACUCUUCUAAACAAGGUAAUACUAGAGUCCAUUGACUCCUCCAUGGACAAGGCACUAACCACCUCAAGGUUAUCUGUCUAAAUCCUGACUUUCUUGUAGUCCUUAUUUAAUAAAAUGAGAAUUUCAUCAAGAAUACUCCAAAGUUCUGCCUCCAAAGGCGAACAUCUGCCUAAAUAAUGAUUAAAGCCCAAAAUCCAAUUGUCAACCUAAUCACGAACCACCCCACCCAUGGAUGCAUUUCCGGAAGCUCUAGCCAUUGCUCCAUCAGAAAAUAAAUAGAUCCAAUUGCCUUUAUAAUGGGAAUGAAUUUCCGAAUUUGGUGAACUAGGCUUGGCCUCAUUUAGAAAAGGUUCAAAUUGUUAGGCCCAAUUGAGAGAGACUUUUACAAUUUCAUAAGUCGUCCAGUUAAUGUUUUGGAAGAUGAAAAGAUUCAUGUUCUUCCAAAUUCUCCAAGUAAUUAAUCCAAAUAAGCUUGACCAAGUAAUUUCCUUAUCCUGCAUCUUAAAAUGGCAACAAAGGUUAGUGGAAAACCAAUUUUGAAGGAAUCAGAAAAAAAACCUAAUUUGUAUCUUAGGAAGGACUACAAGCUUCCAUGCUUCCUUAGCCAUCAAAUAGUCUCGGAGUACAUGCAUAAUGUCCUUAGUAUCAUGAUCACAUAAAGAGCACGCAGUGUUCUGCCCAAUUCCUCUCUUAACGCGCUUUGAAUUAGUAAGAAGCCUCUGUUUGACCACAAACCAAAGAAAAAGACGAACUCUCUGUGGGCUUUGAUAUUUCCAAAUAGACUUUCAACUAUCAUCUUUAGGACUCCAAGAAUCUUCUUUUAAAACCCAAUAAGCAUUACGAACAGAAAAAGACCCUCAAUCAGAUUGAGCCCAAAUGAUCCCAUCCUCUCCACCAAUAGAGUGAGAAUGGGGGAUACUUACUACACGCUUUAUCACGUCAUCAGGUAGCCAAAUAGGAAGCAAAUCAACUUUCCAAGAACCAUCAAGAAGAACCCAAUCCCUCAAAGUGCUCUCCAAACCGAGGCUUGCAUGAGCUGGGACAUAAGAAAAAAGAGGACCAACUUCCAGUAUCCAAGAAUCUUUCCAACAACAAAUUAUAGAGCCAUCACCUACAGACUACAUAAGAUCCUCACAAAAAAAGGGGUCACACCUUAGAAAGGGAACGGCAAAGAUGAGAGCAUUGAUUUUUGUGGAUAGAAUUUGGAAGCUGAUUCUUCCACCCAUAUUUCGAAUAAAGGACACAAACUCAUAAAGCACCCUUUGUAGAGACUAGAUUGAACCCAAUCUUCAUAAGGAAGGAAUUAUUUUGGUCUUGGAGGUGCUGAAACCCAAGGCCCCUCAAGACCUAAGCUAACAAAUGGACUCCCAAUCUACUUUUGGAUGCCCAGCAGAACCCCUCAAGACCUAAGCUAACAAAUGGACUCCCAAUCUACUUUUGGAUGCCCAGCAGAACCACCCCAAAUGAACUGCCUUGCUAUCUUCUCUCCUUUCGGGAUUAACAAGGACUGCAUAAAGUAGUUUGAACUAUUAAAAGAAAUAAACAUUAGCACUAUACUCUUAUUAUGUUUUAUACUUAUUUUAAUCAAAAGAUAAAAAUAUCUAUAUUUCAAUUAACCGACCAAAUUAACCAAAAUAAUUCAAUUCGAUUAAUGUAUUUGAAAAAAUUUCAAUUCAGUUCACGGUUAAAACUUUUUAUAUUUCAAGUAAUUCGGUUCAAAUAUUAAUCGAACCAACCAUUUGAACAAUGCAAUCGAGACCCUUACUGAAUGCUUUUAACUGGACCGAUUAAAUUAUCCAACGAAUUCUACAAGAAUAAAUUUAGAAUUGAAUUGGAGUUUGUUCGUAUAUGAAAUACACACAAAGUCCAUGUAAACCAUUCUUGGCAAAGCCAAUCCUUGAAUAUCCUCUUGUAGCUGUUGAGCAGGUCCUGCUGGCGGCACACUAAAAAUUUGCAUGCCAACAUUCUGGUUUGAAGAAAGACAAAGCAUCAGCUAGCCGAUUCGCUUCCCUAUGCACAUUCUGAAUUGAAGUCAGCAAAGCCAAACCAUUCUUCCAAGUUGUAAAAACUCCUGAUUCAAACACAAAAACAUCCCACUAAACCAUUAAAAGAUUCUAUUCCAACGUCAAAUAGAUUUCGACUUACUUGACCGCAAUAACAAGUAGCAAUUAGUCAAGCAGUGGUUUCUUGGCCAGCUUCAGUCAGCCUUCUCUUUUUCUUAGAGAAGCACAAGCAAUUACUGAGAUUUAUAAAUAUAGACACGAACCAUAAAUGAAAAUUAGGGGUUGGAGUAUUAACAGUUCAUUCACUAUUUGCACAAUGUCCUUGAGAAGGAUUUGCCAAGUUCAAAAUGUCGUAGAUCUUAACAUAAGUCGUUGCUUGUUUCUUCUUGCCUUCUUGUGGUCACAAAAGACAUUUUCCUGGAUAUGCAAAGUAAGAAGAAAAUCGGAGUUUGCUGCUUUGUAGCCAAGGAGGAGUGUUUAAAAGGUGGCAACGACAGCAGCAAAGUUUAAGAAUCCAUGCAAAAACCCACGUUGCAUGCAAGAAUCCAUGCAAAACCUACGUUGCAUGCACGAAACCAGAAGCUCGGCUGAAGCAUGUUAAAAUCCAUGGUGCAAUUCGACAAGCCUUGUUUAUUUAGUUGACUUUUGUUAGUCUAUGGUGUAAUCAUUAUUUGCUUUGAUCAGCUAAGGUUAAAAUGUGUGCUUAGCUGAUUUAGUAGUCAAAUUAGGUUGUCAUUUUGUUGAUGUAAACCUUUGGUUACUUGCACAAGCAAGCUUUGUUUUCUUUCUAUGUAGUUUUUGUUCUAUUUAUGUAUGUAACCAUGCACUUAUUCGGGUAAUGAGAAAAACACUUUGCUCAUUCAACUUUCUGCUUGUUCUUGCUACUGUUUUAAUCUUUCAAACAUCUAAAACAUUCAUCUAAGUUGUUUUUAAACUUUGUUUGCUAAGUUAAAAACCAACACACCCAAAUCAUAGUAUAUCUCGUUGCCUACAAAACAUAAAGGUAACCAAUACAAGUAAAAAGGCUAAGGUUUUAUAAAACCAUUAAGUUUGUUAUACUGACGGUUUAAGUAUGUCCAGAACAAAUUGUCCAAAUCACAAGAAAGACUUGUAUAAUUUGGCACGGGAAAGUCCAAAUAAAGAAAAUGAUGCCAAAACUUAACAUAUCAAAUUUAUAUCCUUUAUUUGGUGAGUCUGCCUCAUGAUAACCCUGUAAAAUGUAAACAGCAAUUGCAUAGAAUUAAAAAUUGACAACUUUCCUACUCAGGAUUUUUUGUGUCACUGUUCGUCUGAUAUUUCUUGUUUUGAUUUGGUCUCUUAUGAACAAGUGGGAAUCAAUCAAACAGUGUUGAAAUGACAGUAUGAAGUUUAAAUGCUUAUACUAUCUAGUAGUAGCUCUCUUAUAGUUAUACUGAAUUUUUUAAACUGGAACAUAAAACUUGAAUGCACAGUAUGAUCUACAAUGCAUGAUUGCAUAUUCAAGUCGAAUAAAGGUCAUAAAUUUGCUCUGUAAAACUCAAAAUUCAGUCCUUACCAUCUCUUGUUUUGUUUGUUGCGGUUUCAAUAUUAGUUUCACUAGUAUCUCUCCCACACAUGCCAAGGUUAAAUUUACCUCCUUUGCUGGUUCCUCUUGAUCGAUCACCCACAUUUGAAAUAUAUAGAUGCAUAACAAAGUAAAAGAAAGAACAGAACACGAGAUGAAAUAAAAAUUAGUAUAUAUCCAUCACUCGAAGAUUGUUUCUCGAUGAACUUACCCCGUUGUCCAUAUAAACUCAAUAACACCAAGACACAUUACCAACAAAGUAAAGUUAUGCCUCAACUACUCUUUAUUAACCUGAUGACAAGGUUGUUAUACUAAGUUACAAACUUAUUGUUCAAUCAUUUAACAUGGUAUCACAAAAGGGUCUACCGUUCCUUUUGCCAUAUAAUCCCUAGUUCUUACCUCAGGGUUGUUGUGAAUCUCGGCUCCUUUCCCAGUGUCUGGGGGCAGAGGAAGGUAGAGAAUUAACUGUUCAUCCUCUUUUUGCACAAGAUCUCCUUGAAUACUAAGAGGAUUUGUUAGCUUUUGGUUGGUAAUAAGCCGUAGCAUUUCAAGACAAGAAUUCAAAACGUUGUUUAGCAUUUUUGUGACUCUGCCGAAAACCUUUUCCUCUUUUACUAAUUGUUGCAUUUGGUCCACAAUGGCCUCUUUCUGCGUUGCCGGAAUAGGAAAUGAACAAUGAUAUAUCAAAGUUAAUUCUAUUGAUCUAAAAUGUCUAAAUCCACCAUAGCUAAGUCCAAACCCAAGCAAAGGUUGCGCCCAAGCAAAUGAUGUGAACAUGUUGCCAGACAAAUCACAAUAGGUGAGCACUUUUGAGCCUCUAAAUUGGUUAGAUCAGAGCUCGAAAAGGUAUCUCAAAACCCACAUGACAAGCUCUCUUUGUCCAAAAAUAGCUCGAAAGAUUGCCAAUCAAAGUUCGUCUGGAAAGGUAUAAAUAACCCAACCUAAGUACACCCCCUUAACCCAAUGUUACUAUGAUGAGUUUUCUCCAAACCCUUUCUCAUCCAUAUAUCGAUAUAAGCAUUCGGGAACUGUAUUUUUAGGCAUUUCUCAAUUAGACUCCAAAAAAUCAAUAAAUGCCAUUAAUGAACACGUACACUUAAAAAAUUAAUAUCGAACCGAAUUUGUUUAGUUAAUUUGAUCAGUUAAUCAAAAUUUAUAUGUUUUUGUCUUUUAAUCAAAACAAGUAUAAAACAUAUAAAAAAAUAUAUUGAUAAUGUCCAUUGGUCUUGAAAGUUAAUUGACUUAAUCGGAAUUUUAAGUCUUGAAACACUACAUAAUUAUUAAAUUCGGUUAAUUAGCUGAUUUCGAAUCAAUUUAAUCGAAACCAAAAUUUCAAAAAAACAUUAACCGACUUUCGACCAAAUUAAAUUUGACCAUCAAUUGAUUAACCAAAUUAAUUCGAUUUUAAUCAAAGUUUCAACCCUAAUAAUCUCCGCCUCACUUCAAUGAAAUCCACCCAAGAGGCCUAUCCUGCUAAAACUCAUCUUUCUAAUGAGAGUAACUUCGUUAUAUAUCAUCUGUCACUUACGAUUAUACAUUAAAAAUUGGUUGGACUUUCAAUAAUAACUUAUUUAACGAGUUUAUAAUGGAUUUUUCACUGGAAAAUGUACUGCAAUAGUUGCUGGUGUACAUUUGUUUUUUUUUAUUUUGGUACUACUUUCUUUUGGAGCCAUAACUACACGAGUAACAACUUAAUAUCACAUACAUUAAAAAAACCAUUACUUAUGAAAAUUAUGCCAAUUCAACAAACGUCAAUUACGGUCUUUCGCGUAGAAGCUCGGGUUAUUCUUGAAGGUUUACGUAUUGCAUGGGAAAAAGGUUACAACAGUUGGAGAUUGAAUGCGACAAUACACUACUUGUAGAGUCCGUUCUUAUGGGUAGUGCUGCCAGUAGUAAUCUAGUUGAAUUACGUUUAAUCAAUGUUUACCUUAAGAGGAAUUGGAAUACAAAAAUCUGUCACAUUCCUAGAUCUCAGAAUAUGCCUACUGAUCGAAUAGCGAAAUGUACUUAUAAGAAUCUUUGUUUAAUUGAUUACCAUUGAAUACUUUAUCAGUUUUAAACAAAUUAUUCUUCGCAUCAACAAACCUUUUUCAAUAUAAAGUAAUUUUAAAAAUAAUGAUUAUAGAAUAAAGAUUUAUAUUUUUAUAAAAUUUUUGAAAUAAUUAUAUAUAUUUUUAAUUUUCAAAACAAAAAUUGUUUAAAAGAACAUUAUAUUUCUUUUCUUUUCUUUUUUAAACUACGUUGCUAAAAGAUUGUCCGACUCUCGUGAUUGAUUGAUAUAUAUAUAUAUAUACUUGUCGCAAAUUUAAGUAUUAAUUUUGCAUCGUAUAGGUAAAUAAAUAAAAUCUGUUUUUUUUUUAUCAAAUUAUUGUUUUGGUUAUUAUAUUCAAAUUUGAAGUUUAAUUUUUUUAAUUUGACAUAAAUUAACAUAUUUUUAUGUUGAAAUGAAAACUCUUUAAAGUAGUAUCUUCGACUCAUUAUGCUGGUAUGGUUUUGUUUUAUUUUAAAUGAGAAAUUAAUAUAAAAUAGACUUGUUUAUUGGCUGGACACUCGAUCCACCCAAAAAGUGGGAGGAUUUGGAAAAAAAUAUAAGCCUGAAAAAUGAGCUGAGGCAAAAAAAAAAAAAGUCCAUUUUAAUAACAGGUUGGGCAUUGGGUAAAGUUUUUUUGGACUGAACCCAACUUGACUCAAAUUAGCCAAAAGACAAAGAAAAAAAUGCUAUUUUCUUGUUGUUUUAUCACUAUUUUGCUAUCAUUUCACUAUUAUGUUAUUACUAUUUUUUUUGUUAUUUUUUAGAUAUUGUAUAACUCUUGUUUUAUAUUUAAAUUUGUUAUUACUUUAGAGACAUUUGCUUGUUAAGUUGCACUUAUCUUAACGCUAUUUAAGUAUAAAUAUUUUUUAAAAAAAUUUAUUUUCAAUUUUUUAGGAAACAUUUAUUUUAAUAUUUUUUAGUGUAUCUAGUGUAUUAUAUUUUUAAAGUUUUAUAUAAGAAAAAUUUUAAAAAUAAAAAGGGCAGAUCUGGACCGGACCUAAAUUGUAACAUUUUUAUCUAGGCCGAACUUAGGUAAAAAUUUAAACCCAUUUUUCGGGUCAGGCCAAACUCAAACAUAUCAAUCAAACCUAAAAUUUUGUUAGUGAAUACCCAACCAAUCAACAAAUCUAGUGUAAUCCCAUAGUGUUGACUACUUUUAUUGCCCUGAAAUUGGUUAGCCCAUGAAUUUAUUAUGUUGAAGCCCCUCUUUAAUUGAAAAUUUGAGGUUGAUAAAUCAUUAUUUAAUGUCUGAAUUUGAUAAUAAUUUUUUGUGUGGUACAACUUUGACCUUUACCUUCCUUAUUACUACCUCUGUUUACCACCAAUUUUUGGUCGCAACAUUAAGAAAAAACUCUAUUCAAAUAAUGAGCACCAAAUGGACCGUUUUCUAGUACCACUAUUUUUCACACCAAAUACGUUGGAAUUAUUCUCCUUCUCUUGUGUCCCUCUCAAUUCUCAUUUUCAAAUUUACUUUAGUGUACAAUAUACGUGAAUAUUUAAUAAUAAUAAUAUAGAUUAUAUGGAUCAAUUUUUAAUAAUAAUAAUGGAUGAAUUUUUUUAAUAAAAGAAUUAAUUUAUUCUUUGAUUUUAUCUACAAUGACUAAUUUAUUUAUUUUUUAAGUAAAAAGAAAAAUAUAGUCUAACUUAUAAUAUAAAAACCUUCAUGAUACUUGUUGAUAUUAGGUUGAAGAUGAUCUUUACGUGUUGUUUAUAUUACGUGUUGUGUUGACUAUAACGAAGAAGUUAAUUAAUACAUAUUGUAUUUGUCAAGCAAAAUUAAUAAUAUAAAAUAAGUAUCCCAAGUUGGUAGAUUUGAGAAAAAGGAACAUGGUCGACAUGAAUUUCUUCGGUGGAAGGAUUGACCCACCAUAGAUUGGGAACUGCCACUUGACUGCUACUAAUAUCUGCUUUUUCAUCCAUAUAUGUGUAUAUAUAUAUAUAUGCUGGAACCUUGUUAUUACAUAAAAAUACAGGACGACUUCAUUUUCUUCUUCAAUGGCAGUGUCAGAAAUCUCGCGAUGUAGUUAUCAUGUAUUCUUGAGUUUUAGAGGUGAAGAUACGCGCAGAAGUUUCACGGAUCAUCUUCACACAGCUUUGAUGCACUUAGGAAUUCAAACAUUUAGAGAUGAUGAGGAAAUCGAGAGAGGGAAUAACAUAAAAGAUGAAAUUGAAAAAGCAAUACUACACCACUCCAAAAUUUCUAUCGUUGUUUUCUCAAAGAAUUAUGCUGUAUCCACAUGGUGUCUUAACGAACUUGUAAUGAUAUUGGAGCACAAGAAAUCCUCUAAACACAUUGUGUUGCCAGUUUUCUAUGAUGUGGAUCCGAGUCAAGUCAAGAACCAGACGGGAAGUUAUGCAGAAGCAUUUACCCAACAUGAACAAAACUUCAAGUCCAUGGUACAAAGAUGGAGGAAUGCUUUAAAAGAAGUUGCAGAUAUAGGAGGCAUGGUUCUACAAGACAGGUAUGUUAUACACAUAAUCAAGUUCCAUAUGGUUACUUCAAUCCUUUUCAUUAAGACUUGAUAGAUAGAGUAGAAAGAAAAUUAAUAGAAAAUAUUGUUAGGUAACGUUUGGAGAUUAAAAUGGCUACUUCAAUCCAUUUUAAAGGGUUAAAUAUAACUCAGAUUUUAAAUUAUUUCUCAAACACUAACAUGUUUUAAUUGAGUCAUUAAAAUAUUAGUAUUGUAUCAAUAAGGUCUUUUUAUCAAACAAGUAAUCAGUUUAAGCAUUAAAUGUAAAUAACAUGAAUUUAUUAAACUUUCACAAAGAGAAAGUUGAAAUUUGAGUAUAGGUUGUUUCUUAAAUGAAUUUCAUUAAUUUUUAUGUUGCUUUAUUUGAUUUGAUUUGAUUUUGAAUGUAAUAAUUCUAUCAUAUAUGUUGAAAUGUUACAUUAGUUGCUUAUUUUUAUUAGAACAUAUAAUCUCAUAAAGACAAUUAAAAUAUAUGCAAGAAAAGAGAAAAUACAUUAAUAACUUUUACUUAAUUUUCAAGAUUUUAGCAUUGAGUUGUAUUUUUUAAAUUUGCAGGCAUGAAUCACAAUUUAUUCAAGAUAUUGUUAAAGAAGUUCAAAAUAAACUUCAUCCUAUUUCUUUGUAUGUCCCUCCUUAUUUAGUUGGAAUAGAUUCUAUCGUGACACAAAUUAAUCAAUGGUUAGAACAAGAUGGAGCAAAUAAAGUUGGCAUUGCAACUAUUUGUGGCAUUGGAGGCAUUGGGAAGACAACCAUUGCCAAAGUUGUUUACAAUCAAAACAUCUCGAGGUUUGAAAGUUUUAGCUUCCUUGCUCAAGUUAGAGAAACAAGUCAAGAUUGUAAUGGCUUAGUUCGUUUGCAAAGACAACUUAUUUCAGAUCUCCUUAAAGGAAAAUCGCAUAAAAUAUACAAUAUAGAUAAUGGAAUUAACAAGAUCAAAGAAAUUGUAUGUUGUAGAAGAGUUCUUCUUGUUCUUGAUGAUGUUGAUGAAUUGGAAAAAAUAAGAAAAUUAAUGGGAACUCAAAUUCCUUUUCAUCCGGGAAGUAAAAUCAUCAUAACUAGUAGAAACCGAUGCCUAUUGAAUGCACAUUUUAUAAGCCAAAUGUUUGAUUUGGAAGCAUCAACUAGCUGUGGAGGCUUAAGCAAGCUAUUUGAAGUAAAAGAAUUAGCUUCAAGUGAAUCGCUACAACUUUUUAAUUNNNNNNNNNNNNNNNNNNNNNNNNNNNNNNNNNNNNNNNNNNNNNNNNNNNNNNNNNNNNNNNNNNNNNNNNNNNNNNNNNNNNNNNNNNNNNNNNNNNNGGGCUCUUCAUUAUCUAGCAAAAGUGUGAGUUCUUGGAAAAGUGCAUUGGAGAAAUUAGAAGAAAUCCCUGACAGCAAAAUUCAAAAGAUUCUAAGAAUAAGCUAUGAUUCUUUGGAAGACGAUCAUGACAAAAAUUUAUUCCUUGACAUAGUUUGUUUAUUCAUUGGGAAGGAUAGAGAUUACACGACUACAAUUCUAGAUAGUUGUGAUUUCUAUACAACAAUUGGAAUUGAAAAUCUAGUAGGCAGGUCUCUUUUAAUCAUUAAUGAAAAAAACAAGCUAAUGAUGCACCAAAUGAUUAGAGAUAUGGGACGAGAAAUUAUUCGUCAAGAAUCUUCUGAUAUUGAGAAACGAAGCAGAGUGUGGCAUAAGAACGCAUUUGAUGUAAUAAGAGAAAAAAUUGUAAGAAACAUCAUUUUACUCAACUUUUUUCUUGUAUGCAUGUAAACUACUUUUUUUUUUUAUCAAAUUUCUUUUUAUUUUUUAAAAAAGGUUUUCUGAUGCAGGGUUCCAAAACAGUUAAGUGCCUCACACUUGACCUAAAAGGAUUGCUAGAAGACAAGGCUAAAAGGACAAAUACAACUCUACACUUUCCAAAGCAUUCCAAAAGUCAGUUUCUCAUGGCAAAUGAUGUUGAUAUGGAAACUCAAGCAUUUGCAAAGAUGAAGAGACUUAAACUGCUUCAACUGGAUUAUGUAAAACUUAAAGGAGACUUCAAAGACUUUCCCAAAAGAUUAAGAUGGUUACGUUGGCAUGGGUUUUGUAUGCAAUCUUUUCCGGUGGAUUUCGAUAUCAAUGAACUAGUUGUUCUCGACAUGCGCAACAGUAAACUUAAACAAGUUUGGAAGGAUACAGAGGUAUGAUAUAUACUAAUUUUCCUUCUUUUUGUGUGUAUGUGUGUAACAAUAAUAUAUAAAUGAAGGGUUUUCUUUUUUUGCAGUGCCUCCCAAAUUUAAAGAUCCUUAAUCUCAACCAUUCACAUAGCCUUCUUAAAACCCCAAGCUUUUCAGGACUCCCUAGCCUUGAGAAGUUGAUGCUCAAAGAUUGCAUAAAUUUGGUAGAAGUUGAUCAAUCCAUUGGUGAGCUAAAGAUGCUUACUUUCUUGAACCUAAAAGAUUGCACAAGUCUUAGGAAACUUCCAAGGACAAUUGGUUCAUUAAUAUCACUUGCAGAGCUUAUUUUAUCUGGUUGUUCAAGACUUGAUGAUGUCCCCAGGGAGUUGCAUAAUAUGAAAUCAUUGAAGGUGCUUAAUUUAGAUGAAACUUCCAUAUGUCAAACAAGAUUGGGAUUACAUUGGCUCUUACCGAAAAGAAGUAAAGAAUUGGGUUUCUCUUGGGCAUCUCUACCGUGCUCUUUGGUAAAAUUAAGCCUUGAAAGUUGCAAAUUAUCUGAUGAUGUCAUGCCCAAUGAUCUUUAUAACUUAGCUUCAUUGAAAUCCUUAAAUUUUAGUAGAAACCCAAUUCAUUGCCAUCCCGAAAGCAUAAAAAAACUUACAAAACUUGAUGAACUUCUAUUGACUUCUUGCACUGAACUCCAAAUAAUUCCAAAGCUUCCAGUCUUGCCCAAUGUUUUUGAGUUCUUGACAAUAUCUCCAUUUAAAGGAUAUUGGGCAAUUCUUCCAUGCUUCUUUUCUUCCACACGAUGUGUUAUUUUUGGAUGUGAAAAAUUGACUGAAGUUGAAGAUCUAUUCAAGUUGGGACCAAUUGAAAACUUUGAAGAAGAAGAGAUUAGAAGAUUAUUCAACCUGGAUUCCAUUAGCAGAAAUCGACUGCAACUUUAUAGCUACCUAACAGACAGCAUAAUGCUUGCUACCCCACAGGUUCUCCAACUUAAAUUUUAACUUUAUUUUUUUCUCUUACAUUACUUAAUGAACACAUUCGUAAUCAUCUAACAUGUUUUUUUUGGAUCAGGUCUUGCAGGAAUGUGGUAUAACAAGUACUUUUGUUGUGGGAAGUGAAGUUCCUAUUGUGUUUAAGCAUCGCACUAACGAGCACCGAAUCUCUUUUUCUUUGCCAACACCAUCUCAUCCAGAUGAAAAGAUCCAUCGGUUCAGCUUAUGCAUUGUUUUCUCUUUAGCUAGUGAUCAAAUAUUGGAGUUUCUACCAAGUGUCCACAUUUUCAAUGAGACCAAAAGGAUCAUGCAGAGAUAUCGCUCAAGUUUCAUCGGAAUUCCUGAGACUAACGAUAACACAAUGUUGUGGUUGAUCCAUUGGCCAGUAACGGAUUGUGAGUUUGAAGGUGGUGACCUUGUGAGUUGCAUGGUAGUGCCUGUUCAUCUCAGCAUAAGAAAAUUUGACGUUACUUAUGAAUCACAACACAAAGUUAGAUAUAAAUAUGGCUUUUCCCACGUAUCUACAGGUAUGACUAUGACUUCAAAUGAUUAUGUUUAUGGAAUAUUAACCCAUGCACUAUUAACACUUACUAAACUAAAGAUAUAUCCUUAUUGAAAUAAUAAUUUUUUUGACAAAGGAAAUAAUAAAUUAUAUGAAUAUUUAAUGUGUUUUCAGUGACAAGAUUAUAUAUUAGUGAAUACAUCCUAUUAUUUUUUUAAUGUUUCCUUUUAGAUGUCAAUAACAAAUGUUUAAGAAAUGAUAAAUGUUGCAAUUGGGAUCUAAUUAAAAUAAUUUAAUUGUUUGAUAAAUGAUUAAUUUACAAGUCUUAUAACACAUUUUAACAUUUUAGUGAUAAUAAUAUUAGUUUUUAAUUUUUUUUCAUAUAAUAUUAAGAGGAAGGAAUGGGGUCACACGGUUUGAAUCUGUGUCAAAUAGGUGUCUGACAAAAGAUUUAACCAUCAGUGUAUUCAAGUUAAGACUACUAUUUUAAUAUUCUAAUAGGCAUACUACAAUUGAUAAAUAACACAUUAUUGUACAUAUUUUAGGAAAUGAAGUUACCACAAGAAAUAUGAUGAUGGACCUGACUAAAGACUUACCCAGUUUGGAAUCUUAUGGAAAUGUUAAAGUGCAACUUUGCAAUUUUAUAGAAGAAUCAAAAGUGGUUGCUUCCCCACAGGUUCCCUUUACAAGUUUCAACUUUUAAAAAAUAUUUAUAUAAUAUUUUUUAAAAUUUUAUUCUAUAACCCAAUGCUACAGGUAUUAUACGAUUACGGCAUAAUUACAACAUUUGAUACAUUUCCAUUUGAUUACAUUGGCCACUACCAUGGCCUUCAAGCUGGCAAGACUGAGGUUUCAAUAUCAGUGCCCCCAAACUCUAGUCGAAAGAUAAGUUGCUUCUUAAAUUCGAUUAUCAUUUUUUCUGCCAAGAAUGAUAAAACAUAUGGAUUUUUACCAUGCCUUGAAAUUGUGAACGAGACCAAAGGUACAAAGUGGACCUACUCCAAACAUUUCAUGGGAAUUCCUGAAACCAAGAAUACCUUAUACUGGACGACUUGUUGGAACUUUAGGGGUGAUGAACUAGAAGCUGGUGAUCAUAUUAGUCUUCGGGUUCUUUCAAAUUUAUCUGUACUAGAAUUUGGGAUUGACCUUGUAUAUGAUUAUGAGCUAGAUGACAACUCAAAUUUUUUCAGUCAGUUGCCAUGGAUGAGUAAAUGUUUUAAGUAUCUUUUCGGGACUUUUGUUCUUAUUUCGUCAAAAGCCCAAAAAAACUUGUAUAGGUUGCAAAGUUUAGUCAAAUGCUGAUUAUCGUAGGAUUGAAAUGGAGCAAAUGAAUAUUUUGGUUUAGUCAUUGCCGCCUUGGCUUGGCUGAUUUCAUCUUAUAUUUAAUCUCUUAUUCUUUUAUGUAUGCUAUCGAUAUUGAUUUUUGCUCAAGUUCUUCAAUGAAGCACCUUGUUCUUGGUAAUUCAAUUAACUUGUGCUUUUAAUCAGAUGUCGGAGUUAUUUUAGUAGACUUAAUUGAUUUUGUAUAUAUGGAAGUAAAGUAAAUGUGAGCUUAGCUCGCUUUCAGGGAAGAGUAGUGUACCAAAAGAAAGUUGAAAAUGGUAAGCUAGGAGGUGAUGAUCGUAGAGAUGAAAUAUUAGAAGGAGAAAACGAGAAAAAGCAUUCUUGGGAGAUGAUUUGAUUACCAUUUGUGGAACACUAAUUCCUAUAACUACGUGGGCUUGUUCAUAAGACUUCUCUUAGAAUCUCGAACAAAUAUCAGUUGAUUGUUCUGGUUUAAAUAUUUAAUUUUUAAGAGAAUAUAUUAUUACUUUAUUCUACCCUCUCGAAGAUUUAUAUCAAGUCCAAACUGUUGCGAGUUGAUAGCCAUGAUGGAAAUCAAUUUUGAGCAAUUUUUUGAAGGAGCUGAAAUAAAAUUGUAUAUUUUUAUAAUAGUAAAAGUAAAAUUUCACCAUUUUAAUAGUCUAUAUAUUUAUAAUUUUUAAAAAAUUAAAUCAAAAUUUUCUCAUUCUUUUACUUGAACUGUUUCACUCAACAUAAUAAAUUCGUGCGCUAAUCGAUUUCACGGCAUUUAAAGUAGUGAAGACGAUGGGAUAAGGCUAAUGUUGAUAUGGGAUCUGAAAAAGCAGGUAAGAGUAGUAGACUAUGAAAAGUCAUAAUAUAUUAUAAACAUUUCUUACGUUACAUUUCAACCACCUCUUUAAUUCCACCAGAAUCCGGUACUACUCGCUCUUGAGUGCUAACACUCUCCUCGUUACGGCCCUCCAACUUUUUCCUCCACAAUAUUUUAAGAAAAACUCAAUUCAAAUAAUAUUUUUAUAUUUGAGGUUUAUGAUUAUUUCUCUUAAUAAUGUUGUCUUUAAAAUUCAGAUAUCUAUUUCUCUUGAAAAUACAAUACCUUAAUUAUUCAAAUAAUAGUCUUAACAGAAAGAUUAAGCACCAAAUAUUCUAUAAAUACUAACAAGCUAAUGGUCUAAAGUCUAGAUUGAGUAGCACUAUUAUCCAAAUUCCGAAACAUAGUGCAACAAAUCAAUUCUUUCCCGGCGACCAAAUGACGUUUAUUAUAUAUAUAGAACUCUACAACCUAGUGCUACUAAUUAUCAAUUUUAUUGUUGUGACUCCAUAAACUAAAAUUUAGUUGAUCCCUUGACUCAAGAGUGUAAUUAUUCGAAUAGGGAUUAUAUCUCUUUUACAGUGGUACACUAAUUCGUCUUAUUAUAUGGGUUUAUUUAUAAGAGUUCUCUUAAAUAUUUAUGUCAAAUCCAAAUUGUUGUGAAUUCUUUUAACAUUUCAAGGAGUUUUGUCCAUAAGUAAAAGUCUUUGGUAAAAGUAUUAGAUAAUAAGUAAUUGAUAAAAAAUUUCAUUCUAAAGGCAACUAGCAAAGAGCUGUUUAAUAUUUUUCAACAUUCAUGAAGGGUUUUUAUGUACUUUUAUUGAAUGGAAUAGAAUUUUUUUUUCCUAAUAAAUGAACCACGAGAAGCAAAAUGUUUUCCAAGGAAUAUUCUUACCAUAUCUAUUUAAUAUGUAAUUCGCAACUUGUUCUUGAAAGGAAAACCAUAAUAAUUUUCCUAGAAUCUCUAUUUGGAAACUUGGAAGUCUUUUAAAUCAACCGAAUCAUCUUACUCGAAUACUUUAUCAACUUUAUACAAAUUAUUCUUUGCAUCACUAAAUAUUGUUCAUGACCUUGCACCCACUUUCAUGCAGAAUUAUUUCUCCCAUGCAGGGAAUGGUCUCCAUGAAUUAUUGCCAUAUUUCCAUUUAGGAUUAGUAAAUUUCAAUAACUUUUUUGGUGGACGUGAUAUCUAUUUUGAUGAUAUGACAUGGUUUGUUUUGAUCCAAAAAAGACGAUGAAUGACAUGAAAUUGAACUAUGAUUUUAAAGAAGGGACUUGAGUUUAUAUAUGAUUAUAUAGGCGGUAAUUCAAUUUUCCUUUCCUUGUUGGAAAAGGAAUUCCAUUUUGACUUUAAUUGUAAUUUUUAAGUUGUUGUUUUCUUAUUGUUAAUUAUUUAAAAAAUAAUCGCAUUUUAACUUGCAAACUUAAAUAUUAAACUAUUAUCUUUAUGUUUACUUUUUAAUGAUAAUUAACAAAAAUAUUUGGUUUUAAAAUUUUAAUACAAUCAAUGAAACACAAUUCACACACAUGAAUAAUAAAAUUUGACGUGAUUAAAUAAAUAUUGAAUUUUGUUAUAUUUUUAAUAAUAAAUAUAGGUAAAAUGGUAAUAAAUUGGGAUUUUAAUGUCAUUUAAAACGUGUCAAAUAAAUAUUAGAUUAGAUAUUCAAUAUUAAAAAUUAAUAUAUAUUAAUUGAAUUAUAAACGAGUUUAGAAAUUCAAAAUUGUAAAAAUUAAUAUAUAUUGAAUUAAAUGACUACCAUACAUAAUCUUAUUCGAAUAAUAAUAAUGAAAAAUAAAACUGAGUAUUUAAGACAAUUUCGUUGUAUUUGUUUGUUCUAUGAUCCAACUAUGGUAGGUAAGCGUGAUGUAGGUUCAUCGUACUCCCAUCCAGUGGCUUUAAUUUGCUCUAAUGGAAUCGAAAACGAAUCAAUCCUUUUAACAUCGGAAAUCGACUUUAUUUUCAAAAAAAGUUUUGGGUCGAUUUUGGAGUUCCAAUCAAUAUCAUCGAUAUACAUAUCUGCUGCAUUACUUGGCAACUUAUUUGUGCAAGGAAAACGAUGAUAAUAUUCCCAGAAUCUCUGUUUGGCUUUCUGGAAAGCUUUUAAACCAGUUGAAUCAUCCCAUUCGAAUACUUUAUCGGUUUUGAACAAAUUAUUCUUUGAUUCAACAAAUUUUUUCCAUGGCAUUGCACCCACUUUUAUGCAGAAUUUUUUCUCCCAUGCAAAUAAUGGUUCACAUGAAUUACCGUUAUCAUUCAGUUUGGGUCGAGUAAAUUUCAGACUGUAGUACCUUUCUCGACGAUUAUGAUAUCUUCUUUGAUAAUAUGACAUGAUUUCUUGUAAUCCAAACAAAUAAAUGAAUUGAAAUCGCUAAUGAUAUCAAUUUACAGUGAGGAGACUCGUUGGGUUUAUAUAAUAUUAUUAGAGUCAGUGGUGACUCAAUCCUUUUCCUUGUUGGAAAAGGAAUUCCAAUUUCAGUUUGAUUAUGAUUUCUAUUUUCUAAAUAUUUGUAUAAUAAAAUUAUUAAAAAAAAUAACUAUAUCUGUAUUGAUAAUAUUUUCUUAUUAAAUGGGUUUUAUGAGUUAAAUAACAAUCAAACCAAGACUGGGAGACUGAACUGCAUCAGGUCUUAGGGGUGAUCCAUCGCUUCAACCACUAUCCACCAUCUACAUCCUUCCCCUGUAUAAACUCUGUUAAAUAUAUACAGAGAGAGAGAGAGACAAACAAAUUAUAACGAUAGUAAAAAAAAUCAAAACUAAAAUAUAAGCAUUUUUCUUAUAAGGUGAAAAGAAAUAAUGGACUUGAGUACUUGAAAGAACUAACCGACCUAAGUUUAUAAAUUAUUAUUUAGUACAAUGAUUCGAACUCAAUUGCUUUUAAGAAAAAUUAACACUCGACCAAUAUAUUACAAUAUGAGUUGUUAUUAUGAUUUAAUGUAACAUUCAAUCAAUAAAAGAUAACCAAUUCCUGAACGCUACCUAACAAUAUUUUCUUUGCCAAAUACUUUAUCAGUCUUAAACAAAUUAUUCUUUGCAUCAACAAAUCUUUUUCAUUUAUCAGUCUUAAACAAAUUAUUCUUCGCAUCAACAAUUUUUUUCCAUGACAUUGCACCCACUUUGAUGCAUAUUUUUUUCUCCCUUGCGGGUAAUAAUUUCCAUAAAUUACUGUCUUUAGGUUUGAGAUGAAUAAACUUCUGUAUGCAGUAAUUUUCUUGACGAUUAUAAUACGAGAAAUAUGAAUUUAAAGUGAAGGGACUUUCCUUGUUGUGAAAGGAAUUUCAGUAACUAUUUGUAAAAUAAAAUUAUUAAAAAAUAAUUAUAUCUAUAUUGAUAAUAUUUUUUUAUUAAAUGGGUUUUAUUAGUUAAAUAACUUUAUUAAUUAGUUGAAUAGCAAUCAAACUCAACUUUAAAAUUUUAAAAGUAAUAUUACUGAAUAAAGAAUUAUAACUUAGUAACAACAUUCUAUUUGAACAUUGCAACAGUAAUUCAGUUUGAAAAUUGCAACAGUAAUUUAGUGAAAUUGACUAAAAAGAUUACUCUAUCUUCUUCCAAGUUGCAUCUUUCAAUCCAACCAAUUGGAAGCAUCAACACCAUAGAAUCAUAUAAGAAAAUCUACAAACUACGGUGCGACACCAUAGAAUCAUAUAAUUAAGAACAUCUACAAACUAUGUAGACACGGCUUCUUCACACAUUAGAUUUACCCUUAUGAAAUAGAAUAGGAGAACCCUCUGACUUGGUCAAUCAUAGCCCCUGUACUGUUCAACUUCCCAAAUCUAAGAAUAGUACCAUCCACGGGACUGACUUGUUAUUUAACAGAACACACUCUUAGCAAUACUUCAGAGUGACAUUAAUGAAAAUAUUAACAUGUCCAACAUGUUCGUAACCAGUUUCCAGACUAUAGGCAUUAGGUUGAGAGGCCUGUAACCUUCUUUCAAUGUGAAAAGUGACUUUUAUUAUACAAGAUGCAUCUUCUUCAAAAGAGAGAGCUGCUACUUCUAGGUCUUAAAUGCAAACCAAAAUACCACAUCAUAAGUUAUUCUUCAUUUUCAGUUGACUGUGCAUUCAUCCCAUCAAUCGAAAAAAGCGAUCUAAAGUUAUUCUUCAUGAUAAACAUACUUGAGUGGAAAGCACAAGCCCAUGCUUUAUGAAAUUUGUUUUCACAAGGAAAACAUGAUAAAUUUUCUAGAAUUUUUAUUUGACUUCCUGAAAAGCUGUUAAACCGGCUAAAUCAUUUCACUUGAACACUUUGUCAUUUUCAUACAAAUUCUUAUUUGUUUCAACAAAUCUUUCCCAUGGCAUUGCACUCCUUUCUAUGUAGAAGUUUUUCUCCCAUGCAAGCAAUGGUUUGGGUUUGGGAUGAGUGGUCCUUUGUUGUGAAAAUAACGAAUAGAAAUAUCAUUUAUAGAAAUGCCAAAUAGAUAUAUCUUUCUAUAAAAUAUAAUGCAUCUUGUAAUAAAAUAUCCUUUCAUAAGGUUAUAUUAUUUUAUAAAAUAAUUUUAUAUAAAAUUAUGUAUUUAUAUAAAAAUUUUAUGUACAUCUACACAACAUUAUUAUUCAUUAAUCAAUAAGUGUAAUAUACAUUUUUUCUAGAUAAUAAAAAGCGACCGCCAAAUGAUUUUAUUUUUUCAAUCGAAUUUUUGUUUUAGUCAUUUUAUUCAAAUUUGAAGUUUAUUUUUUUUAAUUUGAUAUAAAUUAACAUAGUUAAAUAUUCUUGUGCUAAUGUGAAAACUCUUUAAACUAUUAUUUUCGAUUCAUUAUGUUACUAGGGUUUUUUAUUUUAUUUUAAAUGAGAAAUUGAUAUAAAAUCCCAUUAAACUUUAAAAUUGGACUGAUUUUUUAAAAAAGUUAAAUUAUAUGUUUAACUGUGAACAAAAUAUGUUUAGCAAAAUAUGUUUAACAUGCAUUAAAAGGCAUCGUGGUUCAUUGGUUUCUAGAUGCGAACAAAUUAUGUGGCUUUAUAACUUCUGAGAAAAGUUUUGAGUCGAUUUCAAGAUUCCUAUCAAUAUCAUUGAUAUAUAAAUCAACUGCAUUACUUCUUACAAGGAAAGCCAUGAUAAUUUUUCGAGAAUUUUUGUUUGACUGAUUGCCACUGAAUACUUUAUCAGUUUUAAAUAAAUUAUUCUUUGCAUCAACAAACCUUUUUCAAUAUAAAGUAAUUUUAAAAAUAAUGAUUAUAGAGUAAAGAAUUAUUUUUUUUAUAAAUUUUUUGAAAUAAUUAGAUAAACAUAAAGAUGCAUUAUAUAUAUAAUAAAGAUAAAGAUAAAGAUAAACAUGAUUAAUUUUACCUUUAUUUUAAAGUAUAGCUUUUAUUAUCCAUUAAAUUAAAUAUAAAAUUAAUUUUACCUUUACCUUAAAUAUUUAAUUAGAUAAACAGAAAUUAUAGAAGUCCUUUUUGUCAUAGACCUUCAACUUGAUAACAUAUAAUUGUAACAACAAUUCAGUGAAAUUUGACUAAAAAUUGCGAAAUUGACUAAAAAAUGCAUCUAUAGAUACAAAUAAUCUCCAAUUCAACAUUUAUCAUUCAUUAAUUAAUAAGUAUAAUGUACUUGAUUUUUUGUAGAUAAUAAAAAACGUUUGAAAUUAUUUCACAAUAUAAUUUUUGUUUAUUAAGAUUUUAUUUUGUUUUUUCAUCUUUUCAGAUGUCAUAUGAUAUAAUCAUUUUAGCCCUAGCAUAGGUAAAUAAAUAAAAUUUAUUUUUUAUCAAAUUAUUGUUUUAAUAUUUAUAUUUAAAUUUGAAGUUUAAUUUUUCUAAAUUUGACAUAAAUUAACAUAGUUAACUAUUUUUGUGUUGAAAUGAAAACUCUUUAAAGUAGUAUUUUCGAUUCAUUAUGGUUUUUUUUAUUUUAAAUGAGAAAUGAAUAUAAAAUAUACCUAUUCAUUGGUUGGGCCACCCGACCCACCCAAAAAGCACGAGAGUUUGGGCAAAAACAUAAGUCCGAAAAAUGGGCUUAGGCAAAAAAACUAAAAGGGUCUAUUUUAAUAACGGGCUGGGCAUUGAGUAAGGUUUUUUUAGCCCAGACCCAACCCGACCCAAAUUAGCAAAAAGACAAAUAAAAAUUGCUUCUCUUGUGUUUUCUCACUAUUUUGCUAUCAUUUUACUAUUAUGUUAUUACUACUUUUUUUGUUAUUGUUUAGAUAUUGCAUAACUCUUGUUUUAUAUUUAAUUUUGUUAUUAUUUUAGAGAAAUUUGCUUGUUAAGUUGCAGUUAUCUUAAUGCUAUUUAAGUAUAAAGACUUUUUUUUAACUUAUUUUCAAUAUAUUAAGAAAUAUUUAUUUUAAUAUUUUUAGUGUAUUUGGUGUAUUAUAUUUUUUAAAUUUUUAUAAAAAAUAAACUUUAAAAAAGUCAGACCUAGGUUAUAGCAUUUUUAUCUGUGCAGAACUUAAGUAAAAAUUUAAACCUUUUUUUAGAUCAAACCAAACUUGAACAUAUCAAUCGAACAUAAAAUUUUGUUAGGAAUUGACCCGACAAACCAAAUAUUCCUAUCCCAUCGUCUUCAUUACUUUUAUUGCCCCGAAAUUGGUUAGCCCAUGAAUUUAUUAUGUUGAAGCCCCUCUUUAAUUGCAAAUUUGAGGUUGAUAAAAUCAUUAUUUAAUGUCUGAAUUUGAUAAUAUUUUUUUGUAUUGUUCAACUUUGACCUUUAACUUCCUUAUUACCACUUCUGUUUACCACCAAUUUUUGGUCGCAAACCAAAUGGACCGUUUUCUAGUACCAUUAUUUUCACACCAACUACUUUGGAAUGAGUCUCCUUCUCUUGCGUCCCUCUCAAUUCUCAUUUUCAAAUUUACUUUAGUGUAUUUUUUUUUAAUUUAAAAAAAAUUAUUUACUUUAAAUAAGACAAACAAAUCAAAUAAAAAAUUGACGAUUUGAUCAAUUUAAUCGCUAACUUUUUUUGAAAAACAAUUGGUUAAUAAUACUUUAUUCAUGCAGAGGUACUAAAAUUGUCUUUUUAUUAUACUGAAUUGAGAUGUGUUGUGGUCGUAGUUUAAUUAUUGAGUGUUAUCCAUCAAGGUAUUAGCUGAUAAAAGUAUCAUGGAGGCUCUAAUAUUGAGAGUCAAAUUGUAUUUAACUCCUUUUAUUAAAAGAGUAAGUUAAUCCAUGUACAUUAGAUAGAAGAGUAAAUUGAUCAUUUUUAUUAAAAUGAUUCAUCUUUUUUUGUUGUUAAAAACUAACGUGGUUGGCAAAAUAAUCAGGCAAUACCUUAUGUUGAUUACAUGGAUCAAUUUUUAAUAAUAAUGGAUGAAAUUUUUUAAUAAAAGAACUAGUUUACUCUUUAAUCGGACCUACAAAGACUAAUUUAUUUAUUUUUUUAAGUAGAAAAUAUAAAAUACAAUCUGACCAAGAAUACAAGAAGAUACUUUUACUGAUAUUAUUAGGUUGAAGAUGAUGCUUCCGUGUUGUAUUGACGAUAACGAUGAAGUUAAUCAAUACAUUGUAUUUGUCAAGCAAAAUUAAUAAUAUAAGAAAAGUAUUCCAAUUUGGUAGAUUUAAAAAAAAGGAACAUGGUCGACAUGAAUUUCUUCGGUGGAAGGAUUGACCCACCAUAGAUUGGGAACUGCCACUUGACUGCUACUAAUAUCUGCAUUUCCAUCUAUAUAUGUAUGUAUAUAUAUAUAUAUAUAUAUAUAUGCUGGAACCUUGUUAUUACAUAAAAAUACAGGACGACUUCAUUUUCUUCUUCAAUGGCAGUGUCAGAAAUCUCGCGAUGUACUUAUCAUGUAUUCUUGAGUUUUAGAGGUGAAGAUACGCGCAAAAGUUUCACGGAUCAUCUUUACACAGCUUUGGUGCACUUAGGAAUUCGAACAUUUAGAGAUGAUGAGGAAAUCGAGAGAGGGAAUAACAUAAAAGAUGAAAUUGAAAAAGCAAUACUACACCACUCCAAAAUUUCUAUCGUUGUUUUCUCAAAGAAUUAUGCUGCAUCCACAUGGUGUCUUAACGAACUUGUAAUGAUAUUGGAGCACAAGAAAUCCUCUAAACAUAUUGUGUUGCCAGUUUUCUAUGAUGUGGAUCCCAGUCAAGUCAAGAACCCGACGGGAAGUUAUGCAGAAGCAUUUACCCAACAUGAACAAAACUUCGAGUCCAUGGUACAAAGAUGGAGGAAUGCUUUAAAAGAAGUUGCGGAUAUAGGAGGCAUGGUUCUACAAGACAGGUACGUUAUACACAUAAUCAGGUUCCAUAUGGUUACUUCAAUCCUUUUCAUUAAGACUUGAUAGAGUAGAAAUAAAAUUAAUAGAAAAUAUUGUUAGGUAGCGUUUGGAAAUUAAAAUGGUUACUUCAAUCCAUUUUAAAGGGUUAAUUAUAAUUCAGAUUUUAAAUUAUUUCUCAAAUAUUAAAAUGUUUUAAUUGAUUUAUUAAAGUAUUAGUAUUGUAUCAACAAGGUCUUUCUAUCAAACAAAUCAUCACCUUAAGCAUUAAAUGUUAGCUCGAAUCUAAUGUGGGAUGUUUUUAGAACACAUAGAUCAAGUUUUAAAUACGUUUGCACCUAUCACAUGAACAACUUGGAUUUGACGAGUUGAAAACAAAAAAAAAAGAAACUCUUGAAUUUAAUGACACUAUUUUUGAUUUUCUAAGAUGUCAUUGUUGGUAAUGCAAAAGAAUAUUUUGAAUUGUGGAAAAUCCUCUAACCGUUGCAGAAAACAUUUUUAGAAUAUUUUCAGUUAGGAAAAUCCUUUGCUAUUUUUGGAAACUAAAACUAUUAUUUUACCAUUUUGCCCAUCAAAAAAUAGUAUAAAUAGGAGGCGGUUCUCCCACCUAACACAACAAGAGAAAAACAACUUCGCUAUGUUCUCUAAAUUCUAGUGUUCUGCAAAAUUACACGAGAUGGAAAUUUUGUCUAAGAGAUUAGGUUUUAAGCGGGACUGUUUGUGACCCCUUUAAUCUUUCUUGGGAAUUGAAUUUUUUUUUUCCGGGAAGAGUAAUGUCAAUCGUGUUCCACCUUCUUUAUUCGGGUGUAUGAAUAUUGGAGUAUUGUGUUGGGGGGUAACGUCCACUACACGAUUACAUCGGUCAAGGCGAAUUUAUCUCUACUGCAGUGGUUCUUCCACGACACAAUGAUUCUUAUUUUAUUUACAUUCAGUUUGGUCUCCUGUAACAAUUCUAUUUUGCAGUACUAUAUUUCCAACAAUCAUAUCCAAGUUAUUCGUGUAAUAGGUCUACACAUAUUCAAAAUGUUACAAUGAAUAAAAUAUAUAUAUAAAUUCAUGUAAAUAACAUGAAUUUAUUAAACUUUCACAAAGUGAAAGUUGAAAUUUUGAGUAUAGGUUGUUUCUCGAACGAAUUUCAUUAAUUUUUAUGUUGUUUUAUUUGAUUUGAUUUUAAAUGUAAUAAUUCUAUCGAAAUGUUGCAUUAGUUUCUUAUUUUUACUUUAACAUAUAAUCUCAUAAAAACAAUCAAAAUAUAUGCAAGAACAGAGAAAAAACAUUAGUAACAUUUACAUAAUUUCCAAGAUUUUACCAUUGAUCAGUUGUAUUUUUCAAAUUUGCAGGCAUGAAUCACAAUUCAUCCAAGAUAUUGUUAAAGAAGUUCAAAAUAAACUUAAUCUUAUUUCUUUGUAUGUCCCUCCUUAUUUAGUUGGAAUAGAUUCUCUCGUGACACAAAUUAAUCAAUUGUUAGAACAAGAUGGAGCAAAUAAAGUUGGCAUUGCAACUAUUUGUUGGCAUUGCAACUAUUUGUGGCAUUGGAGGCAUUAGGAAGACAACCAUUGCCAAAGUUGUUUACAAUCAAAACAUCCCGAGGUUUGAAGGUUAUAGUUUCCUUGCUGAUGUUAGAGAAACAAGUCAAGAUUGCAAUGGUUUAGUCCGUUUGCAAAGGCAACUUAUUUCAGAUAUCCUUAAAGGAAAAUCACAUAAAAUAUUCAAUAUAGAUAAUGGAAUUAACAAGAUCAAAGAAAUUGUAUGUUGUAGAAGAGUUCUUCUUGUUCUUGAUGAUGUUGAUGGAUUGGAAAAAAAUAAGAAAAUUUAAAUGGGAACUCAAAUUCCUUUUCAUCCGGGAAGUAAAAUCAUCAUAACUAGUAGAAACCGAUGCCUANNNNNNNNNNNNNNNNNNNNNNNNNNNNNNNNNNNNNNNNNNNNNNNNNNNNNNNNNNNNNNNNNNNNNNNNNNNNNNNNNNNNNNNNNNNNNNNNNNNNNNNNNNNNNNNNNNNNNNNNNNNNNNNNNNNNNNNNNNNNNNNNNNNNNNNNNNNNNNNNNNNNNNAUGCAAGAAGUUUAGUGAAACACUGUGGUGGGCUUCCGUUAGCUCUUCAAGUUUUGGGCUCUUCAUUAUCUAGCAAAAGUGUGAGUUCUUGGAAAAGUGCAUUGGAGAAAUUGGAAGAAAUCCCUGACAGCAAAAUUCAAGAGAUUCUAAGAAUAAGCUAUGAUUCUUUGGAAGACGAUCAUGACAAAAAUUUAUUCCUUGACGUAGUUUGUUUAUUCAUUGGGAAGGAUAGAGAUUACACGACUACAAUUCUAGAUGGUUGUGAUUACUAUACAACAAUUGGAAUUGAAAAUCUAGUAGGCAGGUCUCUCUUAAUCAUUAAUGAAAAAAACAAGCUAAUGAUGCACCAAAUGAUUAGAGAUAUGGGACGAGAAAUUAUUCGUCAAGAAUCUUCUGAUAUUGGGAAACGAAGCAGAUUGUGGCAUAAGAAGAUGUAAUAAGAGAAAAAACUGUAAGAACAUCAUUUUACUCAACUUCUUUCUUGUGUGCAUUUAAACUUUUUUUUUUCAAAUUUCCUUUUACUUUGUAAAAAAGUUUUUCUGAUGCAGGGUUCCAGAACAGUUAAGUGCCUCACAAUUGACCUAAAAGGAUUGCUAGAAGACAAGGCUACAAGGACAAAUACAACUCUACAUUUUCCAAAGCAUUUCAUAAGUCAGUUUCUCAUGGCGAAUGAUGUUGAUAUGGAAACUCAAGCAUUUGCAAAGAUGAAGAGACUUAAACUGCUUCAACUGGAUUAUGUAAGACUUAAAGGAGACUUCAAAGACUUUCCCAAAAGAUUAAGAUGGUUACGUUGGCAUGGGUUUUGUAUGCAAUCUUUUCCGGUGGAUUUCGAUAUCAAUGAACUAGUUGUUCUCGACAUGCGCAACAGUAAACUUAAACAAGUUUGGAAGGAUACAGAGGUAUGAUAUAUACUAAUUUUCCUUCUUUUUGUGUUUGUGAGAAACAAUAAUAUAUAAAUGAAGGGUUUUCUUUUUUUGCAGUGCCUCCCAAAUUUAAAGAUCCUUAAUCUCAACCAUUCACAUAGCCUUCUUAAAACCCCAAGCUUUUCAGGACUCCCUAGCCUUGAGAAGUUGAUGCUCAAAGAUUGCAUAAAUUUGGUGGAAGUUGAUCAAUCCAUUGGUGAGCUAAAGAUGCUUACUUUCUUGAACCUUAAAGAUUGCACAAGUCUUAGGAAACUUCCAAGGACAAUUGGUUCAUUAAUAUCACUUGCAGAGCUUAUUUUAUCUGGUUGUUCAAGACUUGAUGAUGUCCCCAGGGAGUUGCAUAAUAUGAAAUCAUUGAAGGUGCUUAAUUUAGAUGACACUUCCAUAUGUCAAACAAGAUUGGGAUUGCAUUGGCUCUUACCGAAAAGAAGUAAAGAAUUGGGUUUCUUGGGCGUCUCUACCGUGCUCUUUGGUAAAGUUAAACCUUGAAAGUUGCAAAUUAUCUGAUGAUGUUAUGCCCAAUGAUCUUUACAACUUAGCUUCAUUGAAAUCCUUAAAUUUAAGUAGAAACCCAAUUCGUUACCUUCCCGAAAGCAUAAAAAAACUUACAAAACUUGAUGAACUUCUACUGACUUCUUGCACUGAACUCCAAAAGAUUCCAAAGCUUCCAGUCUUGCCCAAUGUUUUUGAGUUCUUGACAGUAUCUCCAUUUAAAGGAUAUUGGGCAAUUCUUCCAUGCUUCUUUUCUUCCACACGAUGUGUUAUUUUUGGAUGUGAAAAAUUGACCGAGGUUCAAGAUAUAUUCAAAUUGAAACCAAUUGAAAACUUUGAAGAAGAAGAAAUUCGAAGAUUAUUCAACCUGGAUUCCAUUAGCAGAAAUCGACUGCAACUUUAUAGCUACCUAACAGACAGCAUAAUGCUUGCUACCCCACAGGUCCAACAGUUCUCCAACUUAAAUUUUAACUUUAUUUUUUUUCUCUUAUAUUACUUAAUGAACACAUUUUUAAUCAUCUAACAUGUUUUUUUUUUGGAUCAGGUCUUGCAGGAAUGUGGUAUAACAAGCACAUUUGUUAUAGGAAGUGAAGUUCCGAUUGUGUUUAAGCAUCGCACUAAUGAGCACCGAAUCUCUUUUUCUUUGCCAACACCAUCUCAUCCAGAUGAAAAGAUCCAUCGGUUCAGCUUAUGCAUUGUUUUCUCUCUAGCUCGUGAUCAAAUAUUGGAGUUUCUACCAAGUGUCCACAUUUUCAAUGAGACCAAAAGGAUCAUGCAGAGAUAUGGCUCAAGUUUCAUCGGAAUUCCUGAGACUAACGAUAACACAAUGUUGUGGUUGAUCCAUUGGCCAGUAACGGAUUGUGAGUUUGAAGGUGGUGACCUUGUGAGUUGCAUGGUAGUGCCUAUUCAUCUCAGCAUAAGAAAAUUUGGCGUUACUUAUGAAUCACAACACAACGUUAGAAAUAAAUAUGGCUUUUCACACUUAUCUACAGGUAUGACUAUGACUCCAAGUGAUUAUGUUUAUGGAAUAUUACCCCAUGCACUAUUAACACUUAUCUAAACUAAAGAUAUAUCCUUAUUGAAAUAAAAUUUUUUUUGACAAAGAAAAUAAUAAAUUAUAUGAAUAUUUAAUGUGGUUUCAAUGACAAGAUUAUAUAUUAGUGAAUACAUCCUAUUAUUUUUUUAAUGUUUCGUUUUAGAUGUAAAUAACAAAUGAUUAAGAAAUGAUAAAUGUUGCAAUUGGGAUUUAAUUAAAAUAAUUUAAUUGUUUGAAAAAUGAUUAAUCCUAUUGUUAGUUUACAAGUCUUAUAAUACAUUUUAGUGAUAUAAUAUUCGUAUUUUGAUUUUUUUCAUAUAAUAUUAAGAGAAAGGGAUGGGGUCACACGGUUUGAAUCUGUAUCAAAUAGAUGUUGGACAAAAGCUUGAACCAGCAACCUAUUCAAGUCAAGACUACUAUUUUAAUAUUCUAAUAUGCAUAUCAUGUUGAUGAUCACUAGAAUUGAUAAAUAACACAUUAUUGUACAUAUUUUAGGAGAUGAAGUUGCCACAAGAAAUAUGAUGAUGGAUCUAACUAAAGACUUACCCAGUUUGGAAUCUUAUGGAAAUGUUAAAGUGCAACUUUGCAGUUAUAUAGAAGAAUCAAAAGUGGUUGCUUCCCCACAGGUUCCCUUUACAAGUUUCAACUUUUAAAAAAUAUUUAUAUACUAUUUUUUAAAAUCUUAUUCAAUAACCCAAUGUUACAGGUAUUAUACGAUUACGGCAUAAUUACAAUAGUUGAUCCAUUGCCAUUUGAUUACAAUGGCCACUAUUUUGGCCAUCAAGCUGGCAAGACUGAGGUUUCAAUAUCAGUGCCCCCAAACUCUAGUCGAAAGAUAAGUUGCUUCUUAAAUUCGAUUAUCAUUUUUUCUGCCAAGAAUGAUAAAACAUAUAGAUUUUUACCAUGCCUUGAAAUUGUGAACGAGACCAAAGGUACAAAGUGGACCUACUCCAAACAUUUCAUGGGAAUUCCUGAAAUUAAGAAUACCUUAUACUGGACGACUUGUUGGAACUUUAGGGGUGAUGAACUAGAAGCUGGUGAUUGUAUUAGUCUGCGGGUUCUUUCAAAUUUAUCUGUACUAGAAUUUGGGAUUGACCUUGUAUAUGAUUAUGAGCUAGAUGGUAACCCAAAUUUUUUCAGUCAGUUACCAUGGAUGAGUAAAUGUUUUACGUAUCUUUUCGGGACUUUUGUUUCUCUGUUGUCACAAUCCCAAAAAAACUUGUAUAGGUUGCAAAGUUUAGUCAAAUGCUGAUUAUUGUAGGAAUUGAAAUGGAGCAAAUGAAUAUUUUGGUUUAGUCAUUGCCGCCUUGGCUUGGCUGAUUUCAUCUUAUAUUUAAUCUCUAAUUCUUAUGUAUGCUAUCGAUAUUGAUUUUUGCUCAAGUUCUUCAAUGAAGCACCUUGUUCUUGGUAAUUCAAUUAACUUGUGCUUUUAACCAGAUGUCGUGGAGUUAUUUUUAACUAUUAUUAGGCUAAAUCUUUAGAGAAAAUGGUGAUUUCUAUUUAUGUUUCUAAUAUUCACGCCUGUUUUCAUUGGAAGGGACUCUGGAAAAUCUCUAAGUACCAUGGCAAAGUGUUGGGUGUUUAUUCCUAACAAUAGGAAUUGAAAAGAUCUAUCUUUUGGUUUUGUAAGAUUUGCAAGAAUUAUGGAUGCUAAGAGGGCGAUUAGUAGACUUAAUUGAUUUUGUAUAUAUGGAAGUAAAGUGAAUGUGAACUUAGCUCGCUUUGAGGGAAGAGUGGUGUACUAAAAGAAAGUUGAAAAUGGUAAGCUAGGAGGUGAUGAUCGUAGAGAUGAAUUAGGAGUAGAAAACGAGAAAAAGCAUUCUUGGGAGAUGAUUUGAUUACUAUUUGUGGAACACUAGUUCCUAUAACUACAUAUGCUUGUUCAUAAUAGUUAUCUUAAAAUAUCGAACAAAUAUCAAUUGGAUGUUCUGGUUUAAAUAUAUAAUUUCAAGAGAAUGUAUUCGUACCUCAUUCUACCCAAGAUUUAUGUCAAAUCCAAACUGUUGUGAGUUGUUAGCCAUGAUGAAAAUCAAUUCUGUAACAGUUUAAUAGGGUGGAGUUAGAAAAUUUUUUGAAGGGAGGCCGAAAUAAAAUUAUAUAUUUUUAUAACAAUAAAAGUAAAAUUUUACUAUUUUAAUAGUCUACAUCUUUAUAAUUUUUAAAAAAUUAAAUUAAAAAUUUUUCGUUUUCACUCCAACUGUUUCACUCAACAUAAUAAAUUCAUUUAAAGUAGUGAAGACGAUGGGAUAAGCUAAUGUUGAUCGUAUGGGAUGUGAAAAAGCAAGUAAGAGCAGUAGACUAUGAAAACUCGUAAUAUAUUUAUAAACAUUUCUUACGUUACAUUUCAACCACCUCUUUAAUUCCACCAGAAUCCGGUACUACUCGCUCUUGAGUGUAAUUAUUCGAAUAGGGAUCAUAUCUCUUUUAUAGUGGAAUACUACUUUGUCUUAUUACAUGGGCUUGUUCAUAAGAGUUCUCUUAGAAUAUCGAACAAAUAUCAGUUGGGUAUUCUGGUUUAAAUAUUUAAUUUUCAAGAGAAUAUAUUCUUACUUCACUCUGUCCUCUCGAAGAUUCAUGUCAAAUCCAAACUGACGUGACGUGAGUUGAUAGUCAUGAUAGAAAUCAAUUCUCUAGCAUUUCAACGAGUUUUGCUCGUAAGUAAAAGUCUUUCGUAAAAAUAUUAGAUAAGUAAUUGGUAAAAAAUUUAAUUCAAAAGGCAACUAGUAAAGAGCUCUUUAAUAUUUUUCAACAUUCAUAAAGGGUUUUUAUGUACUUUUAUUGAAUGGAAUAGAUUUUUUUUUUCCUAAUAGAGGAACCACGAGAAGCAAAAUCUUUUCCAAAGAAUAUUCUUAGUUGAUCUAUUCAAAAUGUACUUGGCAACCAGUUCUUGCAAAGAAAAUCAUAAUAAUUUUUCCUGUUUGAAAUCCUAAAAAUCUUUUAAAUCAACCCAAUCAUCUCAUUCAAAUACUUUAUUAAUUUUACACAAAUUAUUCUUCGCAUCAACAAAUAUUAUUUAUCACCCACUUUCAUGCAAAAUUAUUUUUACUAUGCAAGGAAUUGUCUCCAUGAAUUACUGUCAUCUUUUAGUUUAAGAUGAGUAAAUUUCAACCAGUAAUAACUUUCUUGAUGAACACCAUAUCUAUUUUGAUGAUAUGACAUGCUUUCUUUUGGUUCAAGAAAGGCAAUCAAUGACUUGAAAUUGAACCAUGAUUUUAAAGGACUUGGGUUUAUAUAAGUGGUAAUUCAAUUUCCUUUUCCUUGUUGGAAAAGGAAUUCCAUUUUGACUUUAACAGUGAUUUUUAAGUUGUUGUUUUCUUAUUGUUAAUUAUUUAAAAAAUAAUCGCAUUUUAACUUGUAAACUUAAAUCUUAAACUAUUAUCAUUAUGUUUACUUUCUGAUGAUAAUUAACAAAAAUAUUUGGUUUUAAAAUUUUAAUACAAUCAAUGAAACGCAAUUCACAUAUAUGAAUAAUGAUGAAAUUUGACGUGAUUAAAAAAAUAUUAAAUUUUGUUAUAUUUUUAAUAAUGAAUAUAGGUAAAAUGGUAAUAAACCGGCAUUUUAAUGUCAUUUAAAACGUGUCAAAUAAAUAUUAGAUUAGAUAUUCAAUAUUAAUAAUCAAUAUAUAUUAAUUGAAUUAGACAUUAUAAUUAGUCAUGACUGUCGAAAUUUAAAAUUGUAAAAAUUAAUAUAUAUUGAAUUAAAUGACUACUAUACAUAAUCUUAUUCAAAUAAUAAUAAUGAAAAAAAGAGUGUUUAAGACAAUUUCGUUGUAUUUGUUUGUUCUAUGAUCCAACUAUGGUAGGUAAGCGUGAUGUAGGCUCAUCGUACUCCCAUCCAGUGGCUUUAAUUUGCUCUAAUGGAAUCGAAAAUGAAUCAAUCCUUUUAACUUCUUCUUCUUCCUCUUCAUCAUCGGAAAUCGACUUUAUUUCUAAAAAAAGUUUUGGGUCGAUUUUGGAGUUCCAAUCAAUAUCAUCGAUAUACAUAUCAGCUGCAUUACUUGGCAACUUAUUUGUGAAAGGAAAACGAUGAUAAUACUCCCAGAAUCUCUGUUUUGCUUCUUGGAAAGCUUUUAAACCAGCUGAAUCAUCCCAUUCGAAUACUUUAUCUAUUUUGAACAAAUUAUUCUUUGAUUCAACAAAUCUUUUCCAUGGCAUUGCACCCACUUUUAUGCAUAAAUUUUUCUCCCAUGAGGUAAUGGUUCCCAUGAAUUAUAGUUAUCAUUCAGUUUGAGACGAGUAAAUUUCGGACUGUAGUACCUUUCUGGGCGAUUAUGAUAUCUUCUUUGAUAGUAUGGCAUGAUUUCUUAUAAUCCAAACAAAUAAAUGAAUUGAAAUCGCUAAUGAUUUGAAUUUACAGUGAGGAGACCUGUUGGGUUUAUAUAAUCUUAUUAGAGUCGGUGGUGACUCAAUCCAUUUCCUUGUUGGAAAAGGAAUUCUAAUUUCAGUUUGACUAUGAUUUCUAUUUUCUAAAUUUUUGUAUAAUAAAAUUUUUAAAAAAUAACUAUAUCUGUAUUGAUUCGUUUCCCUCUGAUUGAUACGUUACAUCCCUAGCUUCUCUAGAAUCCUCAUUAACUAUCUGAUCUCUUCACCCAUUGGUGUUCCCCCAAGAGUGUUUUUUCUCGUUUUCUCCUCCUAAUUCAUCUCCACGAUCAUCACCUCCUAGCUUACCGUUUUCAACUUUCUUCCAGUACACCACUUUUCCCUUAAAGCGAGCUAAGUUCACAUUUACUUUACUUCCAUAUAUACAGAAUCCAUUAAGUUUACUAAUUGGCCACUUAUCAUCCACAAUGCUUGCAAAUCUUACUAAAACAAAACGUAUGUAGACCUUUUCGAUGCCUUUUGUUAGGAAUAAACGCGUCCAACACUUUGCCAUGGAACUCAGAGAUUUUCCAUGGUCCCUUCCAAUGAAAACAAGAAGGAAGAUUAGAAACAUAAACUGAAAUCACCAUUUUCUCUAAGGAUUUAGCCUAGUAAUAGUUAACAAUAACUCCACGGCAUCUGAUUAAAAGCACAAGUUAAUUGAAUUACCAAGAACAAUGUUCUUCAAUACUAUUCCAAAUUCAAUUUUGGAACUUCUGUUAUCAUAGCUUUCAACUAUUUGAAACUCUGUUGGCAUUAUUCAAUCACACAUAACUAACAUUUUCUGUAGCAACUUCGUCAUGGUAGAGCUAUCAUCGACAAGCCUGAACAAAUCACCUGUAGUAUACAAUAAAUCCUAGAGAACUACACACUUCUAUAUUAUUUUUCAGAGAUUCCCUAAUUCACAUUUAUCAGGAGUUUAUUCGAAAUAACUCAAAUAUCUUCUGCUGUUAAUAAAAGGUUUAGAAAACUUAUUUCUUGAAAUUAAAAUUCACAUUUAUUGAUUUUCACAAAUAAUUAUUUCUCUCGUAAUAUCUGUACGUAACACUGUUUUUCCAAUACUAAUCGUGUUCAAAUUUUUUCUUCACAUGAAUUGAGUAUCUUUAAUUAUAUAGCAACAACUCUGAUAAGAUACAACUAGAAACUUUUUGUCUAUUAAAUAUAUAAAGUGACUAUGCAAUUGAUAAUCAUAUACAAUAAUCAACAUUUGUCUAAACUUUGCAACCUAUACAAGUCUUUUUGGGAUUUCGACGAAACAUAAACAAAAAUCCCGAGAAGAUACUUAAAACAUUUACUCAUCCAUGGCAACUGACUGAAAAAAUUUGGGUUGUCUUCUAGCUCAUAAUCAUAUACAAGGUUAAUACCAAAUUCUAGCACAGAUAAAUCUGAAAGAACCCGAAGACUAAUAUGAUCACCAGCUUCUAAUUCAUCACUUCUAAAGUUCCAACAAGUCGUCCAGUAUAAGGUAUUCUUAGUUUCAGGAAUUCCCAUGAAAUGUUUGGAGUAGGUCCACUUUGUACCUUUGGUCUCGUUCACAAUUUCAAGGCAUGGUAAAAAUCCAUAUGUUUUAUCAUUCUUGGCAGAAAAAAUGAUAAUCGAAUUUAAGAAGCAACUUAUCUUUCGACUAGAGUUUGGGGGCACUGAUAUUGAAACCUCAGUCUUGCCAGCUUGAUGGCCACAGUAAUGACCAUGGUAAUCAAAUGGCAAUGGAUCAAAUGUUGUAAUUAUACUGUAAUCAUAUAAUACCUGUAGCAUUGGGUUAGAGAAUGAGUUAUUAAAAAGUAUAUAGUAUAUAAAUAAUUUUAAAAACUUGGAACUUGUAAAGGGAACCUGUGGGGAAGCAAUCACUUUAGAUUCUUCUAUAUAACUGCAAAGUUGCACUUUAACAUUUCCAUAAGAUUCCAAACUGGGCAAGUGUCUAGUUAGGUCCAUCUUGAUAUUUCUUGUGGAAACUUCAUCUCCUAAAAUAUGUACAAUAAUGUGUUAUUUAUCAAUUUUAGUGAUCAUCAACAUAAUUUACUUAUUAAAAAAAUAAUAGUAUUGACUUGAAUGGAGUGAUAAUUAUCAAACACCCAUUUGACAAGAAUUCAAAUCGUGACCCAUCCCCAAUACUCAAUAUUGUAUGAAAAAAAGAUAUCAAAAUAGUAAUGUUAUUAUCACUAAAAUAUAUUAUAAGACUUGUAAGAAAUAAUCAAUUAUACACAUUAAAUAACUUUAAAACUAUUAAAUAAGUUAAUCAAAACACCACUUUUAUAAUUUUAUCCAUUAUUUUAGUUUCCACUUCUAUUAGCUAUUGGAUUAAUCAUUUAUCAAACAAUUAAAUUAUUUUCAUUAGACCCCAAUUGCAGCAUAACUUUAUAAUUAUCAUUUUAUUAUUAAGCUAAAUUUCUCUCAUAAUCUAUUAAAUUGUCACAUUUCUUGAUAAUAUUUUUUAUUGUAUUAGAAAGUCUUUUAGAGAAACAUUCAUCAUUUCUUGAACAUUUGUUAGUCACAUAUAAAAUAAAUAUAAUAGGACGUAUUUACUAAAAUAUAAUUAUUUGAAGUCUACUCAUACCUGUAGAUAAGUGCGAAAAGCCAUAUUCAUAUCUAAUGUUGUGUUCUGAUUCAUAAGUAACGCCAAAUUUUCUUAUGCUGAGAUGAAUAGGCACUACCGCGCAACUCACAAGGUCACCAGCUUCAAACUGACAGUCCGUUACUGGCCAAUGAAUCAACCACAACAUUGUGUUAUCGUUAGUCUCAGGAAUUCCAAUGAAACUUGAGCGAUAUCUCUGCAUGAUCCUUUUGGUCUCAUUGAAAAUGUGGACACUUGGUAUAAGCUCCAACAUUUGAUCACUAGCUAAAGAGAAAACAAUGCAUAAGCUGAACCGAUGGAUCUUUUCAUCUGGAUGAGAUGGUGUUGGCAAAAAAAAAGAGAUUCGAUGCUCGGUAGUGCCAUGCUUAAACCCAAUCGGAACUUCACUUCCUACAACAAAUGUGCUUGUUAUACCACAUUCUUGCAAGACCUGAUCCAAAAAGAACUAGUUAGAUGAUUAAGUAGUAUAAGAGAAAAAAUAGAUUUAAAAUUUAACUUGGAGAACUAUUGGACCUGUGGGGUAGCUAGCAUUAUGCUGUCUGUUAGGUAGCUAUAAAGUUGCAGUCGAUUUCUGUUAAUGGAAUCCACUUUGAAUAAUCUUCUAAUCUCUUCUGCUUCAAAGUUUUCAAUUGGUUCCAACUUGAAUAGAUCUUCAACCUCAGUCAACUUUUCACAUCCAAAAAUAAUACAUCGUGUGGAAGAAAAGAAGCAUGGAAUAAUUACCGUAUAUCCAUGAAAUGAAGAAUUGUCUCCAAAAAUAAACUUGCACUCAAAAACAUUGAGCAAGACCGGAAGCUUUGGAAUCAUUUGGAGUUCAGUGCAAGAAGUCAAUAGAAGUUCUUCAAGUUUUGUAAGGUUUUUUAAGCUCUCGGGUAGGUAAUGAAUUGGGUUUCUACUUAAAUUUAAGGAUUUCAAGGAAGCCAAGUUACAAAGAUCAUUGGGCAUGACAUCAUUAGAUAAUUUGCAACUUUCAAGGCUUAACUUUACCAAAGAGUCCGGUAGAGAUGCCCAAGAGAAACCCAAUCCUUUGCUUCUUUUCAGUAAGAGCCAAUGCAACCCCAAUCUUGAUUGAUAUAUGGCAGUUUCAUCUAAAUUAAGCACCUUCAAUGAUUCCAUAUUAUGCAACUCCCUAGGAACAUCAUCAAGUCUUGAACAACCAGAUAAGAUAAGCUCUUCAAGUGAUAUUAAUGAACCAAUUGUCCUUGGAAGUUUCCUAAGACUUGUGCAAUCUUUAAGGUUCAAGAAAGUAAGCAUCUUUAACUCACCAAUGGAUUGAUCAAUUUCCACCAAAUUUAUGCAAUAUUUGAGCAUCAACUUCUCAAGGCUAGGGAGUCCUGAAAAGCUUGGGGUUUUAAGAAGGCUAUGUGAAUGGUUGAGAUUAAGGAUCUUUAAAUUUGGGAGGCACUGCAAAAAAAGAAAGCCCUUCAUUAAUUAUAUAUUAUUGUUUCACACACACACAAAAAGGAGUAUUAGUAUAUAUCAUACCUCUGUAUCCUUCCAAACUUGUUUAAGUUUACUGUUGCGCAUGUCGAGAACAACUAGUUCAUUGAUAUCAAAAUCCACCGGAAAAGAUUGCAUCCAAAACCCAUGCCAACGUAACCAUCUUAAUCUUUUGGGAAAGUCUUUGAAGUCUCCUUAAGUCUUACAUAAUCCAGUUGAAGCAGUUUAAGUCUCUUCAUCUUUGCAAAUGCUUGAGUUUCCAUAUCAACAUCAUUUGCCAUCAGAAACUGACUUUUGGAAUGCUUUGGAAAAUGUAGAGUUGUAUUUGUCCUUUUAGCCUUGUCUUCUAGCAAUCUUUUUAGGUCAAGUGUGAGGCACUUAACUGUUCUGGAACCCUGCAUCAGAAAAACUUUUUUAAAAAAUAAAAAGAAAUUUGAUAAAAAAAAAGUAGAUUACAUGCACACAAGAAAAAAGUUGAGUAAAAUGAUGUUUCUUACAAUUUUUUCUCUUAUUACAUCAAAGGCGUUCUUAUGCCACAAUCUGCUUCGUUUCCCAAUAUUAGAAGAUUCUUGACGAAUAAUUUCUCGUCCCAUAUCUCUAAUCAUUUGGUGCAUCAUUAGCUUGUUUUUUUCAUUAAUGAUUAAGAGAGACCUGCCUACUAGAUUUUCAAUUCCAAUUGUUGUAUAGAAAUCACAACCAUCUAGAAUUGUAGUCGUGUAAUCUCUAUCCUUCCCAAUGAAUAAACAAACUAUGUCGAGGAAUAAAUUUUUAUCAUGAUCGUCUUCCAAAGAAUCAUAGCUUAUUCUUAGAAUCUCUUGAAUUUUGCUGUCAGGGAUUUCUUCCAAUUUCUCCAAUGCACUUUUCCAAGAACUCACACUUUUGCUAGAUAAUGAAGAGCCCAAAACUUGAAGAGCUAACGGAAGCCCACCACAGUGUUUCACUAAACUUCUUGCAUAUGCCAUUAAACUUUCAGGCACAGAGUUAUGACCAAAAGCAUACCAAUUAAAAAGUUGCAGCGAUUCACUUGAUGCUAAUUCUUUUACUUCAAAUAGCUUGCUUAAGCCUCCACAACUAGUUGAUGCUUCCAACUCAAACAUUUGGCUUAUAAAAUGUGCAUUCAAUAGGCAUCGGUUUCUACUAGUUAUGAUGAUUUUACUUCCCAAAUGAAAAGGUAUUUGAGUUCCCAUUAAUUUUCUUAUUUUUUCCAAUUCAUCAACAUCAUCAAGAACAAGAAGAACUCUUCUACAACAUACAAUUUCUUUGAUCUUGUUAAUUCCAUUAUCUAUAUUGUAUAUUUUAUAGUGUAUUUCCUUUAAGGAUAUCUGAAAUAAGUUGCCUUUGCAAACGGACUAAACCAUUGCAAUCUGGACUUGUUUCUCUAACAUCAGCAAGGAAACUAUAACCUUCAAACCUCGGGAUGUUUUGAUUGUAAACAACUUUGGCAAUGGUUGUCUUCCCAAUGCCGCCAAUGCCACAAAUAGUUGCAAUGCCAACUUUAUUUGCUCCAUCUUGUUCUAACCAUUGAUUAAUUUGUGUCACGAGAGAAUCUAUUCCAACUAAAUAAGGAGGGACAUACAAAGAAAUAAGAUGAAGUUUAUUUUGAACUUCUUUAACAAUAUCUUGAAUGAAUUGUGAUUCAUGCCUGCAAAUUUAAAAAAUACAACUCAAUGGUAAAAUUUUAGAAAUUAAGUAAAAGUUACUAAUGCAUUUUCUCUUUUCUUGCAUAUAUUUUGAUUGUUUUUAUGAGAUUAUAUGUUCAAAUAAAAAUAAGAAACUAAUGCAACAUUUCAACAUAUAUGAUAGAAUUAUUGCAUUCAAAAUCAAAUCAAAUCAAAUAAAGCAACAUAAAAAUUAAUGAAAUUCAUUUGAGAAACAACCUAUACUCUAAAUUUCAACUUUCUCUUUGUGAAAGUUUAAUAACAUGAAUUUAUAUAUUUAUUUUUUAUUCAUUGUAAUAUUUUGAAUAUGUGUAGACCCAUUACACGAAUAACUUAGAUAUAAUUGUUGCAAAUAUACUACUGCAAAAUAGAAUUGUUACAAGAGACCAAACUGAAUGUCAAUAAAAUAAGAAUCAUUGUGUCGUGAAAGAAUCACUGCAUUAGAGGCAAAUUCGCCUUGAUCGGUGUAAUCGUAUAGUGGACGUUACCCCCCAACAAAAUACUCCAAUAUUCGUACACCCGAAGGUGGAACAUGAUUAACAUUACUUUUCCCAAAAAAAAAGUUCAAUUCCCAAGAAAGAUUAAGGAGGUCACAAACAGUCUCGCUUAAAACCUAAUCUCUUAGACAAAAUUUCCCUCUCGUGUAAUUUUGCAGAACACUAGAAUUUAGAGAACAUAGAGAAGUUGUUUUUCUCUUGUUGUGUUAGGUGGGAGAAUGACCUCCUAUUUAUACUGUUUUUUGAUGGGCAAAAUGGUAAAAUAAUAGUUUUAAUUUCCAAAAAUAGUAAAUGAUUUUCCUAACUGAAAAUAUUCUAAAAAUAUUUUCUGCAACGAUUUUCUGCAAUUCAAAAUAUUCUUUUGCAUUAUCAACAAUGACAUCUUAGAAAACCACAAAUAGUGUCAUUAAAUUCAAGAGGCUAUUUCUUUUUGUUUUCAACUCGUCAAAUCCAAGUUGUUCAUGUGAUUUAAAAACAUCCCACAUUAGAUUCGAGCUAAUAUUUAAUGCUUAAGCUGAUGACUUGUUUGAUAGAAAGACCAUAUUCAUACAAUACUAAUAUUUUAAUGACUCAAUUAAAACAUGUUAAUGUUUCUGAGUUAUAAUUAACCCUUUAAAAUGGAUUGAUGUAACCAUUUUAAUUUCCAAACGCUACCUAACAAUAUUUUCUAUUAAUUUUAUUUCUACUCUAUCAAGUCUUAAUGAAAAGGAUUGAAGUAACCAUAUGGAAUUGGAUUAUGUGUAUAACGUACCUGUCUUGCAGAACCAUGCCUCCUAUAUCCGCAACUUCUUUUAAAGCAUUUCUCCAUCUUUGUACCAUGUUGGUUUCGGACUCGAAGUUUUGUUCAUGUUGGGUAAAUGCUUCUGCAUAACUUCCCGUCUGAUUCUUGACUUGACUCGGAUCCACAUCAUAGAAAACUGGCAACACACUAUGUUUAGAGGAUUUCUUGUGCUCCAAUAUCAUUACAAGUUCGUUAAGACACCAUGUGGAUGCAGCAUAAUUCUUUGAGAAAACAACGAUAGAAAUUUUGGAGUGAUGUAGUAUUGCUUUUUCAAUUUCAUCUUUUAUGUUAUUCCCUCUCUCGAUUUCCUCAUCAUCUCUAAAUGUUUGAAUUCCUAAGUGCACCAAAGCUGUGUAAAGAUGAUCCGUGAAACUUUUGCGCGUAUCUUCACCUCUAAAACUCAAGAAUACAUGAUAACUACAUCGCGAGAUUUCUGACAUUGCCAUUGAAGAAGAAAAUGAAGCCGUCCUGUANNNNNNNNNNNNNNNNNNNNNNNNNNNNNNNNNNNNNNNNNNNNNNNNNNNNNNNNNNNNNNNNNNNNNNNNNNNNNNNNNNNNNNNNNNNNNNNNNNNNCAAAGCAGAUAUUAUUAGCAGUCAAGUGGCAGUUCCCAAUCCAUGGUGGGUCAAUCCUUCCACCAGUUCAUACAACUGCCCGAAGAAAUUCAUGUCGGCCGUGUUGUUUUUUUCCAAAUCUACCAACUUGGGUUACGUAUUCUAUAUUAUUAAUUUUGCUUGACAAAUACAAUCUAUUGAUUAACUUGAUGGUUAUAGCUAACACAACACGUAAUAUAGACAUCAUCUUCAGGCUAAUAUUAGUAAAAAUACUAUGAAGGUUGUUGUAUUUUAAGUCAUACUAUAUUUUGUUUCCUCUACUUAAAAAAUAAUAAAUUAGUUAUUGUAUAUUAGAUUAGAAAGUAAACUAGUUCUUUUGUUAAAAAAUUUAUCCAUUGUUAUUGUUAAAAAUUAGUCCAUGUAAUAAACAUGAGGUACAUGUGACACGUCACAUGCAACUAUCUAAUUAUUUCGUCAUUCACGUUAGUUUUUAACAACAAAAAUGGAUGAAACUUUUAAUAAAAAUGAUAAAUUUAUUCUUUUAUCUAUGUAUAUGGACUAAUUUGCUUGUUUUUAAAUAAAAUGGGUUAAAUACAAUUUGACUCUCAAUAGAAUGAUCUCCAUGAUACUUUUACCGGCUAAUACCUUGGUGGAUACACUCAAUAAUUAAACCACAACCACAAUAUAUCACAUAGACAUCACAUUAAACAUUCAAGUUCAGUAUAGUAAAGAAACAAUUUUAGUAUCUAUGCAUGAAUGAAGAAUUAAUUGUUUUAGAAAAAGAAUUGGUGAUUAAAUUGAUCAGGUCGUCAAUUUUUUAUUUGAUUUAUUCGUGUUAUCUAAAGUAAAUAAAUUUUUAAAAAUUAAAAAAUAAUAAAAAUUCACGUAUAUUGCACGUUAAAGUAAAUUGAAAAUGAGAAUUGAGAGGGACAUAAGAGAAGGAGAAUAAUUCCGAAGUCAUGCUUAAGGAAAUUAGUGGCACUAGAAAACGCGUUUCAAUCGCUUUUCAUUUCGGAGUCAUGCUUACGGUCCAUUUGGUGCUCACCAUUUUUAUUAAAAAUAUUAUCUGAAUAGAGUUUUUCAACAGAGGUAGUAGAAAGGAAGGAAAACGUCAAAGUUGUACACUUUAAAAAAAUUAUAUUAUCAGACCUUAAACAAUGAUUUGUCGGCCUUAAAUUAGCAAUUAAAGAGGAUGGGAUAAGGGUAAGGUUGAGUAAUUGAUUCAAAAUUUCAUGCUGAGGGCAACUAGCACAAAAUUGUUUAAAUAUUUUCCAGUACUCAUUAAGGAUCUUCAUAUCCUUUUUGUGGUAUGGCAUAGAUUUCUUUCCUAAUUGAAGCACAAAGUGAAGAAAAAGAAAAUUCAACGAAUAUUCUUACCAUAUCUAUUUUAAAAUUUUAAUAUAAUUAAUGAAAAACAAUUCACAUAUAUGAAUCAUCAAAUUUGAGGUGCUUAGAGAAUCCCAUGUGAUGGCCUGAUGAUUAAGGUUGUUCAAAAUACAUGAAUGAUAAAAUUUAACGUGAUUAAAUAAAUAUUGAAUUUUGUUAUAUUUUUAAUAAUAAAUAUAGGUAAAAUGGUAAUAAAUUGGUAUUUUAAUGCCAUUAAAAACGUGUCAGAUAAAUAUUAGAUUAGAUAUUCAAUAUUAAUAAUCAAUAUAUAUUAAUUGAAUUAUACAUUAUAAUUAAGGAUGAGUGUCGAAAUUCAAAAUUGUAAAUAUUAAUAUAUAUUGAAUUAAAUUACUACCAUACAUAAUCUUAUUCAAAUAAUAAUAAUGAAAAAAAUGAGUGUUUAAGACAAUUUCGUUGUAUUUGUUUGUUCUAUGAUCCAACUAUAGUAGGUAAGCGUGGUGUAGGUUCAUCGUACUCCCAUCCAAUGGCUUUAAUUUGCUCUAAUGGAAUCGAAAAUGAAUCAAUCCUUUUAACUUCUUCUUCCUCUUCAUCAUCGAAAAUUGACUUUAUUUCCAAAAAAAAGUUUUGGAUCAAUUUUGGAGUUCCAAUCAAUAUCAUCUAUAUACAUAUCUGUUGCAUUACUUGGCAACUUAUUUGUGCAACGAAAACGAUGAUAACAUUCCCAGAAUCUAUGUUUGGCUUUCUAAAAAGCUUUUAAACCAGCUGAAUCAUCCCAUCAGAAUACUUUAUCGGUUUUCAACAAAUUAUUCUUUGAUUCAACAAAUCUUUUCCAUGGUAUUGCACCCACUUUUAUGCAGAAUUUUUUCUCCCAUGCUGGUAAUGGUUCCCAUGAAUUAUUGUUAUCAUUCGGUUUGGGACGAGUAAAUUUCUUUUUUUUAGUAACUUUGUUGGCGAUUAUGAUAUCUUCUUUGAUAGUAUGACACGAUUUCUUGUAAUCCAAACAAAUAAAGGAAUUGAAAUCGCUAAUGAUAUGGAUUUACAGCGAGGGGACUUGUUGGGUUUAUAUAUAAGAUUAUUAGAGUUGGUGGUGACUCAAUCCUUUUCCAACAAUUCUAAUUUCAGUUUGAUUAUUGAUGGGUGUCGAAUCCACCAAUAUAAACCUACACCUAAUUUUGCAAAUUUAAACAGUAUAAGGAGUAGGGUCGAUCCCUCAGAGACUGGGUUUACUGCAAAUUGUUGCUCUCUUGACCAGAUUUAUGUCGGGGCAGUUGUCGUGCCCAAGAAAUUUGGGGGAAGGAUAAAAUCGAAAACCUGGAACCUGAAAUAAAUAAAUAAAUAAAAUGAGUAAAAAGUAAAAGCUGCAAAUAAAUAAUAAAAGGCAGUUAAAUAAAUCUGAAGAAAAAUUAAUUAAAAUAAGCUCAGCUUUAGGCACGGAUUUUUCCUCGUCUUUGAACCAAUCCUCGAAAUUAGAUGAACUCCUCUUUUCCAAUAAGCUAGUUAUAGCUACCAAGGACGCCUCGGACACCAACUCUUCCUUGUGUAAAUUAGUUAUGGAACGUCCAAUAACUAACCCUUACCAAUCGAACAACCACGAAACGUUCGUGAUUUAGAACUUCUGCAGCUUUGCGUUCUAGAAGAGCCUAGCUCGAACCAAUGCCCUCAACCGCGUGGGNNNNNNNNNNNNNNNNNNNNNNNNNNNNNNNNNNNNNNNNNNNNNNNNNNNNNNNNNNNNNNNNNNNNNNNNNNNNNNNNNNNNNNNNNNNNNNNNNNNNNNNNNNNNNNNNNNNNNNNNNNNNNNNNNNNNNNNNNNNNNNNNNNNNNNNNNNNNNNNNNNGAUCUGACUUUGUGAGUUGACAAAAUCAUACUCUUAAUCCGAAGAAAUAAUAAGUACUGGAAUUUAGGGUGUGUAACUCACGGGUUUUGACGAGGCUAAUUCCGGCCUAAAGCUGAAAUGGAUACUUAAUAAAAAAAACUUGGUAAUAAAAAACUUGAUUAAUAACUUGAUUCAAGACUUGAUGAUAAAAUGAACAAAGUAGUCCACUAUUUAUACUAGUGGCUUUGCUAAAUUAAGAGCCAACUAGUAUAGAAAAUCAAGGAAUAAAAUAUUAAAAAUCCCUACAUAAUCUCCCACUAAGUCAACAAAAAUUUCAGCUAAUUAAUCUUGGAAAAAUUCUACUUUGGUCCUCCUUCUUUGCUUCUUUCUUCAAUCUAGCCCAAUUGUCUCAUUUUUCUUCUAUUUAGCCCCAAAUUGCACUCCUACACAAAAUUCAACAAAAACAUGGAAAAAUUAGUGUUGCACUCUCAUAAAUUAACCAAUUUAAUUACAUAAAAUAUGUAACUUUAGCAUUUAAACAAAUCCCCCUACUUAGCUUAUGCUAGUCCUCGAGCAUUUUGUAUGUAUCUACAAAAAGAAAAAAAAUUUCUCCAAAAUAGGGCUUGACCACCAUGAUUUGCACAAUUCAACAAUUUAAUCCUAGCACAUUAACAUCUCAAAUAACCUAGCCUAAGAAGUAAGUAAAUAUAUUUCAGAAUUUAUUAGAGCUUGAUAGACCUACCCCUAAUUUAUUUUUAUUUAUAAUAAUAAUAAUAAUUUUUUGUGUACUUAGGACAUUUUCGAAUUUUUUUUACGCGAGACAAGAUGACAACCCAAGCACCAUGUUCUGGUUACUCGAUUCGGAUGUCUCUAAGCGGGUUAUUUCGCCCUACUCGUGAUAGCUUGUUAACGGAGUGAGUGCAAAGAAAUUAUAUAGUCACACUUUGCGCGAGAUGUGAUGACAACCCAAGCACCACAUUCCGGUUACUCAGCCUGAUGUACAACCCCAAUAUUUCACUCUUAACAUUCGUAUCAGAUGAGUAUUUAUUCAUUUCUUCUUUUUUUCUCUUUUUUUUCUCUCUUUGUUUUUUUAAAGAAGAGAAGGAAAAAAAUUGAGAUGUGAUAUGAGGUAGGCAGUCAAGCAAACUCAUAAUUCCUAAAAAAAAAAAUCUUUCCCACUACGUCUAGCCUAUUGAAAAGUUUGUGUAAAGAACUAAAUAGCUAAAUAGGUCAAACCAUAAGUGUACCAUCCUAAUUUAUCAAAAGAAAAAUUUUACCUUUCACGAAAAAUAUGCAAAAACAACGACAACGAAUAAGCAAAAUAGAACUAAUAUAUGUUCCCUUCCCCCUACUUAUUUUAUAUUGUCCCUAAUGUAAUUUGAAUUGAAUUAAAUGAUAAAAAGUAAAGGUAAGUAGGGAAAGGAAAAAGAAACUCUCGAUGUAUUUCAACGUCGUGGAGGGUUGCCUAGUAGGUGUGUCCACGGUGUUAAAUGGUGGGUAGGUGGAUUGGGCCUUUGCUGAAAUUAAAAGAAUUUUGUAGGCUGACAUGGGGGAUUUAAUUUUGUCUUGGAAUGUCUCCCUGUUAUUCAAAUUUUGGGCUCCUCGAGAACAAUUGUAAGUGUUGCUAGUCCCCGGCAACGUCGCCAAAGCUGAUGGGUGUCGAGUCCACCAAUAUAAACCUACAUCUAAUUUUGAAAAUUCAAGCAGUAUAGGGAGUAGGGUCGAUCCCUCGAGACUGGGUUUACUGCAAAUUGUUGCUCUCUUGACCAGAUUUAUGUCGGGGCAGUUGUCGGGCCCAAGAAAUUUGGGGGAAGGAUAAAAUCGAAAACUUGGAACCUGAAAUAAAUAAAUAAAAUGCGUAAAAAGUAAAAGCUGCAAAUAAAUAAUAAAAGGCAAUUAAAUAAAUCUGAAGAAAAAUUAAUUAAAAUAAGCUCAGCUUUAGGCAUGGAUUUUUCCUCGUCUUUGAACCGAUCCUCAAAAUUAGAUGAACUCCUCUUUUCCAAUAAGCUAGUUAUAGCUACCAAGGACGCCUUGGACACCAACUCUUCCUUGUGUAAAUUAGUUAUGGAGCGUCCAAUAACUAACCCUUACCGAUCGAACAACCACGAAAUGUUUCGUGAUUUAGAACUCCUGCAGCUUUGCGUUCUAGAAGAGCCUAGCUCGAACCAAUGCCCUCAACCGCGUGGGACAUUUAAAUCCAGUUACUACUUCCCUUGACGGAACCAAACAGCAAUCUCCACUUGGCACGCCAAUGUGUUCACAGAAAACCGAUUGGAAACGUUCCUUUCGGAAUUCCAACUGUACGUCUAACCACACUAAAUCAAACGACGUCUUUUUUGACUUAAUGUUGAUCUGACUUUGUGAGUUGACAAAAUCAUACUCUUAAUCCGAAGAAAUAAUAAGUACUGGAAUUUAGGGUGUGUAACUCACGGGUUUUGUCGAGGCUAAUUCCGGCCUAAAGCUGAAAUGGAUACUUAAUAAAAAAAACUUGGUAAUAAAAAACUUGAUUAAUAACUUGAUUCAAGACUUGAUGAUAAAAUGAACAAAGUAGUCCACUAUUUAUACUAGUGGCUUUGCUAAAUUAAGAGCCAACUAGUAUAGAAAAUCAAGGAAUAAAAUAUUAAAAAUCCCUACAUAAUCUCCCACUAAGUCAACAAAAAUUUCAGCUAAUUAAUCUUGGAAAAAUUCUGCUUUGGUCCUCCUUCUUUGCUUCUUUCUUCAAUCUAGCCCAAUUGUCUCAUUUUUCUUCUAUUUAGCCCCAAAUUGCACUCCUACACAAAAUUCAACAAAAACAUGGAAAAAUUAGUGUUGCACUCUCAUAAAUUAACCAAUUUAAUUACAUAAAAUAUGUAACUUUAACAUUUAAUGAAUUAUGAUUUCUAUUUUCUAAAUAUUUGUAUAAUAAAAUUAUUAAAAAAUAAUUAUAUUUGUAUUGAUAAUAUUUUCUUAUUAAAUGAGUUUUAUAAGUUAAAUAGCAAUCAAACCAAGACUGGGAGACUGAACUGCAUUAGGUCUUGGGGGUGAUCCAUCGCUUCAACCACUAUCUACUAUCCACCAUCCACCAUCUACAUCCUUCCCCUAUAUAAACUCUGCAAAUAUAUAUAUAUAGAGAGAGAGAGAGAGCGACACACACACACACAAAUUAUGGAAGGCAGGAAAGUUAGAUAUCAAAUACGGUUGCAUGGUGGUUUCACAGCCGCUAUUUCAAAAUAGCUAAAGAUCUCAUUAGUUGUGUGAACAAAUUUCAUAUGUUCUUCGAAAUCCAAAGCAGAAAAAUCACAUACAGAGGCUGGGAUCAGAUAACUGAUACUCAUGUACAAAUUUAAGGGCUUCGAAUUUACCUCAUUUGAUCAGAGUCGUGGUGAGAUGCUCGUUUGGGACAAAGAUCCGUACGAAGAGAGAUGAGGGUAGGAAGGAGUUCUUAAAAAACACAAAGGGUUAAAAUCUUCUAUUAGUCCCUGUACUUUGUAAAAGUUGUGAAUUCAGUUCCUAUCUUUUAAUUUGAAUAAUUUCAGUCCCUUUACUUUUUGAAGUAGUAGUUACAUCCAUUAAGUUCAAUUACUAGUAUUGCACUACACGUAUGGUUGUAGGCUUAGUCUAUAUGCCCUAAUUGGAUCAUUCUAAGUCUCUAUACUUUUUAAAUUUUAAAAUUUUAAUCUCGAUGUAAAUGAUAGUUAUUAAUCAAUUAAUUAGAUUUUUAGUGAGUAAUAUGCGAAAAUAAAAAAAGCUAACAUGACAUUAUACAUAGGAUAAUAUGUAGAUUUGGAUUUGGAUCUUUGGGAACAUGUAGAAGAGGAUUACGAGGUCCCACCACUUCCAGCAAAUCCUACUGUGGCACAGAUUAAAGCACAAAAGGAAAAGAAAACAAGGAAAUCAAAGGCAAAAUCUUGCUUAUUUGCAGCUGUGUCUCAAAUGAUUUUUACACGAAUAAUGUCUCUGAAAUCAGCAAAGGAAAUUUAGGAUUACCUCAAGGCUGAGUAUGAAGGAGAUGAGAGGAUUCGUAGAAUGAAAGUCCAGAAUCUAAUCAGGGAUUUCGAGUUGCAGAAGAUAAAGGAGUCUGAGUCAGUGAAAGAAUAUUCUGACAGACUUCUCAGUAUUGCCAACAAGGUGAGAUUGCUUAGUUCUGAGUUGAACGACUCUAGAAUCGUAGAAAAGCUACUGGUCACUGUUCCAAAGAAGUUUGAAGCCACCAUUACUACUCUGGAGAACACCAAGGACAUGUGUCAAAGAUCUCUCUUGCAGAGCUCUUGAAUGCUUUACAAGCACAAGAGCAAAGAAGAUCCAUGAGGCAAGAGGGAGUGAUAGAAGGGGCCUUACCUGUCAAGCAUCAAGACAAUAAUAGGUAUAAAAAGAAGAAAAAUUUUAAGAACCAGUCGACGAGCGGAGAAAAUUCAUCAGGCAAUUAUCAGAAGAGCAAAAGAGGAGGUGUCAAGAAAUCCUACCCACCUUGUCACCAUUGUGAGAAGAAAAGUCAUCCACCAUUCAAAUGUUGGAAAAGACCUGACGCCAAAUGCUCCAAAUGCAAUCAACUUGGACAUGAAGCAGUGAUUUGCAAGGUCAAAGGCCAGGUGCAAGAACUAGAUGCACAGGUAGCUGAUCAAUAAGAAGAAGAUCAAUUGUUCGUGGUUACUUGUUUCUCAGGCAGAGAAUCAAGUGAGAGCUGGUUGAUUGAUAGUGGGUGCACAAAUCACAUGACGUAUGACAAUGAGCUCUUCGAGGAAUUGAGAACACUGAAGUCAAAAGAGUGAGGAUUAGAAAUGGUGAGUACUUGGAAGUCAAGGGAAAAGGCAUAGUAGCUAUUACAAGCUAUGAAGGUACAAAAUUCUUUUCAGAUGUUUUGUUUUUACCUAAAAUUGAUCAAAAUCUCUUAAGUGUUGGUCAGUUGCUGCUGGAUAAAGGCUAUAAAGUGCUAUUUGAAAAUAAGCAGUGCUUGAUCAGAGAUGCUAAUGGCAGAGACUUGUUCAAUGUCAAAAUGAAAUGAAAAGUUUUGCUCUUAAUCCAAUGGAAAAGGAGCAAAUGGCUUUUAAAUCCAGAGUUAGUGCUACUGAGACUUGGCACAAGAGACUUGGGCACUUUCACCAUCAAGGAUUGCUUUAAAUGUAGUCGAAGAAGCUGGUGGAAGGACUUACAGACAUUGAUGAUGAUCUACCUCAUUGUCGAGCUUGCAAAUUUGGGAAACAACAUAGACAACCCUUUCCUAAACAAGCCUGGAGAGCCUCGAAGAAGUUACAACUUGUUCAUACUAAUCUUUGUGGUCCUCAGAGAACGCCUUCGUUAAAUGGUAGCCUCUAUUACAUAGAAUUUAUUGAUGAUAUAACAAGAAUGUGUUGGAUUUUUUUGUUGAAACAAAAAUUAGAAGUUGUUGGUGUGUUCUAGAAAUUCAAAGCUGGAGUUGAGAACGAAAGUGGAUGCAUGAUUCAGAUUUUAAGAUCUGAUAAUGGCAAGGAGUACACUUCAGAAACUUUUAAUAGUUUUUGUGAAGAGGCUGGAAUUGAGCAUCAGUUGACGGCGCCAUACACUCUACAACAAAAUGAAGUCAGUGAAAGGAGGAAUAGAUUCAUAAUGGAGAUGACUCGAUGUAUGCUUCAUGAGAAGAAUCUUCCAAAAGGAUUUUGGGGAGAAGCUGCAAACGCUGCUGUGUUCUUGCAAAAUCAGAUUUCAACAAAAGCUGUGAAGGAUCAGACGCCAUUUGAAGCUUGGUAUGGUUACAAACCCUCUUUAAAGUUUCUUAGAGUGUUUGGCUGCCUGUGUUUCACUUACAUUCCAUAGGUCAAGCAUGAUAAGCUUGACAAAAAGGCAGAAGCUGGCAUUUUUGUUGGGUAUAGCAUUGUAUCUAAAGCUUACAGAGUCUUUCAACCACACACUGGACGUGUUACUGUGAGCAGAGAUGUUUAUUUUGUUGAAAAUAAGCAAUGGAAUUGGGAAGACUCGACCAAGGUGAACCAAACUUAUAGUGUACCAAAUCGUUUUACCAUUGGCAGCAUGUUAGAAGAGCUUGAAGAUGAAGGGCAAGAUGUUUUGGCUGAUGAUGCACCUGUCAGAGGUACAAGGCUGCUCUCAGACAUUUACCAAAGAUGUAAUAUGGCUAUUUGUGAGCCUGCAGGGUAUGAUGAUGCAAAAAAACAGUCAACAUUGGAUGACUGCAAUGAAGGAGGAGCUUGCGAUGAUCGAAAAAAACAAAACUUGGAAGUUGGUUGAUCGACCUCUGGACAAAAAGAUAAUUGGAGUUUGCAACAUCUAAACAAGGAGUGUUAAGAUCAUGUGUUUAAGAUUGCUGCCAUUUAAUUUUUUCUGUUACUAAAUUUGAAUAAUUCUCCUUGACUUUAGGAGAUUAGAUUUUUGAUUUGUUUGCUAUUUUGUUACCAAAUUUUUAGCAGUUUUUUAGAACCUUUUUUUCUAUUUUUAGCUUGAACUUUUGUAUUUAAAUAGUUGAGGUGCAAAUCAAUUAUUUAUUCAAGUCUUCAAUUAUUUUUCUAUUUAAAAACUUCCCGUCUCUUCUUUCUACUUCAAAUCUCUCGAUCAACCAUCAAAGUUCGAGUUCUAAACAUCAACAGUAUCUUUAAUUAUAUAGCAACAACUCUGAUAAGAUACAGAUAGAAACUUUUGUCUAUUAAAUAUAUAAAGUGACUAUGCAAUUGAUAAUCAUAUACAAUAAUCAACAUUUGACUAAACUUUGCAACCUAUACAAGUUUUUUUGGGAUUUCGACAAAAUAUAAACAUAAACCCCGAGAAGAUACGUAAAACAUUUACUCAUCCAUGGCAACUGACUGAAAAAAUUUGGGUUGUCAUCUUGCUCAUAAUCAUAUACAAGGUCAAUACCAAAUUCUAGCACAGAUAAAUCUGAAAGAACCCGAAGACUAAUAUGAUCACCAGCUUCUAAUUCAUCACCCCUAAAGUUCCAACAAGUCGUCCAGUAUAAGGUAUUCUUAGUUUCAGGAAUUCCCAUAAAAUGUUUGGAGUAGGUCCACUUUGUACCUUUGGUCUCGUUCACAAUUUCAAGGCAUGGUAAAAAUCCAUAUGUUUUAUCAUUCUUGGCAGAAAAAAUGAUAAUCGAAUUUAAGAAGCAACUUAUCUUUCGACUAGAUUUUGGGGGCACUGAUAUUGAAAUCUCAGUCUUGCCAGCUUGAUGGCCAAAGUAAUGACCAUGGUAAUCAAAUGGCAACGGAUCAAAUGUUGUAAUUAUACCGUAAUCAUAUAAUACCUGUAGCAUUGGGUUAGAGAAUGAGUUAUUAAAAAGUAUAUAGUAUAUAAAUAAUUUUAAAAACUUGGAACUUGUAAAGGGAACCUGUGGGGAAGCUACCACUUUUGAUUCUUCUAUAUAACUGCAAAGUUGCACUUUAACAUUUCCAUAAGAUUCCAAACUGGGCAAGUGUUUAGUUAGGUCCAUCUUGAUAUUUCUUGUGGAAACUUCAUCUCCUAAAAUAUGUACAAUAAUGUGUUAUUUAUCAAUUUUAGUGAUCAUCAACAUAAUAUACUUAUUAGAAAGUAAUAGUACUGACUUGAAUGGAGUGAUAAUUAAAGCUUUUAUCAGACACCUAUUUGACACGAAUUCAAAUAGUGACCCAUAUAUUGUAUGAAAAAAAGAUAUCAAAGUAGUAAUGUUAUUAUCACUAAAAUGUAUUCUAAGACUUAUCAGAAAUAAUCAGUUAUACACAUUAUAUCUUUAUUUUUCAUUUUUAUACAAAAUAUAAACUUUAAAACUAUUAAAUAUUUUAAUCAAAACACCACUUUUAUAAUUUUAUCCAUUAUUUUAGUUUCCACUUCUAUUAGAACUAUUGGAUUAAUCAUUUAUCAAACAAUUAACUUAUUUUCAUUAGACCCCAAUUGCAGUAUAACUUUAUAAUUAUCAUUUUAUUAUUAAGCUAAAUUUCUCUCAUAAUCUAUUAAAUUGUCACAUUUCUUGAUAAUUUUUUUUAUUGUAUUAGAAAGUCUUUUAGAGAAACAUUCAUCAUUUCUUGAACAUUUGUUAUUCACAUAGAAAAUGAAAAAUAAAAUAAAUAUAAUAGGAUGUAUUCACUAAAAUAUAAUUAUUUGAAGUCCACUCAUACCUGUAGAUAAGUGCGAAAAGCCAUAUUCAUAUCUAAUGUUGUGUUCUGAUUCAUAAGUAACGCCAAAUUUUCUUAUGCUGAGAUGAAUAGGCACUACCAUGCAACUCACAAGGUCACCACCUUCAAACUGACAGUCCGUUACUGGCCAAUGAAUCAACCACAACAUUGUGUUAUCGUUAGUCUCAGGAAUUCCAAUGAAACUUGAGCGAUAUCUCUGCAUGAUCAUUUUGGUCUCAUUGAAAAUGUGGACACUUGGUAGAAGCUCCAACAUUUGGUCACUAGCUACAGAGAAAACAAUGCAUAAGCUGAACUGAUGGAUCUUUUCAUCUGGAUGAGAUGGUGUUGGCAAAAAAAAAGAGAUUUGAUGCUCGUUAGUGCCAUGCUUAAACCCACUCGGAACUUCACUUCCUAUAAAAAAUGUGCUUGUUAUACCACAUUCUUGCAAGACCUGAUCCAAAAAAACAAGUUAGAUGAUUAAGUAGUGUAAGAGAAAAAAUAGAUUUAAAAUUUAAGUUGGAGAACUAUUGGACCUGUGGGGUAGCUAGCAUUAUGCUGUCUGUUAGGUAGCUAUAAAGUGGCAGUCGAUUUCUGUUAAUGGAAUCUACGUUGAAUAAUCUUCUAAUCUCUUCUGCUUCAAAGUUUUCAAUUGGUUCCAACUUGAAUAGAUCUUCAACCUCCGUCAAUUUUUCACAUCCAAAAAUAUCACAUCGUGUGGAAGAAAAGAAGCAUGGAAGAAUUGCCCCAUAUCCUUUAAAUGGAGAUACUGUCAAGAACUCAAAAACAUUGGGCAAGACUGGAAGCUUUGGAAUCUUUUGGAGUUCAGUGCAAGAAGUCAGUAGAAGCUCAUCAAGUUUUGUAAGGUUUUUUAAGCUUUCGGGUAGGUAAUGAAUUGGGUUUCUACUUAAAUUUAAGGAUUUCAAGGAAGCCAAGUUACAAAGAGCAUUGGGCAUGACAUCAUUAGAUAAUUUGCAACUUCCA
Molecule: long non-coding RNA, 118245 nt
Filed under: Gossypium raimondii (Peruvian cotton)
Lineage: Eukaryota; Viridiplantae; Streptophyta; Magnoliopsida; Malvales; Malvaceae
Description: long non-coding RNA (GRAI_LNC002432)
Rfam family: MIR8643 microRNA precursor family (bases 35325-35473)
Source: RNAcentral